CCUCCUGUGCUUUAUCUUGGUCUACAUUUAGAGAAACCCGGGCCAUGAUGUUUGGAAGAACAGGUGAGCCAGUGGGGGGUGGAUUUCAGAGGCCUGGGCCAAUGUCUUCCAAUCCUACUCCGAUCUAACCUUUGACAGAGUCUUUACCUCUCUCUGAGCUUGUGGCUUCUGGUUUCAGAGCCGCCCCCCGCCCCCACCCUAUGUUGCUGUCGCCAGAGGGGAAGGGUGAUGACAGUGCCUCGGCUUUCAGGGCCCAACCUGUACCUGGGUCCUGCCUUCCUGCUUCUCUUCCUCCGGGAGGCUACAUUCUAAUCCAUAAACCUUCUCCUCCGGGCUUAGGGUCGGGCUGUUCCUGAUGUUUAUCAGAGGCUGGAUCAAAGCUGUCCAGGUCAUAAAUCUCUCCCUGUGGCUGUCAGGCCCCAGGGCAGCUGAAGAGGGUUGGUUUGCUCCACUCCACCCACUCCCAUCUCUGCCAAGAAGCUGUCCUCUCAGGAGCCAUGGUAGGGCCAGUCCAGUCCUGGGAGCUGCUUCUGAGGCUCAGAGAGGAUUUUUGUGGUAGGGGAGAGAACAUGGAGCCUGUGCCCAGGAAGGUGAGGGCAGGCUAGGCUGUGCGGCCGUGGUCCCUCUGUGUGUGUGACAGGUAUUGGGAGCCUUCUCCUGUGUGGCUGUGAAAUGCCUCAUGGGUGGAUGGGAGCAGGCAGGGGAGACCAACCUGGAGCCUCAAGCACCCUCCGGAGUCCUUGAACCCCAUCCCUCAUUUCAUAGGAGAAACUGAGAGGUUAAAGGGCUUUGCUCACAGCCCCGAAAUGAGAGUCGACUAGGAAAAGUCUUCUAAACCUCAGUCCCCAGCACAGCAGCCAGGCCCUGGGAAUCAUCCAGUGGUCAUUGAAACUGGAGAAGGUCCCAAGCCUUAGAGGAUCCCCCUCAGCCUUCUCUAGUGUCCAUGCGACCAGUGGAUGUUUACAGCGGCCUCAGACUAUGUGACUGAUACCCACAAGAAAGUCAAGGCUGGUGGAGAAAAUGAGGUGCAACCAGAGGAUUUCCGAACAGCUGGCUGGGGAGCUGGUGCACUGUCUGUCCAGGCAGGACCAUGGGGAGGUGGCUGGAGGCAGCAGGCAGGAGACCUUGGAGCUCUACUGCCUCAGGACUCACGGACGCUUUGGGGCUGAGCUUUAAGGUUUCCAGGAUGGGGUGGAGCCAACAUUUAGGCAAAUUCUCACCAUCUUCUCUCUGCUUCAGGGCUUCCCUCAGAAUCAAAAGUGAAAGUGAAGGAAGGGGCUAUAGAAAAACCUCAGCUUAACCCUUUCACUGACAAGGAGGAAUCAAGCCCAGAGAGGGAAGGGACUGAGUAGGGAGUGGUAGAUCUUAGUUGGGAUCCGGGGUACUUGAGGUUGAGCUGGUUCUUAGAAGGAAUGCAUGCAAGCAUUAUCUACCAAUAGACUACACUUGUGCUUAAAUAAAACACAUAAAAAUAUAUGGCCACAAUUUGAGAACAAUGCCCCACAGAUAAAAGUAGCCUUAAUCCCCUCUAAAAUGAUCAACCCCUAUUCUUAACCCCCAGCAGCUCCCCAGGUUUUUUAAAGGCAGCUCAAAUUUUGUUCAUUUUGCAUCUAUGUGGGUAGAGAAGAGGCCGAAAAUAUAAGUGAGGAAGACAUGGGAUUUGGAGUCACUAGGACUUGGGCUCCAGGACUUAGGCCCUUACUAGCUGAUGACCUUGAACAGAUUACCUACCAGCUUUGUCAUUUAUAGACGUGCAGAUGUAAUGAUACCAGCUUUUUAGUGUAGUGCUGGGGACAUAGUAGGUGCUCAAUAAAUGUUCACUUUAGUGACACCUUCAGAUUCUUAGUUCAAGUCACAUUCAAAAUGACCUCAUUGCUAAAGGGAGGCAGAAUCAUGGAGGACCCUCCCAUCUUGGAUAGGAUAUGGGUGAGUAGGGUCUAUUUUAAAUCUGGAGACAAAUCAUCCCCCAGGUGAAGUGAGGAUUAGAGGACUGAGUUGGGUUUUCCAGAAUAACAUUUAUCUCAGUUUUCAGGAAAUGAGGGUUUCAGAUGUUGCCAGCAGGUUGGUGGCUUUUGGGGCCUUUGUUCCAUUAGGCUAGGGUUGAUCCUGGUUUGGGUUUUAAGGUUUAAUUAUGUGCUGAAUUGUAUUAUAUGUUAAAGUCCUAAUCCUACCCUCAGUACCUUAGACUGUGGAGAUAGGAUAUUGGAAAUAGGAUCCUUAUUUUAUAUUUUAAUGGUACAGGGUAUUAAACUCAAGGGUGCCUAACCACUGAGCAACACCCUCAGCACUUUAAAAAUUUUAAAUUUUGAAACAGGGUCUUACUAGGUUGCUUAUAGCUUUACUAAGCUGCUGAGGCUGACUUCAAAUCUGUAAUCCUCCUGCCUGGGCCUCCAGAGCUGCUGGGAUUAUAGGCGUAUGCCACCACACCCAACAGAUAGGGUCUUUAAAUAGAUCUUUAUGAUGCACUGAAGUCAUUAAGGUGGGUCCUGAUGCAAUAUAACAGGUAUCUUUGUAAGAAGAGGCACUUAGGACACAGACACACACAGAAGACACAGGGAAAAGGUGAACAUCUAACAAGUCAAAGAAAGGGGCUCAGAAGAAGCCAGCCAACCGGACUGUCAUUUAAGCCAUCUAACUUGUCAUAUUUGUUAUAGCAGCUAUAGCCAACUAAUACAAGCUCCAUUUAUUCUUCCUUCUGAGACCUUGGGUGAAGCAGCCUGUCUGCCUUUCCAGGGCUCCUGGGCUCCUGGCGCUCUGGAGGGAAAGGGACACUGGGUCAGUGUCCCUUUUCACGUUUGUGUACAUGAAAAGCAAUUUUUUGGGGAAGCCUGGUAAAGAUUUAGGUCCCAUGAGCACCUAGUUAUGUCUGCGCGAGGGGCUGGGGAGAUUCUGCUGGUGAGUGGGUUAAGGCCCACCUUUCUAUGCCUGGACACUCAGUUCCCCCAGGCUUUUGUUCUUGGGGGUUCAUGCCCAGGGGGAGUAGGAAGGUGUUCUUCUCGGUCAUGAGACACCGGCUUCUCCUAGCGCUCCUCAUUCGUUCCCACCUUCCAGCUCUGCGGUGGCAGAGCCUCCCAGCCGCUGGGCCUCUCCGAGCGAAGCCGACCUGGCUGGUCCAGGGGCGAGGGAGUGCGGGCCAGUGCGCAGGCGCCAGGUGGUUGCCUGUCAGGAUGGGCGUGAUGGGCGUGGGGAAGUUAUGAAGUCUUGGGUGUCUCGCUCCUGUCGGCUUCCAGGGUGACACAUGCACAAAAGUACCUUUUAUAGGUGGGAAAUUAUAGGUGCUGCUACUUCAAAGGCCUUGGCAGCCAGAGCGCUUCUUUGAAAGAUGACAGUAUUAUUAAUGGUGAUUUAUUGCUGGGGCCAUUUUGACAACAGAAAUAACCAGUUUCCCCACCUUCUUGGCUUUCUUCCCCCAUACCUGGCUCUUUUUUUUUUCCCCCCUUGUCCUCUACCUUAGUUUUUAGCUGCGGUGGGGGGUUAUCGGCCUCCCUGCAUAAGGAGGCUGAGGCGUCUGUUUAACACACACAGUGAGGUAUCUGGCUUAUUAACUUGUCAUCAUGUGUCAUAAAGUUUAGCGAAAUGCUGGUGGAUUAUAAUCCUAAACAGGGCAAUUACCCUGUUAUUAAAGCCGCUUUCUCUUUCUUUUCUUCCUCUCUUCCCCUUCCUUCACUCCACCUUCCUUUCCUUUCUUUUCUUUUCUCUCUUCCUUUUCCCUCCCUCUCCUCUUCCCUCCCUUCCUCUUUCACCUUCCUUUGUUUUUUUCUUCCUUCCCUCCCCCCCUCCCUCUCUCUCUAUCUCUUGCUCUCCACCCCUGACCUCUUUCCUGAUUGGCUUUGUUCUUAUCUCUGUCCACUUUCUUGCUUGCAUUGACCCCAGAAUAAACUUGGCCUUGAAAGGACAGAGCUCUAGGGGCAAGAGGCGGUCAGGAGCUGGCCACCUUGCUGCAGCCAGAGCCAUGGAGGAGGUGCACUGUCCCAGCCAAGGCAGUGCAGGGAGGAACAGUGAACAGCAGGGGGAAAGGAUGGCUUCUGCUGCCAGGCAGAGAGGCUGGAGCCCAGAGCCAAAGCUAACAGAGGUUUGUUUAGCCUGUCCGACUUUGCCGUGGGCUGAGGUUCUCCUCCAGGAUAUCUCCCUGUGCCUUUUACUUGGUCACUUAUGGGUCUGGAACUGGGGGUGGAAAGAGAGUGAGGUGGUGGGGGACGUGGAACAUGACAAAUUGCCUGAUAUGAGUUUGAAUCCUGGCUUCCACUGACUUCCUGCCAUUCCUCUGUCUGAGACUUGUUUUCUCAGUCUGUAAAAUUGGGAUGAUCACUCUUGUACGAUUGCACACAGUUUCAAGGAGGAUCCGAUUGGAUUUUGGGUAGGAAAGAGGAUGACCAGUGGUAAUUUGCUGUGCAAAUCUGAGGGUCCACUGUGAUUUUACUAUGCCACUGCAGGGAUUUGUUUCCUGUCAACUAACCCUCAACUCUUGCUGCUCCAAAAGAGCAUAAGUUAUUUGCUCGUAGUGACAUUUUGGCCAAUGAUGGACUAUGUGUAUGAAGAUGGUCCCCCAGAGCUAUACUGCCUGGUGACGUCGUAGCCAGCUUGGUUUGUAUAGGUACACCCCUGAUGUUCACACAAUGAUGAAAUCGUUGCUCAAAAUGGGUGCCCCCUUGCAGUAAGUGACUCAUGACUGUAAACAGGAAUUCAUUGUCUGUUUCUUUCUCUACUCCUGGGAGGUUGUAAUGACCUUGAUUAAUAAAUCUACCUGGGAGGUAGCGUUUGGCUCAGGUGCUGAACAAUGGCAAUUUUUAGGAGCAUUCAUGAUAAACACUUGUUAUGUGCACUGUGCUGGCUUAAGAAUACAAAACUGAAUAGGCUGAAAUUGAAAUAAUUGAAUCACAGCCUGCCAGAUCUUAAAAGGAUCUUAGAGACCAUCUAGUUGAAUUGUCCCAUUCUAUAGCUUUGUUAAUUAGUCUCAAAGAAAUAGAUUUAAUUUAUCUGAUAUCUUCCUAAAAGACACCAGAUAAAUUAUAGGCAGAGCUGGGACAAAAAUUCCCCAGCUCAGACUUCCUAGACCCUAGAUGCUCUUCUCUUCCUUGUAAGGAACGUCCUCAUCAGUUAGCUCUCAGGAGAGUACCUGCUGGCAGUCAUUUACACUUCAGUAUGAAGUAAACAUUUAGUUCUCCCAGGUGUUGUUUCUUUCCUCCCCCAAGUGCUGGGGAUUGAACCCAAGGCCUCGUUCUGGGCAAGCACUCUGCCACUGAGCUGCUUCCCCAGCCCUCAGGUGUAUUUGGUUUUGAAGCCUCAUCCCCAGUUAUAAGCAGCUGGACCUUGUUUCCUGUCAGUGAAAUUUCUCCCACUGGUUAGAAGAGAGGCAAUGCAGGGACUCAUGAUUUCCACCCCCUAAAUUUAUGCCACUUGCCUCCUCUGUUGGGCAAUAAGGGCUGGGCCCUGCUUCCUGAAUUAACUGACCUGGACCAAGACCGACAUGUCCACAGUUCAGAUGGUGUUUGUCAGGGAGCUGUCAGGGAGCAAGGUUGGGUGGAUGGAUGGAGUCAGAUUGGUUUAAAAAUGGAAAACCAGCCGACAGGUUUAAAAAUGGAAAGCAGUCAGACAGAGUGAAGGUGGUUCCUAAACAAAACGCUGCCCCUUCUGUUUGUUUUCUGGUUGCUUUCCUCAUAUUUGGGGAACACUGGAAAGCAGACUGGUAUUGAGAACUGUCAAUUCCAAGUGCUGGGAGCAGAGAGAGUUUGUGCGCCCCUACUGCACUCUGUGCAGGGUGGUGGGGAAAAGAGACACCAUUCCCACCUUGUGGUGCUCAAGUGUAGAGUCGGGGCAACAGACAAGGAGGGGAAGGGACUUUCUGGUCUCCCCUGCUUUUGCUCAUUGAGAGAACCACCAAGCUCUUUCUGUAGGUCACUUUGAACAUUGGUAGAACACACCGAGAUUUAACUACAAAUGUAUUGAUGGGACUUGUUGGCUGGACGUGCAGAGAGGGAACAGAAUUUAGUAACAAGGUUUUGAGGUUGGAGUGGAUGCAGAUGUGUGACCCUCAGAGGAACAGGACACUUCUGAGUCAAGGCUUGCUGGCUGUGAGGAGGUAAGGCACCCAUGUACAAAUGUCCUGCUGACUUUGGAGACUUAGAAGAAGGAGCUUGGAGCCUGAGAUAAGGUGAGGACAGAGAUGAACCUGUGGGGCCUUAGUCUAGAGGAGAGAGGUACUUCCUGAAGCCAAGAGAGAAUCCUUGACCACCUGGAUAGGAGAGUUGCAACACUGUUCCUCUCAGCUGGGCAAGCACAGCCUGGGCUGGGGUGGCGGGUGGCAUUCUACUCUCCAUUUGGUCCCUCUUCCAGUGAUCAUUUGAAACUUUGCUGAGGUGUCCGGCUGUUCCAUGGAUUCCGGAAGGCAGAGAGGAAUGGAGGAUAAGGAAGGUCUAAGGCAGGGCUGUUACCCUGCUCCUCCCCCAAUGCCACAAGGGACCUAUGAAUUUGUGGGCUGACUCCUCUGGUGGCUUUGCCAGGUCAAGGUACAGGUCAAGAUUUGCCUUUGUCUUCUGAAGUUCAAAGGAGAAGACCUUUGGCUUCCCAUCUUUACUGGCAAUUUCAGAUGGUGCCACAAUAUAUGUCAUUAACCAACUGUGUGAUUUGUUCAAGUCACUUCAUCUCAUUGUGAUGCAUCUGAAAAACAGAGCUGGACAUUUUGCCCUGCUGACCUUUUUUGGAUUGUUGUGGAAUAAUAACACAUGAGAUGAUGGAUCGCAGACAUUUGGUAAACUUUACAGUAAUAUGCAACAGUUCAUUCCCAGGAUAAUAACUCUGAAUCUGUCAUUUGGAACACUGACCCCCUUUCUCUAAGGAACCUCCAGGGGCAAACUGCUUCUGACCCCGGGCUUCCCAGGAAGGACCAGAUUCCUGGCUUAUGGGAGUGGGGUAGCCCCCUCUUCCAAGAAUAAGGAUGUGAAGGAGAAUCCUCUGCUCUAAGGGGGUGCUUCUGGGAGCCACCCACACCCGCUUCCAUCUGAGGAGGGUGCCCACUGCCAGUCUGUCUGGAGGUGCCUUGCCUUGCCCCAGGGCCCGCCCCAUCUCAGCAGGGCCUUUGAGAUAACAAACCCGAAAGGCAGCUGUCUGGCUGUAGUUCUGACAGGUGUCUCAACCAGAGCCUCAAGAUAAGGGAGAUGGUGAGCUUAUCCCUCCCUCCUUGGAUUGAUAAUUGAGCAAGAACAGCUCUGUAAUUGCUAAAUAAAACCUCUUGCCCCACCACUAUAGAUUUAUGGCUGAACCACCUUAUCUGGACUGAGGGUGUUCGUGAGUAUACAUGGGUGUGUAUAGGAUGGGAGGGGAGAGAAGGCAAUUUUGCAAAAUUUCCAGGGCUGUGUAGUAAAUUCCUGUCCUUCUUCCCUUCCCUGAAGUACAGUCAUGUGUCCCUCAAUGACCUGACAUGUUCUGAGAACUGAGUCAUUAGCGAUUUUGCUGUGUGAACAUCAGAGUGUGUGUACCCAGAUGUAGGUGAUAGAGGUGAGCCACUCUGCGGGGCCCCUCAAGAGACACUGUAAACGUGAGAUGCGUGAAGCUGCUGUGGGUGUAACAGGGCAUAGUCUUUUGCAGCAAACUUAAUAACAGUUAAAAAGUAGUUUAGUAAAUACAUAACUCAGAAACAGCUUUUUAUUAUGGUACAUAAUUUUAAGUGCUAUGCAUUUAUAUGACUGGCAGUGCAGUAGGUUUUUUUUUAUGCCAACUUCACCACAAACACAUGAGGGAUGUAUGUUGAGCUAGGAUGUCACAAUGGCUAUGAUGUCACUAAGCCAUAGAAAUUUUAUAUUUUUAUUAUAAGCACUGUCAUAUAUGCUAACCAUCAUUGACUGCAACAUUGUUAUGCGGUGCAUGGAUGUGUUAUAUUGAAGCUCUUUCUAGAUCUGCCAGAACUUAUACAUGCAUGGAUUUUUUUUCUAGAACCAACCAUGGUGGACUUGCCUCAUGAAAUAUAUGCCUAUUAUAAUGACAAUAAUGAUGAAAACUGUGACCUGAACAAGGGACUACGUGUGUGUGUAUGUGUGUGUAUGUAUGUAUAUGUGUGUAUGUGUGUGUGUGUGUGUGUGUGUGUGUAUAUAUAUAUAUAUAUAUAAACAUUUUAUUUAUCUAUCUAUUUAAUAUACCAGAGAUUGAACCCAGGGGCACUUUAUCACAGAGCCACAUCCCUAACCUCUUUUUUUAUUUUUAUUUUUUUUUUCAGUUUUUUAAAUUAAUUUUUUAUACAUGACAGUAGAAUGCAUUAUAAUUCAUAUUACACAUGUACAGCACACUUUUUCAUAUCUCUGGUUGUAUACAAAGUAUAUUCACACCAGUUUGUGUCUUUAUACAUGUACUUUGGAUAAUGAUGUCCUGGUUGAGUUGCUUAGGGAGGCCUCACUAAAUUGCUGAUGCUGGCUUUGAACUUGCAACCUUCCUGCCUCAGUCUCUCUAAGCCAGUGAGAUUAUAGGCAUGCAGUUUGAUUUAAUCCAGUUUGAUUUAAUCCAGUCAAUAUUUAACAAAGUGCCUAUUCUUUUUAAAAAUUCUUUUUGGAUAAACAUGACAGUACAGUGUAUUUUGACAUAUUAUACAUACAUGGAGUAUGACUUAUUCUAAUUAGGAUCCCAUUCUUGCAGGUGAACAUGAUGUGGAGGUUCACUGGUGGUGUAUUCAUAUAUAUAUGAACAUAGGAAAAUUACAUGCUUAUUCUUGCUUGGGGCUAGAAAAGCUAUGGUUAUUUUUUGUGGGGGGUGGAGGGGAGCAUGGAGAAUAUAUAAAUAGGGGGUAACAUAGGUUUUUUUUUUUUUUUCUUGUUUGAGGGGCCAGAUCGUGCCCAGCUGGCUGGAUGCGAGUGGGGUGGGUGCGAGGGGUUGGAUCAGUGGUGGUUCAUGGUCCACAUGUAGCUUCAUGACCUAGCUGGGUCCCUGCUCUGUUGCUCACCAUCUCUAAGGCCUUGGCUUGGGUUCUUGUGAAUAAGAUAUAUUCCAUGCUUGUAUAAUUUAUCAAAAUGGACUCUACUGUCAUGUAUAACUAAGAAGAACCAAUAAUAAAAAAAAAAUGCGGGAAUGAAUACUCCCUAGCUCCCAAGGUUGAUGUGAAGGUUAAAUGACUUGGUGGAUGGGGUUACUUGGCACCGUGCUGGGUCAGUUGCUCAGCUGAUAGCAUCGCCAACCUGGUGAUGGAGAGGAAGGACUGGGACCUACUGACAGGGCCAGGCUGGAGAGGACCAAGAGCCAAGCGGCUGUCACAGAAUCAGGACUGUGUGUAGGCUGGCUUAUCAUUCUUUUUCAAUUUUGUAAAUUUUAAUAUUGGUAGGUACUAUAUCCAAGUGAUUUAAAGGUAAAAAGGCAAAAAGGGAUAUUAUUUUUCUUUUCUUUAUGGAAAAGGAAGGAGAAAAAUUGCUCCCACACCUGUCCCCUGUCACAUUUCCUCUUCUCAGAAGCAACUGCUUGUCAUUGGUUUCCAAGGUAUUCUUUCUGGGGUGAUCUAGGCAUGUACCAGGACAUGGUGAUGAUGAUAGAAAUAGCCAAUACUCACUUAGACUUGACACGAGCCCAGCACUGUUUUAAGUACUUCACAUAUUAAUUCAUCCUAUCCUCAUAACAAUGGCUUCGAAGGUCAGUGCCAUUAUCCGUCAUAACUUCUUGAUUUUCGUUUUCCAUAUUUUUAUCCAUAUAUAAUAGUUGUACAUAACAGUGGGAUUUGUUGUUAUAUAUUUGUACAUGCACACAAUAUAACACUAUAAUUUGUCUAAUGUUAUAAUUUCUUAGAACAUAUAACAUGUAAUUCUAAGAUUUUUGCUCCAUGUUUUUUUUUUUUUUUUUAAAUUUAAACAUUUAUUUACAUCAUCGCAACCCUAACACAUGAGAAAAAAUAAACCCUUAAGCAAAAAUAGUAAUAAGGGAAAAAUUAUCUGUGGUCAUUUUGGGGGACCCAUAAAGGAAGAGGGCUGUGAAGGGUGGGAAAGAAUAUAGGUUUAGUAUCUGGCAUUUAUGGAUUGCACAAAGAUACAUCCAUAUUUUACUCCACUUCCUCUACAGUGUAGCAGGGCGAGGUAGGUAUUGCUGUUUCCAUUUUUUUAGAUGAGAAUAGUAGAUCAGAAGAACUAAAUCCCAAGCUGCUGUAAACCCUCUUGGGUCUGCUGACUCAGCCUGGCACUUUUGCUGUGCCCAGCCCAUGUGAACUGAGUGAAGGAGCCACUGUCUGAUAGUAGAGGCCAGCAUCUUUGCUCCUGGAGGCUGGUGGAGUAAAGGGAAACUUAUGCAGAGUGCUGGGGGUGGGGGUGACAGCACAGUUCUUCCUACCAUGACAAUUGUGGCCACCUGCUGCCUUCAGAAGAGCCUGGCCCAAGCUGAGGGGCAUCUUGACCACACCAGUGUGCUGGCAUACUUUUCUCUUUUGGAAAGGACCAAACAGAGGAAGGAAGCUGCGUUUGUUUGAGCACCUACUAUGUGCUAGUUCUAGAAAUUUCUUAUCAGUUCUAGUGGAUAGGAGAGUCAUUGUCUUAGAAUCUGAAAACUUGAGAGCAGGAAGGGACGUUAAUACUCAUCUGAUCUAACCUUUUACUUAUAAGAAAGUGACUUGCCCAUUAUCAAGAAUAUAAACAACAGUGAUUAUUGUCGAGGAUAUGGGGGAAAAGGCACACUCAUAUAUGCUGGUGGGACUGCAAUUGGUGCGACCACUAUGGAAAGCAGUAUGGAGAUUCUGCAGAAAACUUGGAAUGGAACCACAGUUUGGCCUAGCUAUCCCACUCCUCAGUUUAUCCCCCAAAGAGUUAAAAUCAGCAUAUUACAGUGAUGCAGCCACAUCAGUAUUUAUAGCAGGUCAAUUCACAAUAGCUAAACUAUGGCCCAACCUAGGUGCCUUUCAACAGAUGAAUGGAUAAAGAAAAUGUGGUACAUAUAUACAAUGGAAUAUUACUCAGCCUUAAAGAAGAAUGAAAUUACGGCAUUUGCAGGUAAAUGGAUGGAGCUAGAGGGAGAGCAAGGAGAAAGAUUACCUCUAGAAAGGGAGUAGGGGUGGGAGGGAAAAGGAGGGAGAAGGGGAAUAACAUGGAUGGUGAAAGGAGACCCUCAUCAUUAUACCAAAUACAUAUUGAAGAUGUAAAUUUGGUGUCAACAUAUCUUAUAUAUAAUCAGAGAUAUGAUAAAUUGUGAUAUAAAGGUGUAUUAAGAAUUGUAAUGCAAAAAUAAAUAAAUAAAAAAAAUGAAUGGGUGGAGUUAGAGAAUAUCAUGCUAAGUGAAACAAGCCAACCCCAAAGAACUAAAUGCUGAAUGUUUUUUCUGAUAAGCAGAUACUGAUCCAUAAUGGGGGUGGGGGAUGGGGAAGAAUGGAGGAACUUGGAUUGUGCAGAGAGAAGUGAGGAUAGAGGGGAGGGUGUGUGGAGGAGAGAAGUAUGAUGGAAUGAGUUGGACAUUAUUACCCUAUGUGCAUGUAUGAUUACACAACCAGUGUGACUCUGUAAGGUGUACAGCCAAAGGAAUGAGAAGUUAUGCUCCAUUUGUAUACAAUGUGUCAAAAUGCAUUCUGCUGUCAUGUAUAACUGAUUAGGACAGAAAAAGAAAGUGACUUGCCCAAAGUCCCAGAGUAUUCUAAUUUUCUUCCUUACUAUGUGCUUACUAAGAAAGAAAUUAUUGUAUAAUAAUCCUCCUUUGCUUCUACCAACAGCAGAAUGUCAGUGUGCACACACAGUUUCCACACAGAGGCCAUGGGUCCAGUCUCCCAAUUUUAUGCCCACCCUUGGGGAACUGGAGAGGGCAGCUUCUCCAGCACCCAUUUCCCCUUAGUUCUUUCUCAGGUGUAUAAUCUCCUGCAUCUUUUGGGAGCAGGUGAUGUUCAGAGAGGACCUGGGGUCAGACAGGCCAGGAGCCCGACUUUGGCUCUGCCAUUUACCAACUGCUAGUGGGAAAGGAAAGGCCGCAAGCCAACCCCUUACGUUUCCCAGCCUCCAUAAAGGAUUAAUAGUUUAUUGUCAGUAAAAGAGCUUUGCAGACUGGCGGCCAUUAUUCAUACGAGCUCAUGGAUGAACAAAGGAGAUCUUGUUGGUUGUGCAGGGGAAAAAUCCAACGUUUUGAGGGGUCACGAGGUGCCAUGAAUGAGCCAGACUCUGGCCUGAAGAAGGGAGUUUGGGAAAGAAACAGCCUAUUUUAAAUUAGAGACACAGUUUGGACUUUGAGAACAGACUGCUUGGUGAAUGAAGUGGAGAGCAAGCUGCUUGUGGAUGAAGAGAAGCAAAAGUUCAGCUUUUAGUGAGCCAGAGACAAGGGCUCCUAGUGAACAGUGACGAUGAAGUUGGCAGCUAAUGUACAAGAAUGCUAAAUUUUUUUUUCUUAUUUUUUAAAAUUUUUUUUUUUGUUGAUAGGCCUUUAUUUUAUUUAUUUAUAUGUGGUGCUGAGAAUGGAACCCAGUGCCUCACACAUGCCAGGCAAGUGUGCUACCGCUGAGCCCCAGCCCCAGCCCUAAGAACGCCAAUUUAUGAUGUGUUGCCCACUAUUCCUCCUGCUUCAGAGAUACCAGCUCCGCCAUUCCUGCAACAGGCCCACGGAGGAUUCCCACUUUGUAGAUGCAGACACUGAACCACAGAAUGGUUAAGGCACUUGCCCCAGGUCACAUGCUGGUUAGUGGAGGAGCCAGGAUCUGAGUCCAAGCCUUGUGUUACCCUGGACUGAACAUGCCUGGGACCAGGUCGGUAGUGCUGGAGACCAAGAGCUCCCUAGACAGAUGGAAUUCAAAGACACAAAUGUCAUAUCCGUUUGUCGUUGUCUAUUUAGAGGCAACUUGCAGGGAGUGAGUAUUUUGUCUUAUGCUCGAGGAGGCUGGCCAGAAAGCAUUUUGAUUUGUGACAACUGGGGGUGGGGGAGUGGAGGGGUAGGGAAGAAAGCGGGGAGGUGACUGUGUUCAGGCUGUUAUUUCUCCAGAGGCUCAGGGAGCUGGUCAGUGGGAGGGAGGUGCCUGCUUUUCAGCGAGGCUACUGACCCACAUCAUGAUGACCAUUGGCCUUGCCUGAGGAGCUGAGAUUGCUAAGUUUCCCCUCUGGGUUCAGAUGAGUCACGGGGCCAAAAUGAAGCCCUACUAUGGGUGUAAUUUGAGUUCACUUGGAAGUCAUAGCCAGCCUUUACCUUCUCCUUCCUUUCUCCUCUCCACCCUGUUUCCCACCAGACACAGCCUGAUAGGAGCAGUGAGAGAAGGGAAGGGUGGAAUGAAUCAAAUGGUACCUUUUUUUUUUUUUUUUUUUUUUUGGUACUGGGGAUGAACCCAAGGCCUCACACAUACUAACCAAGUGCUCUACCACUGACAUACAACCCCAGCCCCUUUUAUUUUUAUUUGAGAUAGGGUCUCAAAGACCCAGACUGGUCUUGAACUUGUGAUUUUCCUGCCUCAGCAUCCCAGUAGCUGGGAUUACAGGCAUGUACCACCAAGCUGGUACUUUCUUGUUGGUACCAAGUGACAGGGUACUUUCUUGAAAGCAUAAUCAGCUUUCCAUCACUAUAGUAAACACCUGAGAUAAUCACUUUAUGAAGAAAAAAGGUUUGUUUUGUCUCAGUUUUGGAGUUUUCGGCCCAUAAUUGGAUGAUUUCUUGCUUUGGGGCCUGUGAUCACGCAGUACAUCGUGGUGGUGUGGUUGGAGUGUGUGGUGGAGCAAAACCUCUCACCUCAUGACUGGGAAGUGGAAGAGAGAGGGAGAGACCAGGCUCUCACAGUCCCCUUUGAGGGCAAUCCCCCAAUCACUUAAAGACCACCCACUGGGCCUCACAUCUUAAAGGAUUCUUCCACCUCCCAAUAGCAACAAGCCGGGACCAAGUCUUUAACACUUGGGCCUUUGGAAACAUUCCAGGUUGAAACUAUAGCAAGAGGGAUGGUGGUUACCCUUGGGUCUCAGAGAAGUUUGUUUUCUUUUCUGACAGGGACGCACUAAGUUGCCCAGGCUGGCUUUGAACUUGUGAUCCUCCUGCCUCAGUCCAGAGGAGCUGGGAUUACAGGCAGGUACCACUGUACCUGGCUAACUGUGGAGACGUUGGGAAGGAAUUCUGUGUUCUUUCUGUUGCACUGUCAGGGUGGGGAGAAUAGAAUUGCCAGUAUCCUAGAGCCUGUGCUUCUUGCCUCCAUAGGAAUCUGCUCUGGAGGGGGCUGGCCAGCAGAUGAGUGGUCCUGAUGUUGGGGUCAGGCAGAGAUGCUCCAAGUGUGUAAGCCCAUGAGAAUUUCCUGGUAGGCACAGCAAAAUGGAGUCCUGAAAGCUUCCCCCGUCCUUCUGAUGAGUCUUAGUAAAGAUGGUGGUCUCCUCCAUCAACCUCCUCAGGCUGAUUGGGGGUAAUGUACCCAAGAGGCUGCACUACAGGGAAGGUAGCAGAGUGGAAGGUGCUGGAAGCAUCCUGGUUGACUGACUGGAGGGAUGCCCUAGCAUUGCAAAGCCAGUGGAGUGGGUGUGUGUUCUAGGAGUGGAUUAGCUGUUUAACCACAGUGUGUGCUAUGCCGGGUGCUAGGGACUGAGGUCACUGCUAUGCAUUCCCAUCCCUGCACUCCAAGGGCUCAAGGUGCUACUCAGGAGACAGCAGGUCAAUGGAUAAGUCACCUUCCUGUCGCCAAGGGCCGGGCUCCAGACCCAGGAAGGAUGGUGGGGGCUGGUGGAGGAACUGCAGAGGAACUGCCCCGGCCCUGCAUGGCAGAAACCUCCCAGACCCGUCCCUACACAAAGAGCUCUGCUUGUUCCUCACUCUAUGCUUGUGUGUGGGUAUGUCCACACACACCCACAAACACACCCACAUGCACACACACAUACUAGUAAGACUUAAGCACUUUAUGAGUUGAUGUACAUUAUUUAAAAAAUGUAUUUUGGAAAUUUUCAAAAACACAAAAUUAGAGGGGAGAGCACAGAGCCUAGUGGAUUCCCGUGUAUCCAUCUCCCAGCAUCUAUGAUUAUCAACAUUUUACCAAUUUUGUUUUAUCCAUUGCCUCAGUGCACUAUUACAACCACUCAUGAUUUUCUGUGUUUUGCCAGUGCUCUUAGAAUGCCUUGUCUCAUUCCCUCCUUACAGUAAUCCUGUUGAGCUACUGUGAAUGGUUAUGAUUAUCCUCAUUUUAUUAAGAGAAAACUUAAGUUUCAGAGAGAUUAAGGAACUUUUCCAAGGUCACACAGGAAGUGGAUGGCAGAGCUCAACAACCCAGGCCUUUCACUGCCUAAUCAGGUACCUUCUCACUGGAUCAUUCCAAUCGUGUUUUCAAAUACAGUCAGGGUGUAUGUGGGUCUGUCCCCUCCAGACCUUGAGCACAGAUGAUUUAGGGGUCUCUGGGACUCUUGGCUCAGGCUGGACCUUUCUUUAACCCCUUUGUGUGUCCUGCCCUGCUGCCCCACUGAUCAGAGGGGUGGGGGCAGAGCCCAGCAAGGGCAGCUCUCCCAGGCUUUUCCUCGGUGGCUUUCUUGGAUUGUGGCUGCAGGAUGUUUAUAAAACUCUGAAUCAAUUUGAGGCACAGAGAUUUUCAAUCAGGGAAGCAGAUUGCGCUGAUAGGGUCAAAAGGCCUGUCGCCAGCGAGGAUCGCAGCAUCUGACAUAUUAAUUUGAGCUGUCAGAACCAAUAUGUGUAACAGAGGUGUGGAGCCACAGGCCCUGUUUCUGGAAAAAAAAAAGGGGUGGGGUGGGGUGGGGGAAGCGUGGGAAAAGGAAAAAAUAAAGAGGGGGAGGAAUCCCACCUUAAAGGAACUAAGUUUCACAGAUUCCCAUAAACCAGCAUGUGGCCAGGGCACCCUCUGCAACUUGGGAGAGGAGAGGGAGCAGGUUGGGGAGGCAGGAGGGGUGGCAGGGCUGGAGCCUUCACAGGGAGGCUGGGUGGCCCUCAGGGAAGCUUUACCAGCUUUACUCACCCUCUGCCUGUUUCCUUCCUGGCACCCUUUGACUCCCAGAGCCUUCAUGCUGGCAAAGAAGGUGGCUCUGGGCUCUGGCAGGAAGUACAUGUUAUUGAGAACUUUGAUGCAUAGCACGUGAACGUCUGUGCUGCAGUCAGGCUUCUGGGAGGAAAUCAACGUGGAGCCAGCCUCCGCCGAGGGUCACAGACACACCAUGCUUAGUGCCCUUGGCACCUCUCUUCUGCCCUCCCCCUCCCAUCUCCCCAGUUCCUUUCAGAUGGCUUUGGACAACUCUGCCGUCCCCUCCCGACCUUGAGACCUCCUAAUUUCCUUUGCCGGAGGCAGAUGCUGAUGUUCUUUGCUGGCGAGAGGACAGGACAGGCCACAAUGGUAAGGGUGCUGGGUGUGCAGCCUGCCCUCGCUCAGCCUGCACUCUCCACCUUGUGAGGUUGCACAUGGGGUGCAGGGCGGGUCCAGGAAAGCUCCGUGGUACCCAUGCUUCUUAGGCGAAAUGAUCACGAAAAUGCACAGACACACAUCCCAUUGUGGCCAAGACAUAUCUGGGGCUCAGGGAAUGCUGGUUCUGCUCCUGGGAACCCCUGGCUGCUCGGGGGCCCAAUACUGAGUUUGUUCUCUCUGUCAUGUAAAGGAACACAGUCCCCAUCCAGUGGAACAAGACUCAUGCUUAUAAAAGUAGGCCAGCUUUGAGGGAGAUACGAUCCUGUUUAAAGGUGGCAAUGUCCUCAGAUGGACACAGCAAGUGGAGACACCAAAGCCUUGAAAGUUGCUGGGGUCCCUGGUGGGAAUGGGAGGCAUUCAGACUCCUUUUGGUGUGAAUCUGAGCCUGUGGCCUCCCAGACUAGCCUCUUCAGUGCCUGCCUGACCUUUUACCUGGAGGAUGGAGGUUUGUCUAGGCACUAGAGCUGGAGGGCUCCCUUGGGGACAUAGAAGUGAACCCCAUAGCUUGGUUCCUACACUGGUCUCCCCUCUCACAAUCUGUCCCCUUAUUUAUCAAUUUUUGGAGAUUUUUUUUUAACCAAUGAAAUCUGUCAAUCAUACCUCAGUUAAGCUAAAAAAAAAUUGAUAAUGAAGAAAGAGCUAAAGACAGGGAAUUGAUAGGUCACAGAGUGCUAGAGCCAAGAUUUGAACCUGAGCUUUCUGAUGGUCCAAGUGGUGGUCUUAACCACUACACUCCAUUGCCUUCCAGAAAGAUGGGAAAUCAUCAUGAUGUAAUGUGAAGUGAAUAAGGAAGAAUGUAAAAAUAUAUCUCUAUGAAUCUAUGGUGAUAUUUAUAGACGCAUAGAAAAAUAUGGAAGAAAGUAUACCACAAUGUGUAUUGGGGUUACCCCUGGAAUGUUUGAAACAAAAAUCAAUCAGAACCCUUGAGUCCCCUUAUUCCUGGUUCUCUUGAGGCCAUUGAGAACCUAUAGCAGGCAUUGUGUCUCUCUGUGUGACCAAGAAGGGCAUUUUCUAGUUUGUAAAAUCCCUGUAGUCUGAUUCUUGAGUGGGGGCAAAUGUCACUUGGGGAGCUUGGAAAUGUCCUUCUCUAAGGAGAAAGGGGAUGUGUCAUUGCUAUAGUUUGGAUCUUUAAUGUCCCCCAAAGCCCAUGUGUUCAAGGUUUGGUCUCCAGGGUGGUGCUGUGGGAGGUGGUAGAAUCUUAAGCUGAAGGACAUAGUGAGAGGCUUUUGGGUUAUCAGGGGGCAUGUUGUUGAAGGGGAACAGGCUAACCCAACCCCUUCCUCUUUUUUUUUUUUUCUUUUGUUUCCUGGCCAUGAGGGGAGUGGCUUUUGUCUGCAACCAGCUUGUACCCUGACAUGCUGCCUCACCACAGGUCUCACCCUCAUGGGGGCCAACCAGUCUUGGUUUGGCAUCUACAAAAUGGUGAGCCAAAAUAAACUUUUUUUGUUUAUAAGUUGACUGUCUCAGGUAUUUGUUACAGGGAUGGAAAGCUGACAAACACAGUUAUUCUGACUCAUUUCAUGGUUUCCUUAUCCUUUCCGUGAGUACAGUACAAGGAUGGCAUGGUGGGCAAGAGUGCCACUCUGAGCUGUGUGUGACCGUGGACAUGUUACUCAACCUUUUCGUGCCUUGAUUUAUUCAUCUCUGAAGUGGGAGAGAGUUAUAGCACUGACCUCACAGGGUUUCAUAAGGUAAAAUGAGUCAACACAAUUAAGACGCCAGGCAUACGAAGUACUCAACCCAUGUUAGUUAUUCUUCUGUGGGAAAGCCUGGAAGAGUCAUCGGCUCCGGGUAGUUGUGUAAGUUACGAGAAUUUAAGGGAGGGCCUCCUUCCCCAGGUGCAGUGAGGAUCGCAGCCAAGCACAGGCUUUGCCUCCUUCACAUGCGUUUCUUCCCCAUCCAAUUUACCUUGGCACAAAGGGAUAAUUCAUGGGAAUGUUCACAUCCUGGUCCUUGACAUAAAUCUUCCUUCCUAGGGCUCGUGGUGACAGCUCCCCAGGUCUCUUAGACUUUCUUCUCUGAGUUUCCCAUUCAUGUUGUCCUCGCAGAGAAAGACCUUGGUGUGCCUGCCUUUCUCUGAAGCCAUCCUUUUUGGGAUGAGGGUGGGCAGGGGCAAGGAGUGGGGUGCCUGAAGAAGGAGGAGGUAGGAGAAAGAUCAUCUGGGGUCAGAAUAUGACCUUGAGAUCCAGGCUUGCACAGUAGAAUUACAGAGUAGCUAUGCUCCGCCCGACAGGGCUGCCCCAUGCCUCUGGGGAAGGCAGGGAAGGCUGUCUCCUUCAUAGGUCUAGAAUGAAACUGGCCCUGGUCCCGGGGAGGAAGGGAGUGAUUAUGUGUGAAGCUCAUUUUUUGGUUUGAUUGUUUUUUUUCUCUCAAGUACCACCUUCUCUUCCUUUUACCAAAUAAGUCCACGCUGCUUAGCCAUUUGCAUCCAUUCCCAGCCCUCAUAAUCUAUCAGAUGAGCUUGUGCAAACAACUGUUUCUUUGGGAUUCUAUCCGAAGCUCAGGUUCUCAGUUGGGAUCCCCAGGAAUGGGACAAUGAUUCUAUUUCCUUCCCAAAUGUUUAGACUUUGGGUCACAAGACUCAGGGAAAAAGAAACAAGCCUCUAGGAAAUGUUCUUCAAUUCAGAAUGGAAGCGAAGUUUUCUCAUUCACUUAUUGCAUUCAUUUAGCUAUUCAUUCAUUUGAGAAAUUAUUAUUAUUGUACUGGGGAUUGAACCCAGUGCUUUAUCACGGAACUACAUCUCCAACCCUUUUUAAUUUUUGAGUCAGGUCUCAUUAAGUUGCCCUGGUUGGCUUUGAACUUGCAAUCUUCCUGCCUCAGCAUCCCAAGUAACUGGGAUCAGAGGCAUGAGCUACAGUGUCUGGCUUUAUUGAUUCUUUUAAAUGUUGCGCUUCAAACUUGUUUUUUAAACAGCAGAACUCCUGUGUAUGUAAUAGGUCUUAGUGAAACCCAAUAGAUAUGUGUUGGAACUGAUGUUCAUAGAGUUUCAGUGACUGGUCUACAGCACCCACUCUAGCAAUUGGGAUGCUGGCUAGUACCCAGAUAUUUUCAUUUCUAACCCUUGGGUCAAAUAUGUCCUAGUUAUUGGGUGCCUUUAUAGUGAAGUAGAGGAGGUUCUAAAUUUACAAAUCAGUUCUGUUCCAAAAGUGCAUUUCAAAGUCAGUUGUCUAGAACUUGGAAAAUAUUUUCUUAUAGAAACAGAGGUGCCGAUGGUGGCUAGCUUCGCAGACCAGCCUACCAAGGCCCAUUUAAUCCACAGCGUACUGGAAUUAUGGAACUAAUGGUUCUCUAUCAGCUUUGCUUUACUAACAGGACUGCAUAACGGGUGUCUUUAGUACUGACAAGAUGGUAACCUCACCUGCGGGGAAUUCAACUGCCUGCCAGCCCUACCCUUGGGAAACACAGGAACUGGAAAGUGAGCAAAAGUGGCCUUUGCACACGGAGAAGAGGUAUCUCCAAUUUUUCUUGAUCUCAAUACAGCGUAAACUUCACGAAGGAAGGGGCCUUCUUUUUUGUUUUUUGUUUCUUGCUGUAUCCCCAGCACAUAGUGGCACGUAGUAGGUGCUUGAUAAAUAGUUCUUACGUGGACCAAAGUGUGAACCUCUGCUGGCUUUGUCAAGGAAGGGACCCUCUGGCUUAGAAUGUAGUUACAAUUAUGUAGCAUGUAGUUCUAGCAGGUCUGCUUGUUUUGUUUCCAGGCCUGUUGUAUUUAGAAAUAACGCAUUAAGGCUGAGGUAGACAGAUGACACUGACAGCAGGGAGAGGUGACCAGCAUCGGGGAGGAGGCAGAAAAACUCUGAAGGGCUAGCACAGGAACUUCAACAGCACAGCAGCCUGGGACCGUCCAGCUCAGUAAUCCUGGGAGUCAUUACUGUAAAAUAAACAUUAGUUAGUGCACCAUAAUUCGUCACCCCUAUUUAAGGAUAUAGGAAAGUCUGGAUGGAAAUUGUAGGAAGCUUAAUAAAAAGUUAUGUUUCUUAAAGAAAUAAACUCUUUUGUUAUCUGGAAAACCAUUUUAGGUCUUGAAGCAAUGGCUCUUCAAGUUCCCAGUACCCAACUGCUCUGGUGUAUAAUAUUAGAAAUUCUGGCUGUGAUGUUUUAGUUAUUAAAGGCUUGUUUGGGCUUUUGUUGAGCUCUCAGACUUUUCUUAUGACAAAUAUAAUUGGGUAACAAGUGACAAAUCCUUCCUUUAAAAGCAGAGAAAAUACUGAAAGUGGCAGUUAUGGACAGCUGUGUAUCCAAGGUGGCUCAGUGUAGUCUUGUUGGAGCCCAGGUAGGGGGAGAAGAUGAGGCAGUAGUCAUCUGUGUGUAUGUUUGAGAGAAUUUUGCAUGAAGUUAGAUCUGCCUUGAAAUAUAGGCUCUUCUACUUUGUAACUGUGUGCCCUUGGCUAAGACUUUAACCACUCUGAGCCUUGGUUUUUCUCUCCCUCAAAGAAGUAAUGCCUUCCUAAUAGGGUUGUGGGGUUUGACUGAACUAGUCUGUUUAAUAGGCCUUGUCGAGAGAUUGUUGCAUAAAGUGUCUCCAAAUAUAAUCCUCUUUUCCUAUUUCCUGGACACACCCUUCUCCCACUUCUGUUGUUGAAUAUAGAUGUGUGUGUGUGUGUGUGUGUGUGUGUAUCUCUGGCACUCAACAAUUCUUUUCUCAAGCAACACUCCUCAUUCCCUGGACUGCUCCUUGUUGAUGGGCGAUUGGGUAGAAGAACCUAGUCUAAGGAUGCUUUGCAAAUUUCAGGUAAAUAUUUGGCUACUCUAUUUUAGGUGACGGUUUGAGGCUGAGCACCAGUGAUGGAGCAUUGUUUCUAUGGACAAACGUGUUUUUCACACAUCCUUGUCCAUUCAGGUUGCUAUAAUAAAAAUACCAUAGACCAGGUGGCAUAAACAAACAUCAGCAAUUCUGGGGGCUGGGGCAUCCAAGAUCAGGGUGUCUAUAGAAUUGCCAUUGGAUGAGGGUCUACUCCCUGUUUUUUUUUUUUUUUUUUUUUUGUGGUGCUGGGGAUUGAACCCAGGGCUUUGUGUAUACGAAGUAAGCACUCUGCCAACUGAGCUAUAUCCCUAGCCCCCUGGUCAUCCUUUUGCUGAGUCCUCAUAUGGCAGAAGGUGUGAGGAUUUCUUGGGUCUCUUUUUAUAAGGGCACUAAUCCCAUUCGCAAUGGCUCCACCUCAGUCUAUUCACCUCCCAGAGGCCCCUUGUCCAAAAACUAUCACAUUUGAGGAUUAGGUUUUAAGAUAUGAAUUCGAUGGUGGGCAAAUUUUUUUGUGGUGGCCUAGAAGAAGUAAAGUGGGGCAUACUCUCUGUCUCCCUACCCCUUUUCCUUGACCAGUGUAUCCAUGAAGCAGUGGCCCACAUGAGUCAGUUCUGUGAGCAGAGUUCUCUUUGUCAAGUCUGUUGCAUGCUGUUGCAGGGGGUGGGGGUGUCACUGACCAAAAGUUUCUUAACCUUCACAAUUGUACCAGUUUUGGGGGUUGUAGUGAAAUGUUAUUGUGAAUGACCCAGAUCCCCCUGGGGACAAAGGCACUUGUUCUCCUUGCUCCUGGAAGUGUUGCUACUGAUGAGACAUGACUUAGACCCUCUCCAGACAUUGCCUACAAUGGAAGGGCUCUGUCUCAUCCAAGGUUUGGCCCCUUCUCAGAGGCAGCUGAUUAUCCAAUGUCUGCACAAUGUGCUCUAGAAGGAUCUGGUCCCCUGUGUCAAUGUGGGACCUCUCCGAAGAUCAGUCUAGCUCUGGCACUCUCUGCAGAAUCGGCUAAGGCUUCUGUUGCAGCCACAUUGCUGUUGAUCAACUUCAGAUCAACCCUGAUUCCUUUAUUCUCAAAAUCACUUCCCAAUAAGUCACCUGUAAGCAAACCUCCUUUCCAAAGUCUGCUUCGGAGGCAAAUGGACCUAUAAUAUUGGAUAUGGGAAAGGGGGCCAGGAAAUAGAUAUUAAAAUGGGAUCUGGGAGCCGGAUCAUCUACCAGCCAACGUGCAGUGAGGAUCCUGACUCUGGUGGUAGGUGAAGCCCUACCAGAACCUGGUUCCAUUUGUUUAAACUGUCCCUGGUGGUGGGGCAGGGUGGGCUACUGAUGGAAAUAUUCUGGUAGGUAUAAUAUCUCAGGUACUUGAGGAGUUUGGGGGGGGGAGUAGUAAUUAUAAGGACUAAGGAAACAUAACUGUUGAUGUCUUAAAGAAGGAAAUAAAAGACUAAAAGUAAUUAGUCACCAACUUACCACAAAGGGCCUCCUUAGAAGCAUAAAAAGAGAAUUUUAUUGCUUAAAGUUGGAGGGCAGAAAGAGGUAAGGAUUAGGCUGUGACCUUAAUGUCAGGAUAGCAGAGUUACAGAGAAGCUGAGUUCUCAAUCCCACUAAGUCAUGCUAAAAUCAGGACUAAUCAGGCUAAUUGGAAAUGAAUGGGCCCUGAGAUUUGGAGUGGGGACAUUUAGGCUGAUACACUAAAAAUUGAAUCUCAGGUUUCUCAGAACCAUCUGGACCUGCAGAAACAACCCUUUCCUUCUUAAAGACUGACAUUCCUCCCUUGCUGGAAGAUGGUGCAGGUGCCUGUGUCUUGCCAGAGAAAGUGUAUACCCCUCAGGAUUUAACUGUCCUUUUCCUUCCUGGACACCAGCCUAGUAACUAGGGACAAGUCACAACUGGUCAUAGCCGCAUUGGGCCUGCCAAGGAGGCAAGGGACGCUAUUUCAAGUGAUUUGCAAGACUAUAUGCAUCUCCAGAGCUGGGAGAUAUGUGUGGGGCUGCAUUCUGAGGGUGAUAGAUCAAAGGUUGUAAAACAUAAAUGGAAUGAGAAUUUUGUUUUUCAAUUUUUCUUUGCUAUGGGAGCAUUCUUUUUUACCUUUUAAAAUUCUUUUUAGAUAUACAUGUCAGUAGAGUGUAUUUUAUAUAUACCUGGAGUGUAACUUACUCUAAUUAGGAUGUAGGAGCAUUCUUAUUUAGGAUUUACCCAUAUGACAAGGUAGACUAUCCUGGUACUGAGCUAGCUUGCUGCUAGAGUGAAUCUUGAAAGCUUAGAGAAAUGAAGGUCUAAAUACUAUGUGAAGUGGAAGUUCUAGAAACCCAUGGCAGUCAGUGUGAGAAGAGUUCAAAAGGCUUACAGAGGGGGCUACACUAUAUUGAAUCUAUGCAAACCUGAAUCCUGCUAUUGCCUACCUCCUAAGAGAGACCAAGGAGUCCCCCCACAUUUACCAAAGUGAUAAGAAACCAUAUUUUUGUCACCAGUGUCAUGAAGAAGCUCAGUGGUGACUGUCCUCUGUGGGCUAUGACUAACAAUAUAGGAUAUUCUGUUACAGAAUUUUACUCUCUUAUAGCAGUAGGGAUGGUAGGAUCCACGAAUAAGAGGGGCCAGGUGAUGUCACUUAAUAAACUGAAACAGAAUAGCCACAGUGAUCAUGAGGAGCAGGGUCAAAACUCAGAGGAGGCCCUGACUUGCAGAGAGCUGUGAACAAACUACAGCAUAUAGCUGGGAAGGUAAUUUGGGUAUUGCAGAAUCUCUAUAUCCCAAAGAAGUUAAGGAUGAAUACUCAGGAGACUGAGACAAGUCACCGUAAUGAAAGUUAUGAUUCCUUGCCUGGUUCCUAGACUUGAGCCAGUAAUUAGACCUGGGACCCAUCAACAGAAAGACAGGCCAGGUCUCCAGAGGAAAAGACCUUGCAAAACCAUAGCAAACAUAUAAUAGCAUAAUUUCUUCAAUUCUUCCUUAUGGGGGUAUAUGACCAUUUACUUGGGUCUCCAUAAUUUGGGGAGAACAGAAUACCUAAUGACUUUUGGACACAGGGUUUGAGUUGACCUUGACACCCAGGAAAUUAAAGGAUGAGUACAGUCUUACUAAGUUUGGUUUAUAAUGGAUCCACUGGGUCCUCCAAGUGCUCCACUACCCCAUCCAGUGAUACCCCAUCCUGUUCCUUGAAUGGGUAAUUGGAAUUGCCUUGCUAGUUGGCAGGAAUUGACUUGCUAGUUAGCAUGUUGGGUUAGAGCUAUUGGAAUGGGAGUUGACAAGUGGCCUCAGAAUCUUUCCCCACCAAUAUUGCAUCCUAAGGGGAGGUAAAUGGCAGAAACUAGUGCUAUUUUUAAAGACCUGAAAGAUGCAGGGGGUUAUUGUUUUUAUCAUAUCUUCAUUUAGCUCACCAGUCUGGUCCCUACAAAACCCAGAUGGGUCCUGGAGGAUGACUGUGAACUACUACUCAACCAAGUGGGACCCCAUUUGCAAUUGCUUCUCUAGAUGCAGUAUCAUUGCUUGACAGAUUAGCAUGGCCUUAGGCACAGGGUAUGUGGCCAUUGAUCUGGUGAAUGCAUUUUUUUCCCCCUUACCUAACAAGAAGGAGGCUCAAAGCAGUUCACAUUACAUGAGGUGAGCAACAGAAUACAUUUAUGACCUGGCCUAGGGCUCUAUGAGCUCUUUUACUCUCUGUUAUAAUAAUGGCUGAGGGGAUUGGGGCCAUCUAGACAUUUCAUAGAGUGUCAUAUUGGUCACUGUUUUUUUUUUUUUCUUUUGUACUAGGGAUUGAACCCAGGGGUGCUUAACUACUGAGCUAUAUCCACAGCCCUUUUUAAUUUUGAGAUAGGGUCUUACCAGAUUGCUUAGGGCCUCACUAAAGUGCUGAAGCUAGCCUUAAACUCACAAUCCUCCUGCCUCAGCCUCCUUAGGCACUGGGAUUACAGGUGUGUCCCACCAUGCCUGCCUUGGUUACUGAAAUGAUGCCACUUUGAUAAGCAUACUGGGGAUUAAUAGGAAAUGGCAAGUAUACAGGAAGAAUUGAUAAGAUGCAUAUAACAAUAGACCAUGGGAGAUACAUUCAACAAAUAUUCCAGUGCUCAUGAUAUUAAUGAAGUUUUAAGGGAUCCUGUGGUCUGGAUCAUGCUGGGCCAUCCCCAUCAAACUAAAAGACAGAUUAUUGUCUCUCCAUUCUCUACCACCAAGACAUAAGCACAACACCUCGUAGGUCUCUUGAGGCAGUAUGCCUCACACUUGGGAACACAGCUCUGAUCCAUUGACCUACUGAUGUGGAUGGCUUUCAGCUUGGAGGGGAACCCAGGGCAGAAAGUGGUCAUACAGAAAGUUCAAGGCACAAGAACCCCAGCUUCCUGGGCCAGAGACCUUACGGACUUCAUGAUAUUAGAGGAAUUUAAGGAGUGAAAAGUCACCAUUCUCAUAAUAGGACAUUCACAAUAGAGAUCCCUAGGGAUCUGGAGGAAACCAUGCUGUCUUCACCUCUUAAAAUAGCUCUUGAUAUGGGUCCAUGUAGAGGCAGAACCUGGCCAUCAGGAGCUGAGUUCUCUCAGACAUACCAAGGCCCAAGAGCAAUCCCAAGUAAGAUGGAAGUGGGUUACCUGUGUGCAGGCACUAGUGCCACAAGACACAAGUAAGAUGUUUGGACAGGUAGUUCAGACUCCUGUAUCAUCUGCUGUUGUUGCACAGGUGACCCUUUCUCCACCCUAAUACUACCAGUUUAUUCUUGGGAGGGAGCACCCACUUGCAAGACAUUGAGCAACGUCUUCUAUGAGAAAGGACAAUUGUCCAAAGGCUAGCAGAGGGUGAUUCACCAGUGUGAUAUUCUGUGUAACACUGCAUUGGGCCAAGGGACCCACUUUAUAGUGAAGGACAAUUGCAGUGGAUAUGUGACCAUGAUGUCAACUGGUCCUGUCACCUAUCACAUCACCCAGAAAAUGUUGGCUGGAUAAAGAGAUUGGAGUACCUUCUUCACAGGCAUAGCUCAGGUGCCAGUGGAGAGGAUAGUCUUUGAAGAUAUGGUAUAUCCUCCAGGAUGCAUCAUGGAUCCUCAGUUGGUAAGUUAUGUGUUUGUCUCCAACAGGUACAAUGUGCUGGACCAGGAGAAGCCAUCCUGAUUACUGUCACCAGCUGUGAUUCAGUUGGGGAAAGUGCUUCUUCCUAAAGGUUUUGUGAGGCCAAAGUUUGCUUCUUAGAGGGGAAUGCUUCUAACUGAAAACAAAGCAAGAAUUCCAUUUAGCUCUUGCCAUGACAACUGGUUGGUCACCUUAGGUUGACAGGUAGCUCAGACUCCUUGACCUUGCCAAGAGAAAGCCAGGACAGAAGUCACCAGUUGUUAGGUGUCAUUGAUUUCAUUCAUUGGGAGUGGUAAGGCUGCUGACAUGAAGUAAGAGGCGAGGAAGAAUGUGAUUGUCACUGAGGUAGCUUUUGAAAUUCCCAUGUCCAAAUUUAAAUUAUGAUUUUUUUUUUUUUUUUUAGGAAUUGAAUUCAGUGAUGCUCAAGCACUGAGCCACAUCCCUAGCCCCCCUUAUUUUCUAUUUUGAGACAAGAUCUCACUAAGUUGCUUAGGGCCUCACUAAGUUGCUGAGGGUAGUCUUGAACCUGAGAUCCUUCUGCCUCAGCCUCCCAAGUUGCUGGGAUUACCAGCAUGCACCACCAUGCCCUUAUGUCCAAUUUUGAUGGCCAGUGGACAAGUACAACAGCUAUAUUCUGGGGAGGCUUGGUGACCUGAUGAAGGAUGAGGAUCUGGACCAGCUCACCAAGUAAGCCACCUAUGCCAGUAAAAGUGGUAAUGGAGGGUGAAGAAAUCUAGAAUGGGCAGCUCCUAGGCCAGUUUGAGCAGUAGGGAUGGAGUUUCUCUCAGAAUGGAGACCAAUCAGAACCCGGAGGAGCUAUUCCAGGAUGGGGUGCUUUAUAGCAAGUAAAUGAAUCCUAAAAACAUAACCGGUGGUCUGUAGGUCUGAUAUGGUCUACCUUCCUAUGCCUCCUUCAGAACUCACAGCAUUUAGCACACUCUAGGAUAAAGAACUGUUGACAUGGGGGCUUCUUUCUGGAGGUGAAUGUGGCCCUUAAUUCAUAAGGAUGUAAAUGCCAUAAGAAUAUAGAUUCCAUGGGGCUAGGGAUUCUUGUUUCAUUCUUCUCUUGCUGGGAGCCUAAGAGGGUGCUUGGACCAGCGUAAGCAUUUGGUCAUCAUUUGUCGGAUGAACAAUUGUUUAUUAUCUUUAGCCCUGUCCAGCUUGUAGCCUGUGCCUACUUGUUGAAGGACAAGUUUGCCACCUUAGGUUUUUUUCAUGUGGAAUUUCAGGUACUGCAUUAGAGGGAUAGCUUUGAUGCUGGAAAGUCCUUGAGGUCAUGUUCAAAUUAUCAUACCUAUAUGCACAUGCACACACACACACACAGAGUGAUUCUGAAACAUCCUUCUAAAUUCUUUGUGAAUAUGGAGGCCCAAGGAAACCAGUUCUUGUCAAGCUGUUUCCAUAUUUCCCUACCCUAGGAGGAUAAGCCCCAUUGAGACUAGGUGUCAGAUCCUGUGCCUCUAUCUCUCCCACUUGGGCCCCAGGCCCUCACCUCCAGAGUUGGCACAUCAUCAGACCAAGUUAUUCCCAUAAAGGCGCAAAACUUGAGACUUAAAUUGGAUUUGCCUGUGGCUUUGUGCUCUUCAUGUCCCUCCCUCCUUUGGUUUUGAUUUAUCGUUUUAAUCAGUCAUAGUCAAUCAUUCCCUCUCCGUCUUGCUCACCAUAAACACAACCUCUUGCCAAAAAAAUUAUGACUGUAUUAAAUGAUUUUAUUACAGUAAACUGCAGAUUGUACAGUGUAAACACAGGUGCCGCUCAAACUCCACACCCUCCAGCUCUGUCCAGACCAGCACUGGUGCCGGGAGGGCGGGGAGGUGCCCAGGCCUGCGGGAGGGAGUGCCGCCGGCAGUCAGAGGAUCAGGAGGUCCUUCGGUUUAGCCCUUUGCCAUAGAGAUGAAGAAACUAAGUCUCUGGCUGGUGAAGCCACAGGUCUCAGAAGGCUGAAAGGUCACACAGAUGUCUAAUGUCACACAGCUGUCCAAUGACAGAGCUAGAGUUGGAUCUAGGGUCAUCUGAUGUUUGAGACCCUUUGCAUGACACCUUUCCUUUAUGCUUUAUCUUCUCCCUUUCCAGGGUCAUUUUUGGCUCAUAGAUAUUUAUUUAUUUAGUACCAGGGAUUGAACUCAGGGGCACUUUACCACUGAGCCACAUCCCAAGCUCUUUUUUAUAUUUUAUUUAGACACAGGAUUUUUCUGAGUUGUUUAGGGCCUUGCUAAGUUGCUGAGCCUGGCCUUGAACUUGAGAUCCUUCUGCCUCAGCCUCCUGAGCCACUGGGAUUAUACGUAUGGGCCACUGUGCCCAGCUGAGUUUGAUAUUAUAAUUCUCUUACACACAUACACACACACACACACACACACACACACACAUGAACCAUGGGUCUUAUGUUUGCUUUUUGUCUCAGCACUGGGGGAAAUGUAAAUUCAGUAUAAAGAACAAGUAGCUCUUCUUUCCCCUCAAUCAGGGAUGGCAGAGAUGGGGACUCCCUAUCCAAGCCAUUGUUCUGGAGACAGAGAUGGGGAAGUCCCAAAGUAGACACAACCAAAGAAGGCUCUUCUGGGAUGAGGCCUUGGGGAAGCAGCCCAGACCAGCGCCUUCUGGCUGGUGAGUAGGAGAGCUUUGUCCUGGGAUGGCCGCGCCACUCUUGAAGCUUGGAACCCUGUGUUGCCAAAGUAGCUUGCCCAGUAGUACUGGAGCCAUGGAGUUUAGUUUCUUUUGGUGUAGGUACAAGAGUAGAGAAGACCAAGACUCUUUGGGGGGUCAUUUCUCCCCGGCGGGGGGGGGGUGGUCUACUCUAAAUAUAUUGUUACUAAGUAAGCAUGAGAAAGGCAUUUUCUAAACAGGUGACUUAUCAGGUCGAGGGGGACUCUUAGAAAGGGUACUCCAAAGAUGGGACUAUUUGGACAAUCCAUUGAAGAUGUCACCUCCUCAUUGGGAGCUUUCUUAGCCUAAACUCUCCAGCCCUUUGGGAAUCAGUGCGCGUACACACACACACACACACACACACACACAACAUAUAUACAUAACAUAUAUACAUAUAUAGUUUAGUCUUCACAUCUGCUCUUUCCCCCCCUUCCUGUUUGUUUUUUGGUUUUGGCACAUCUGGGCCUCUGUAGUAAACAGAUCCAAUAUUUACCAAGCAGCUCCAAAGGUUACAUUUGCUUCCAAAGUUUUUAAUUCCUCCUCCUUUUGGAUAAGUUUCAGCUCCAGAGAGAAGCUGUUUUUGCUGAGCCUGGGCUGCAGGAGAGAGGCAGGAACACAGACCCAUCUGUUGAAGAUUGGAACAUAAAUAGCCCCCUUUAAAAAUAAAUCUCCGCUUUUAACUCUGUAGAUAAAAAUAUCUGAAUAAAGGACAAUUCUUAAUCUCCACCUUCUCCCCUGCUUGACUCAAGCGUUUCUAAGUGGAGUUUUUUUUUUUUUUCUCUUCUCCUUUUACAGGUUUCAUUUUGGCUUUGAUUCUAGUGAGUUUACUGACAGAUUACUUCAUUUUAACUAUAUGGCUUUUCUGUCUAGGGGGAGGUAUAUUUCUAAGUAUCAUAUUUAUCAAAAGAGCUCUGCAAAACAAGGGCCAGAAUUACUCUUUUGAUGGUUCCCCCUCUAACUACAACCACAAUAAAUUUUGUGAGAAAGAAUGCUCAACUGGGGACCUUUUAUGUUAAAGCCGAGAACCGGGGUUCAGACGUUGUCACUUUCAAACCUCCACCAGUUGGGCUGUUUUUUUUUUUUUUCCUUCUUCUCCUCUCCCCGGCCAGAAAUCUCACAUCUGGUCUCACUUGCAAGGCUGGUCCUGGGCUCCCAGGGGCUCCAUAUUUUUCCCCCUAUAACUUUAAAUCAGAGGAGCAUUUCAGUAAAUCACAGGGAACACUUAUUUAUUGGACAUAGUUUUGGGUCUCUUAAAGCAUGGAAAAUAAAUUUAAUGGAGCGUUCGGAGCAUUUCUCCAAUCUUUUGAGGGAUUACUUGGGGAAUUUGUCAACUGCGCCAAGCCCAGCAGCCUGAUCCAGAGAGAUGGGAAGGAAAUGAUGGGAGAAUCUUCUCAGAGGACCCAGGUGGAUCCUAAAUCACCCCAAGAAAGAUUAAUAUAGGAGGACCAGUUGCCAGCAAGGUUGAUCGGCAGCCUGGCCAUCUAUUUAAUAAACUAUCAUUUCAGCUGGAGGGUGACUUUAAUCUGAAUUACAUUUUGUUUUUGUCAUCCACUCUUGCCAAGUAAUUUAUGGCAUACCAGAGCAUGCUUUUUAACCUCAAACAGCAAAGGAGGGAGGUAAAAAAAGGGGGGGGGAUGGGGGCAGGAACAAAGACAGAUAAUAAAAUAAAAAGAGGGAAGAGAGAAGUUCUAGGAGGCUGUGAAAACCUGGAGGUCAAUAGAGGAGCAGGGUAGAGCAGACAAUUGGAGAGAGGGAUGGAUGGAGAGAGGGACUGCCCGAGAGGAGUAGGUGGAGGCUGCCUGUCUGGGCAGUCAGUUCUUGGUGACCUUGAACCAGAAAUGAAGGUGGGUGGGGUUGGUCUUUCUUCUUUGAGGGAAAUUAGUGAGGGUAAUUUUUUCCUGGCUUGUGGGAUCAGUGACCUUGCAGGUUAGGGUAGCAGGAGUGCUUGCUUAGCCUAGGAAGAUGGGAGGCUUCUGAGGUAACCCUCGGGAGGUGUGCUGCUCCUUCAGGUUGGAGCUGCUGGGAGAACAAAGGGCUGUUCAUGAGGGCGGACAGGCUUUGUUUUUGGAAGCAGAGCAACAGUGACAUUAUUGUGGUCAUUAUGAGCCUUAGUGCAGAACCACCAUGCCCCUUUUCUGAAAUUGUGGGUCUGGAGGUUCUGAUUUGUCUUUGUCCUAGUCUUGGUGAUUCUUCACCAAGAAGAGGACAGGGAUUUUUGUUUUUAGGUCCAAAUGGGUAAAGUGAGGCACAAGGUAAGCAGGAGCAAAAGCUAAGGGAUCUCCUUAAGCCAUAGGGGUGCUGCAGGGGGCCAGGGACAUAGAUGUGCUCAUUUCUCCAGCUUUCGUGUCCUGCAGAUGAGGGCUGAAGAGCUUCCUGCUCUUCAUUUCCGUUUUCUUGGAGCUUCUUUGAUGUCCUGGGGAGAGGACUUUCUGCUCUGAUUUCCUUGUUCUCCCACGUGAUUCCUACCAACCCUUCUCUGCUUCUUCACUCUGUCUUUUCAGCCUAGUCAAACCAGUCCUUGCCUGUCACCUCCCUGGAUGGCCAUGGACAAGGGCCUUGGAGUCGGGGAACUCAUAGGGACCACUGGGGUGGUAGCCUCGGGAAUGAGAGGAGGGUCAGAGGGGAGACAGGAUGACCAGAAAGUUCUGGGCCAGGUGAACUCUGAAGUGGUCGCUGCUCAAUCCAGACUCAAAACAGAGUGCAAGUGAAGACCUUGUCUGCCCACAGGCUUCUGUGGAGUGAAUUUAGAUGUGGUAGGUGUGGGUGUGGAGGAAAUGUUCUGGGGUUUGGGAAAUUACAGGAGCAGGGCUUCAUGGUGAGCACGUGCCAAAAUGCUGACCUUCAAGUGACCUCUCACUGGCUCUGCAUGGCUUUUCCUGUUUGCUUAGGGUCCUCCGUGAUCUGGCUUCAUCCAAGUUUUCAGCCUCCCCAUUCCUUAUAGUCCCACGAACACUCUGGACUGUAGUUUACCUUCUUACUUCUGCUUUGAUGGUCCUUCUCUUCUUGUCCAUCCUUCCUAGUUUUACCCACACUUCAAAGUUUGAGACCAAGUUUUAUUUUCCCCUAGAACAUGUCCCUGAACACUUUGUUCUUUGUGACCAACUGAUGGCCUCUACCACACUCUUUAGCAUGAAGGUGAAUAUGGUCUCUUAUUGCCCCUGUCGAGUUCCUAUUUCCCUCUCUGUCUUAUCUCCUCAUUGGUAAGUGAAGGGCUGUGAGGGAUGAUCUCUAAGGUCCUUUGCAGCUAUAGUGUUCUAAGAGUCUAUGUCUCACCCACCUCCUGUAUCUUUUUCUCUUAUGAAACCUCAUAAUAUUCUAGUCCAGGAUUGAGCUCUGAGAGGGUAUUCCAUAAGUACUUUGGUUUACUCAUCUGUACAUGUCUUUUUUCCUACUGGAGGUGGAAAGACUAGGAGUAGCUUAGGUGCCUUGGGAGCCUUGUCCUGUAGUUGAGCCCAAAGAAAGCAAUUUGUGGAUAUGGUAAAAAUUGCUCUGAUUUCUUUACUCCCAGUAUAUUCUGUUUUGGGGAAUUUACUUUGGGGAGUUCUCUCUAGCAUAGGGAGAGCGCUUACUAAAGGGGCUGGGGAGCUCCUUUGCAGAAAAUACAUUUUAUAGCACAAUAGAAAAAAGUUCCCAACUUGAUUCAGACCUGGGUUUGGCCACUUCUUGCCCCCAAGACUCAGGCAAGUCACUUGGCCUGCGAAUCUUACACGUUCAUCUCUAGAACAAUGGUUCCAGUACCUGCCUGUUUGAUCUCCAAGGACUGUUGUGGGAAUAAAAAGGUGAGUUGACUUGGGAGAACGUUCUGUGAAUUGUGAAGCUAAUCGUAGCAGGUGUGAAGUGGCCGAGGAGGUAUGAAGCGAGCACCUAACCUCUUAACACUAACAAAUAAAAGCCAAGACAACAGAAAAAGAGGACAUGGAAGGGCUCUCCCUCCCUCUCUCACUGUUGGACAAAGCACCACUUCUCUGGAUAAUAUGCUGUAGAAAUGCUCCCCCCUCACCCACAGGGAGGGAAUAAAAAAAGACAGAAAAGAAAGUCAAGCGAGAAGGAACAUACUGGUAUAUUCUGAAAGUUGACUCUGGGAGGAGAGGAAAACAUGAGCAAACAAAAGCUGUCACUCACUGGCAAGCUGCUUCCCCUGAGGAAUAAUCUCUGUGAAGAAAAAUUAAAGAUAUGAACGUAGCCUUGAGCAGGCGUACAGACCCUGGCUAUGGCUGGUAACUUGGGAACCUCUGGGGCGUGGCCUUCCCUCCCAGUCUUGGGGUUUUACGAGCUCUGAGGGGUUGAGAAAGGGGGCAGAGUUCGUCUUCUGUCCUCCAAGGGGGCAGCGUCUUCCUGUCCCCCACAGUCCCUGCAGUUUGCCUGAACAGGCGUGCCUGGCAGUGCCAUGGUCCAGGCCUGGACCCCAUGUGGCCGUGUCAUGGCCGCAACCUGGACCCUGUGUAGAGCCCUACCCACCCUUGGCCUUUCUUACGCACUCACACCUCACUUCUCUUCAUCCUGUUCCAACUUCCCUCUCUUCCCACAUCCAUCCGCCUUGCCUUGUCAAUUUUCACCCCAUGAAUCAGAAGUUGGAGGGCCCCUGGAAGCUGGCAACUGGGGCUCCAGCCUUCUAGAAACCUGUUUGUGUGCAAACAGACAAAGGGCUCCCCCCCUCCAUGCACACACCAUCCCGACUUUCCAAGACGAUGAUUGAGUUUUUCCCCUGUUCUGCUUGAUAUUUCUGCCAAAGCAAGAAAAAUCCUCGUUGAAGUCUAGCAGGAAAUCCAAUAAAAAUUCUUCAAAAGAUGGGCUUGACAUUGAAAAACAGCAAAAUUAUAAAAUAGGCCUUAGAAAAGAGAGAGGAGAGUUAUUAUAUCUGGCACCAAGCAAAAGCCCCGAGACCCCGUCCAAAUGAGCCAUCACAGAUUGAAAGUGUUUAGCUUCCCGUUGAUUAAAUAUGGAGAAGGACCCAGGGCCUGCCAAGCCUCGGGGAUCCAAAGUUUGUUUUCAGUCAGAAUGUGUUUUCAGUCAAUGGAAAAAAUGGUCGGCCUGCGCUGGGCUAUGUAACCGAGAAGCCCCAGGUUUGGAGUGAGUAAUGGCUGUGAAGCAGAAAACCAUGAGGGUUGUUAAUCAUCCCUCCCAGGCCCCUGUAAUUUAACUCAGCGACUCCUUCGGCUUGGAACGCUCUCCCCACCCCCUUGCCUCCUUCUCCCUGAGUUCAUUUUGCUCCAGGGAGGAGAGAGGAGUCCUUCUGAAGGUCCUCUGCAUUUCAGUUCUUAAAUCUACCCCCUCCCCAGCCCUCUCCCUAUCGUGUCCCCAUCAUCCGUGGCUCUGAACAUCCCAGGAUGUGGGAACAGAGAGCAGAGAUACACUCCCACCCAUGCGGUUCUUUCAGGAAAAUUUGCUUUGUCCCAUGAGCUUCCUGAAAGCAAGACCUGGAAAAAUCUCGACCUCCACCGAUUGCCUUUGUGGGUUGGGCUGUCUUACAGAGGUGUUUACUGACAUUUAAAAAACAGUUAUCUUUUUCCCACCUUAAAGUUUUCUUUUUUCUUAGGUCACAUUGACCGUACAUUAUUCCCUUGGGAUUAAGAGUAUAGGAAGUCUGGUUUCUGCUGUCUUUAAAGUCCCCAUAAAUGAGGCUUCUGAGAUAGAGUGAGUGACAGGGAGAAGAGAGAAAAGGGUGAGUUGGGUGGGGGGGGGGAGAGAGAGAGAGAGAGAGAGAGAGAGAGAGGGAGAGAGAGACUGGAGGGGAACAUGUGGCCUAUGAGGUAGGCCAAACCUCCUUUUCUGUCAAAUGCAAACUCUAUUCUACUCUUCUGCUUUCCCAGCCACCUAUGCUGCCACCUUCUUUUUUUUGGUGGGUUGGGGGGUGGUUUCCAAGGAUUGAACUUGGGGCACUUGACCACUGAGCCACAUCCCCAGCCCUAUUUCAUAUUUUAUUUAGAGACAGGGUCUCACUGAGUUGCUUAGCACCUCAAUGUUGCUGAGGCUGGUUUUGAACUUGCGAUCCUCCUGCCUCAGCCGAUGGCAUUACAGGCUGUCCCACUGCGCCUGGCCUCUCCAUGCUUACUUCUUGAGUCAAGUUUUGACCAGCAUUAGCAGCACCAGGGGAAUGAGGUUGCUGGUGUGAAUCUCCUCUUUCUUGUCCUGCCCUAAUGGGUAUAUGGUGGCUUCAUUGAAACUAUUGGUUUCAUUGGCUUCAGGCCUCUAUGCAAUCACCUCUCCAGAUAACUGCUAUUGAUGGGUCACAUUUCACUAAAGUCUAGUUAAAAUUGCAGGAGUAGGACCUAGUGAACAUUCUUUUGGUCUGCUGUUUGUUUCAGAAUGGUGGUCAGCCUGAGCCGCAGCUCAAUCUCCAAGUACAGAGAGGGCUUGAUACCUUUCAGCUGGGCACCAACAUUUGGUUGCAGGAAGUCACUUCAACCAAAUAGUUUUUUUUUUUUUUUUGAGGACUAGGCAAAUAAACGGAAGAAAAUGAGUAAAUAAGUGGCUUUAAAAUUAUGACAUGGGAAAUGCUCAGCGGUUGAGUGGAAACAGAUUCUUCUGUAAGGAGAGCAAGUCUCUGGCAGCUCAGCUGUAGGGACAUGAGCCCAAUCAGCAAAUACUCUGAGUGACCAAUGAUGCUGAGAAGUGAAAAGGAGAUAGCUCCACAGGCUAGAUUGUCCCAAAGAUCCAGCUAGAGGAAUUCUGGGAAGGGAGGAAGUCAAAGGAAAAAAGCUUGUGUGUGUGUGUGUGUGUGUGUGUGUAUGUGUGUAUGAGGGGGGUGGGGGGAGUGGGAGAUAUGCUUUGGAUAUCACUAUUCUAGGAGAAGGAAGAUCAAGGAUGUCACAAGGAGAAGGAGAAGAGGAGGAGGAGGAGGAGGAGAAGAGGAGUCCAAGUUGGUCCUCAUGUACCACCCUCUGCCUUCACAUCAUUAGAAUCCUUCCUCAUACCUGUCAUUUUUUGGAGUAAUUACAGGGUGCUAGCAUGUGCCAGAAGCUGUCUGUAUUAUGUAACCCUUUCAGUGGUUCUCUGUGGUAUGCCUUAGGUCCCUUCUUCACCGUAAAGAAUCUGGAAUUUGGAAAGGAGAAGAGCUUAUAAAUGGAGGAGUCAGGAUUUGAACCUGGAUCUGUCCAGCCUCUUGCCCUGACCCACACAGAGAGUCUGGUGAGUUUUUGUAGGCAGUGAUUCCAGGACUCAGAUAUUUGGAGACAACCCAGGAGGAUACACAUCAAAGAUUCCACUUCACAGUGGAGGAAAACCAGCAGCCCCAUGGGGCGGAGAGUCGGCAUUUCAAACAGCAGUGAAGGCUGCUGUGCUGGGGGGCUCAUGGCAGCAGCGGGACCCAGGUUGGGAGGGUCAGUGGCAGGUCACUGUCAUCAUCAAUCACCCCAAAGCCUUUUGUCUGCAGCAGGGAGGGAGAGGGAGCUGGCUGGGGCACCAAAGCAAAGCAGGUGGACCAAUAGAAUUUAAGGGAUUCUGCUGGUGGGAGAUGGGAAGGAGUAUUUAGAAGUUUAAGGGGAAUCUUCAUGGCUUGGGGAAUGCCCCGGUGGGAGAAAAUGUGCCGUUCCGAGAUCCUGUACAGCAUUCCCAUCACAAGCUGGUCCUUCCCAAUGCUGCGUUGCUCCUGGCACUGGGGGUUCUUAUAGACCUAUCUAUCCAUUGCUAAAUGCUUCAUUGGACCACACCAGCCACUGUUCUAGAAGGUACCAAGAAAUGCAUCAAAAAUUUUAUAACAAGUUUUUUAAAUCUGGUAUAUUAGACACUUACAAAUCUCAAAUUCUUUUCCCCAAAAAUAUGUUAUUUUAUUUGCACUCUGAGAAACCUAUAGUCCAAUAAGGGAGGAUAUGGUCAUGGAGAACAACGUAGGCACCUGCCAGGCACUGUUUCAAAUAGUUGUACGUCUUCAUAAUGGCAAUGCUAACAAUGGCUGAGGUAGAAACUCCUGUUAUCCCUCCUUUUCACAAGAAUGAACCGAAGUACAGGGGGGUUAAGUCGUUUGUCUGAAGCUAUAUGACCAGUGAGUGGUAGGGUCAGGAUUCAAUGCCAGGCUGUCAAGGUCUGUGCCCAACUAUGAACUGGUGCACCCCACUGUCCUUGGUGUUUGUAGAGAAGGCAGCGGUGGAGUGGGAUAUGUUCAAGAGUAGGGAGAAGCUGAAGUGAGCAAGCUGGACUCAGACAAGUGGUCAGGGAGCUGGGCAUAAGGACAGGAGGCCUCUGGAGAGGAGGCUUUGGAGAGAGUGGAGGACUUGAGGUGAGUUGUUCAGGGACCUUCUUGAGGCCGGGCUGAGGGUCAGACCGAUCCUGGGACCUUUUGGAGAGAGAGAAUGAAUCUGACGAGAGUGAGGUGGUCUUCAGUGGGCAGUAAGGACACAGGUCUGUGGGCAGGCAGAUCCUGAAAGCCAGGGAAGAUUUAGUUUGUACCCUGGGAGAGGGUAGGGUUCUCCGGGCAUUCUGAGCCAUAGCUGGCACAGCAUAAAUCACCAGGAGACUAGCAUGCCAGGCCUGGCUCUGCCUUGAGGCAUCUCUCUCAAGGUCACUCAGCUAAUUCAUGUCUUUGGAUUCCAGCUAUCUUAUUUUUUUUUUAAAUAAAGGAAUUAGGCUGGAUGCUGUCCCCUGCCUAUAGAGUUCUGUGGUAAGAGCCGAAGAGGAGAAUCAGGCAGGGUUUUAAAAAGAGGUUGGGGAUGGAAGAAACUAAAGAUAAUGAAACCUUGGAAUCAGAAUUAAGGUGAUCUUAGAUACCUUCUCCCUACUCUGUUUUGUAAGUGGGGAAACUGAGGCCCAGAAAGGGCAAAUGAUUUCUCUAAGCCACACAGCUUAUUAUUGGGAGAGCCGAGGCCUUAAUCCAGGCUUAGGCCCCUGGGCCUGCUCCCCUGCAGGUAGGAGCCAUUGAAAGAACUUUGCUCAAGAGUAGGCUGAAAGCAGAAAGGGCUGGGAGGCUCACAGGACAGUGCUACCAGUAUUCAUUCUUACUGCAUUUUGCCAGCAUUGGCCCGGUAACCGUCUCCAGAGGAGCAUAGCUAGGCAUUGGCAUCUCAGAACCACCAAUCCGUGGGUUCCAGUCCUAAUUCUGCCCUGGUGAGGAAUAUGCUGCUAUGCUCAUCUGUAAAAUGGCAGACCUGUCCCUGCUCAUGGCUGUGAGCUGAGGCUAUAAUGUCCUGGGAGCCAUCUGCAGGGAAAAUUGAAGUCUGAGGUGGGACCGAAGCCAAUGGCCAGUGUGGUGGCAGAUCCCCAGGACCUGGGCUCCUCUUUUGCUUUUCUGGGCCCAGAGCCAUGCUCCUCACACCUCCUGUGGCCUGGAGUGAAGGAGCAGGGUGUGCUGGCCUGGGGCUCCAGGGCUGGGUGGAGGGGGUGAGGCUGCAAGUAUUGCCUGAGCCCUGACACUUGUAUGAACCUCCCUCCCAGGUUCCUAUUUGCACUCCAUGUCAAAGGAGGCUGGUAAAAGUUAACAGGCCUCCCUGCCUCUAGGAGAUCAGAAAGACAACUGGAGCUUCCUGGGGUCAGGAAGAGGUCACUGAGACCUGCCUGACCAGGCAGUCCUGAGCUGACCCUGAUUUAGAAUCCUGCUCUCUACCUGAAUCCAGAACCCAGAGCACCUUCCAAGGCAGCUGACCUGAGUCCCCAUUUCUCUAAAGGCACCUGAGAAGGUGUCCUGGGCCUUUCUUACAGGGCCCCUUCUCCGUUGGGCCCAACAUUUCCCCCUGGCCCUGGGCCCAGGGGUGUGUGGAGGGGAAGAAGUCCAAGAGGGAGUGAGUGGGAUCCAGAGUGGGAUGACUCUGAAUGACAUGUAGGGCAGAAUCUGUGUCUGGGCUGGGCCUGGCCAGGUGUGACCCUAGUCCCUGACCCCUGGUGGCCCAGAGCGGGAGGAGGUGAGGGAUGGGGAUUGGGAGGAGGCUGUUGGCUAACAUUUACCAGGACCUUUGAAGAUGUAAAUGCUUCCCCAGCCCCUGCUGGGAUUGAUGGGGUCAGAGUUCACAGGCAUGGUUGCCUGGUUCUCCAAGUGGGCUGGAAAUCUUUCAGACAGAUGGGUAAGGGUCCCCUGUGAUGGCACAUUCCCUAGAGGCAAAGGGCUCAUGGGAAAUGCUAUUUCUGUUGCUCUUUUGGGAUCAGGCCCAGUGUCCUGGAGGCUGUAGGACCGGCUGAUGGAAGUUGUUUUUGUCAACUACUCACAUGUUGCUUGGGUGUGUUUUCCAGGUUGUAUUUGGUCCCAUGAAAAUCAAUCAGUGGAUGAUCUGGGAGAGCUUCCAUCUCCUGACUCUGCCUGACUUGAAGCUUUUUGCCUACCCAUAUUAGAUUGUCUGCGGUCUCCUGUCACACCAUGCUCUUUCUUGCCUGGCAUCCCUCCUGAGCUGUUUUCUCUGCGGGCUUGUCCUUUUCACCUCCUUAACAUUAAAAACUCCUAUUCACCUUUCUGCAUCACCUCUUCCAGGAAGCCUUCUUGGAAUGGCACCUGCCCCUCUCCUACAACAGUCAACAGCUCAUGCACUCAACUAAUAUUUAUGAACUGUGUGCCAGGCCCGGUUCUAUUGGAAACGUAUCAGGGCAUACAGCAGAUCAAAAUCCUUUCCUCAAGGAAUUUAUGUUCUAGAAGGUAAUGAUAACUAACAUUUAUAUAAUCCUUUUUGAAAAGCUUUAUAUGCAUUAACAAAUUUAAUCUUUAGAACUUCCCUAUAAGGUAGGUCAAUUUAUUUUCCACAUUUCGAUAAAUGAAGUUACACACCUGAUAAGGGUCAUAUUUAAUUUAAUUUAAUUUAAUCCUUACCACAGGAUUAUGAGAUUGAUGCCAUUUUCCUCAUUUUACAGAUUAGGAGCCAAGACUGAAGGGGCUAAGUAUUGGUCAAGGUCAUCUAGCCAGUAAGAGCAGUACCAAGUAGAUAGAUAACUGCAAGCCUGGGAAGGCCUAGAUUGCCUCCCUGUAAUACUAUUACUCUGUUUCUGUGUUGAAGCAUUUUCAUUUCCUAUUUAGGUGAUCUUCUCAUCUUCCUCAUUAUCCUAGGAGUUCUCCCCAGGCAGUAAUCUGGCUUAUUUAUCUGUGUCUCUUGAACUCCCAUUGUGUUGAACACUCAAUUUGCAUCCAACAAAUACUUGCCUAUUGAUUGAUUGACAGCUGUAUGUGGGUGGAGAUGAGGAGGAGGCAGCUAGUAUCUGUUGCAUAUACUCUAUGCUAGGUUGCGCACUGGUCCUUGCUAACCACCAUCUCUUUUAGUCCUCGGGAUAGUCAUAAUGAACUAGCUUUCUCUGGGCUGGCAGCUAGUGUUUGCAAAAGAUGGGAUUUCAUCACAGGUUUCUCUGACUCCAAAAAUCCAUGUCCUUUCUACACCACAGGAGGCUGCUGAUGGAUGGCAAGGUGGCCACUCCGGAAAGUGUUGGAGCCAAAGCCUCCUGAGCUCUUGCUGUUCCAGUCCCCACCUGGCUAGGAGAAAUGGAGAGGGGGUGGACCUUCCAUUUCGAGGCUACCUCCACAAUAGAUUAAAAGGCAUCUGGGAAAUUGAGGCUUUGGUUCCAAGCUCAUUCCCACCUAUCCAGAUGUUUGAAGUAGUUAAAGGGCAGCAAUUUGGUCCAUUACAGGUGUUUAAUGGAUUUUUAUCAAUUGUUGCGAAUUGCUACUGAUUUGUUCCAGGGAAGUUGCUGGAAUCAGACAUAACUGGCAAAUAUUGCACAUGUUUUCCAAUGAAGGAGGAGGAUUAUGGCAGACUAGCCUUUAGUUUUCAGGUCUGGAGCGGAUAUGCAAGGGUUCUCUGUGUAUAUUUAGUUCUUUUGUUCAAACAUCUGUUUAUCCUCCUCCUCCUCCUCCUCCCCCUCCCCCCCCUCCUCCUCCUCCUCUCUCCCAAUUAGGAAAGGAGAACAGAAUCUUCUGAUUGAUCUACCCAUAGAGCCUUGUAGACUAGCUGGCUGGAUCUAUGAGUGGAAGGAAUACAAGAGACCCACCCAGGGUUCCCAGCCAAGCAGAGCACUGGAACUCGUGUCUCAGGCCUCCAUGUCCCCACUGUCACCAGCUGGUCACGUCAGCUUCCAUGGCCCCCCAUCUCCCACAGCAGACAGCCAUGUCAGGUUUCCCCUCCUACUUUGGCUAAUCCCCUAUUUUGCUUGACUUAGAAUCAAAAUGCAGGAGGACUGCACCCAAACGGACUAAGCUUGCUUUAAUCACUGGCAGGUAAUUUGAUAGAUGGCUUGGCCAGCACCCACUGUAGGAAUUAAGCAAAGCCUGAGUUGUGGAGACAGUGGGAAAUAACCUUGAGUGACUGUGGUAAGCAGGCGGCCUCAUUUCACCCGGGGGACAGCACCUGCCCCAGCUCUACAACUCAAAUUGGAAGCCUGCAUGCAGUGUCUGCCAGGUGGAUGGGUGACAUUUCUCUCCCAGCCUCUUCCUCCAAAGACAGGACAAAUGUGUCAGCAGCGGGGCCUCAGGAAGAACCAGCAGACCCUCAGCUUCUCUUCUGACUUACCUGGGGAUAGGACAUCUAACAGUUGAGGAAGGAGUGACUGAAACUGUGCCCCAGUGUCCCCUCCUACCAGUUCAGGUCACAUUUCCCCCAGGCCAGCCAGGUAAGCAUUCCAGCAAAUGAGCUCAUUUGUUGGUUCCCUCAUUUGUUGGGGGAACACAAGAGAAGCCAGGGCCUUUCAGCAGAUGAGAGUGGCAUUAUAAAAUUAGUGUUUUAUGGGCCACAUGCAGAAACUGACCAGUUACCCAAGACUCUGCUGCUUCUGCACAGGGGCCAGUUGCAGAGGAGAAACUUCUAGAUUCUUUCAUCCUGAUGAGGAUUGUUAGCUCUGACUUCAGAUAAGCAGAACAAACAAGCCUCAGCCCAAGUGGGAACUGGUUCUGCGCCCUCGCUUUGCUUUUCUAAGUCAUCAAAGCCAAGUUCCUAGGGCCUGACUGUCUCACGGUACUUUCUGAUGGUUUCAUUGUUUUGUUUAUUGUGCUUAUGACAAGUGCUAACAGACCGCUUUCAAAGUGUGUUGAUAUUUCAGUUGUUUUUGAAUGGCCCUUCUGUUUUUCUGCAUCUGGACAGCAUUACAGUCUGGCCCCAGGGAACCACUGGGUUCCUAUAAAAGUGUACCAGGUCCCCUUAUGCGGAAAACACUGGCCAUGACAAGAUCAGACACCCUUCUGGGCAGGAACACACACCAGAAAUGAGAGCAGAAUCAUGAGCAGCCUUCAGGAGCCAGGAAGGACAGGCCUGGGCUGGGAAGAGGCCAGUGAGCAUUGCCAAGAGGACUGUGGGUGUUCUUUUUCUAUGCAUGGACAUAUUGUGACCUUCCCAAGGGACAAACUCUACCUAGCAGGGUGCCUAGCACUGGGCCAUGUUACUAAGUGUUUGUUGUCAGUCGAUCCCCGCCCCCCCCCCCCUUCCCGCUACCUUCUCUGUCUUCUUAUUUCAGGUUGCUCAUCAACCACUAGCAUAGAAGGGUUCCUGAGGACGGACCAAGGAACAAGAGCUGAACAGGCAGGACAAUUUGGAGUUCAGGAGAGAACUGGGAGAGGCAAGCAGCCCCAGGACACUCAAUCUUCAGCUCCCAAUCUGCUCCCCUCCUAAGCUUUCUUGGGGGGAAUCUUUUGCUAUAUUGCCUGAAGGACUGUAGUGGGGGAAAAGGUAGGAUGGGUUUGUCCUCUUGAGAGUCUGUCUUUGGUUUUCAUGGCUUUUUUUCCUUUUUACUUCUGCUCUGUCCCCACCCUCCCUCACUAGCCCUGACGCAUACUGCAUUGGGACAAUUUAGGCUAAUGCAAAACUAGGCUCAAAUCAGCUUCCUCCAGUAAGAGAGAAUCUGUGGAUAUGGAUCAGGCUCAGAUAUAAUCUGAGCAAACAACAAACCACUGGUUUUGUUGUUUAUAGCUCUCAUAAUCUAAUUGUUUCACCUCUGAACAUUCUUGCAUUGCCUAACACAAUAAAGAUCCAAACCAUAACAACAUCAUGGAGACCGUUGUAGAGCAAUCCAUUCACCUCUUGGCCAGGAAGCAACAGAGAAAAAGAAGAAGAGAUUGAGGUCCAAAAUCUAUGUCCCCUUUGAUCAGAAGACCUCUAACUGGGCCCUAUAUUUAAAAUUUCCACCACCUCCCAAUAGUGCUAAUCUGGGGACUAAGGCUUUAACCCAUAGGCUUUUGGGGGAACAUUUCAGAUUCAAACCAAAGUAACUAUCAUUUUGAAAACUCUAGUAUAAGCUACCUGUCCUUCUUAAGUUUUAGUAUCUGCAAACUUGUAUAUGUGACUGCAUUCACUUUAGCUCACUUGUGAGACCUGAGAAAGCACUCAGCAGUGCUAUUUUGUUUCAUUAGAACAGGAAUUUCACUGGUUCUUGGUGCUAGAAGGAGAUAGAAGGGGACUCUGGACCUAGGGUCAGGCUCUUUCCUACAGGCUGGGCUGCUUGACCUCAGAGAAUCUGAGCAUGCCCUUCACAUUCAACUUGAAGGCAUGAGUGUUCCAUCCAGAGGCCGUUUCUUGUUUGCCAAUAUGAUUCUCUGUUGGGGCAGAGAACAUGGUGUGCCUGUGUGUGUGUGUGUGUGUGUGUGUGUGUGCCUGUGUGUGAGCACUUGUCGUUUUGAAAAAUUUUAAACUUUAUGUAGCAAUUUCUUUCCCACCAGGAUCUCUCCUUGUAUGAAACUUGAAUUUUAUAGAUUUGGCUGUUAAUUCAUCAUGGAUACCACCAUCAAUAAAUAUUUAUUGAGCUUUCACUGGGCAUAGCAUGUUGAAAUAAGAACUAUAUAUUUGACUAAAGAGGAGUUCAUAGCAGAUGGGGGGUAGCAGAAGGGGCUGAAGAAAUCUCUUGGAUGUCUCUUCCAAAACUGAAAUUUGAUGACUUUGUAGCUUCAGUGACAGGGUCCACUUUGACACACGUCGGGCAGUUAGCUCAGACAAGGGAAUGGGCUUUGAGAGAUGCAUGGGUCAUGGCCAAGGUAGUCACCUUCAGGAAAAACUACCCAGAGCCUCAACAUAGUUGCCACCAGUGGUGUGAGCCUUGCGUCCAUUUUGGGAUUCAGGGGUGCAAAGGGAUGAAGUGAAUCCCUUUGGCCUUUCCCCCAUGUUGGCCUGGAGAAGUAAAUAUUUGCUGAUUGAGUGAUGGUCUGCCAUUUGAUUCUUGGGAAAGUUUGAAGCAUGCUGAUGCUUUGGCAGGAGGCAACCAAACCUCCUUUUUUUGCUGCUUCUCAGUGGAGGCCUGAUGGGAGGCCUCACAUGGCGGGAGCCCUGGGAGUGGUGUGGGCUGGUGGGAGGGCUGCUGGAGGGAGUGCUGCAUGCCUCUCCGGGAGCCCUAGUUAAUCAGACCAGAAACAGCCCGCCCGCCUCAGCAGUGACUCAGGCCUCCUGAGGGGUUUUCUUCAACAUUAUGAAGAUGAACAUGGCUCUGAGAAUUCCCUUUGGACCUGGGCUUCGUGCUAAUUGCCUCCAUAUUUAUGGGAAGACGGGCAGGCCACAGUGAGAGCCUCGGGAGCAGCAUGUGUGUCUGCCUCACAAAAGAGGACUGGACUCUAGAGGGAGUUGUGAAAAGAGGAUCCUAGCCUCCAGGGGUCAAGACCCUCAGCUCCCUGUGGUGACAAGGUGGUAUUAUUAUUAUUCCCUUUGUCCAGAAGAGAAGUUGACACAUAGACCUACAGAAGUUAAGUGCCCCAGUUAAUGCUAUCAGAACAGGAUCCACAGUGUCAAGGUGAAGAUGAAGUCCAGAUCUCCUGCCUUUCUGGUUUUCCCAUUGCAUGGUGGAUGGGGCAGGGAAUUAAGAAUUGCUAAGGAUGUCUUCCUCAUAGCUUCCUCUAGAAGGUGGUGCUCAGUACCUCACAGGGGGAUCUCCCCUGAGGUUGGACUGGUGGUCUUAGAGGGCUGGUAGAAGAGCAAGGAGCUAGAGAAUCCUGCCUGUCAAUCCUAGAUUGACUGUGGGCUAGUUACUUCCCUGUCCAAGCCUCACUCUCCCUAUCUGUAAAGUGAAGAUAGUGGCCAUAACUAUCUCAGAAGAUUUUGGGGAGCAGUAAAUGAAAUAAUAUAUAUAUAUAAAAGGAUUUGUAUUAUGCCUGGAGCACAAUUUAGUGAUUGCUAAAUAUUAGGUGCCAUUAAAGGGAGGCAUUCUGGUGGUUAAGGAUGUAGGAGCAGAGCUUGGCUGUCUGAAUCCAGAAAGGUUAUAGAACUUGCUAGGUCACACAGCUAAGUGAGGAGUGGAGUCAGGAAGAGUGUCCUGGUCCAGCAUUCUUUCUAGAUCUCUCCACACUGAUCUUUUGAGGAAGGGAAUGGGAUGGGGCUCUUCAGGCACGAGCGUUAGUCAUAGGAAAUGCCUGUCUUGGGGGUUGGGGUGGUGCCACUUCCUAGUCCGCUGGGAUAGCUGCCACUCAGUGAAGGGCACAGCCCUGGGAGCCAGCUCUGGGUACAGCUGAGUUGCUGCUUUGUCUGACACAAUCUGGGGAGUCGCCUCCAGGCGGAGCGGAAGCCACACAGGCUGGGCAGGGUGGGGGUGCCCUUGGCGCCCUGGGAUCUCUGUGUGGCUUUCCAUCAAGGCUCUGUUGGUGCCUGGUUCCUCCAUAAAGCCAUUAUGUACUGGGAGAAUUAAUCAUGCCGUUAGGUAAGCAUUAUGGCACUUUUAUGGCAGCUUUGAAGCUAAUCUGUCACUAAUGCCUACUGGAUUAUCAUGAUUUCUUGCAGUUGUGAUUCAUUAACUCGAAGCCUAAGAGUAAUUCUAUUAAACAUCUCCCAUCCCUGUUCGCCUCAACACGUCCGUCCCUACUCUCUGCUCCAUUGUGCUGCUGCAAUGGCGCGACUGGCAACCUGUGUGGUCUCUGAAAAAGAAACCCCAAUGAGAUGGACAGGUCCCCGGGCCAGCUUGAAACUGCCCAACUGCAUGUCCCUCCCCUGCGGAGUCCCUGAGCACUUGUCCUCCCUACUGCAGCUCAUGCUGCCAGCAAAGAUUUCUGGUCUUUUCAGUCAAGUUUUAGCUUUUCUCAGCAGGAGGCUACAGAGCCUCUCCUGAAACUCUGUCAUUACUUUUAAGAGGCGAAGAGGGAACCUUAUAGACCCAUGAAUCUCAGAGAGGCAAGCACCCACAACUCUACAGGUGACUGCGAGACCCUGCAGGGCCUACCUGGGGCAGAAGUGGGUUUGGCGCUGAGCAAGAAAACCAGGAACUCUGCUUAAGCAAUCUGGCCCCACACUCUUCCUUCUUGCUUAAGGCUGAAAAAAACUCGCGGGUGAGGAGGCAGGCACAGGAGACUGUGAGGUAGCCAUGCCACACCAUUUACUGCUGGGCCUGCCAGCAUUAAUAAAACUCCUUGGUGAGGUGUUUCAGCAAGAAAUGGUUCUCUCAGGCUGGCUGUUCUCUGCAAAAGGUCAGCUUCGGGGCAUAGUUUGACGGAUGGGCUGUGAGCAGGCAGCAAAAAGAAAGCCGGGGCGAAGGGGGUGGGUGGGGGUGGACUGGGAGGAAGUCAGUGGAGACCAGGAGCUCAGGCUGUGUCCUGGUGCCAGAGCAGGCUUGGGGGGACGGCAUCUUGCCCCUCAUUCUGUACCAUCCAUCAAGCCCAGCACUGAAAUCUCAACAAUUUGUAGCCCCCCCUCACCCCCUGCACCAUGCUCAAGUGUGCACCAUGCCUGACCCUUCCCGCCCUCAUUCAGGCCUCUGCCGCUGGAGUUGAUGGAUGGCUUCUCCUCCCACCAGCUCGCCUCUCCACAGCUGGGGAAACACGCGCAGGUAGAGGUGGGGUCAAACCCGGGGCAGCCCAGUGACCCAGCCACCGGGGCCAAGGGACUCUGUGUUCCCAGCAGCAGCAGGUGAUGCCAGAGGCAUAGAAAUAGAACGGAGAGGGGAAAGGAAAGGAGGAGAUACUUCCAACUCUGUAAAGGAGAAAAGGGGGGUUAAAAAAAAAAAAACCCAAACUGAAACCAAAAAAAAAAAAACCCCAUUCUGCAUCCUGAGGUCUUCCAAGACUUCUGAGAAUCUAUAACAUGGUGUGAUGUCUUCUGCGCACAGCGACAACGUUGUCUGCUCCUCUCCAUCUGUGUUUUCUCACGCCUGUGCGCCUUAGAACCACUAAAAUGAAAAACAAGUUAAAAAAAUACAUAGAUGUAUAUAGAGCGAGACUGAGAAAGAGGACAGUACUCUGAAGCCUGUGUUUUCUUUUCUUUUCCUUCUUUAUUUCUUUAUUUUUUUUUUCUUUUUCGUUUGCCAGUGUUUGUUGUAAGAAAAAGUGUGUAAAAACAAUUCCUUGACAACUGGAGUAAAUAUUCUCAACACAUCAGCUGAGCAAGAAGUCAGGAUCCAACGUUUCCAUCCUUCCUCUUCCUGGGUAGAGAUGAUAGGAAAAGAAAGGACCUUUCAGGGGCUAGGUUGGGGCUCAGUGAUAGAGAGCUUUCCUGGCAUGUGUGAGGCACUGGAUUUGAUUCUCAGCACCACAUAUAAAUAAAUAAAACAAAUGUCCAUCAGCAACUUAAGAAAAAAGGAAGGACCUUUUUCCAUACCUAGAUUACUCCCUGUUUCCUGUUCCAGGUGAAACUGAUUCUCCCAUGUGGGGGCUUAUAAUCUGUACCAAGGUGAGGCCGGGCAGCUGGUCCCACAAGGGAUGCUGCAUUGAGAAGCUCCCUCUGUGGGCUUAGGGGCCUUUGGAAAACAGGAAGCGAACAGUAGCCCAGACAUGGUGUGCCUGUGUGCGUGUGCUGGCGUGCAUGGGAGAAGCCUGUGCCUGCUGCAGAGGGCCAUCUGAGAAUUCAGGUCAGCCUCCGUGAACUCCCCUGACCUGGAGAAAUCCACUCUCCCAGCAGCCCCCGUGGCCUUGCACCCUGCAGCUGGCACACAGCAGCCCCAGACCACUUCUUUUCUUGGAACUUCAGAGGCUGAGCAGGAGGGUCCAGGAGGGAGUCUCCAGGCAAGAGUCUGAGGGCCGUGGAAGUUUGAAUGAGUGGAACAGAGUUAAUGGGAGGAACAAGGAGGGAGAGAUGGUAGAUAGAGGAAGAAGUGUCUGGCGGUGGGCGGAAAGACAGGAAGAAGAAAAGAAUGAGAGAAAAACAGAAACUGAGGGACUGGUGGAAAGAGAGAGGAAGAAAGCUCCCAGAGAAAGAUCCAAGAGAUAGAUGGUCACGGGACAGGAGUCAGCAAGAAAGAGGGGAAGGCAAUUUAAUGAGGGCAACUUGAAGGCCAGCUUUAACCAACAGCUGGCGGGGUGCCUGGUUUGAUCUCCCUGUGAGUUGGGCGGUUUGAUUAAUCGUGGCCUGUGGCAGAGGACGGACACCUGGCCCCGCUGCCGAGCUCUUUGAUCUCCAGGAUUUCUCAGGGCCUGUGGGAGGGGAGUUGCAUGAAUGUGUGUACUCCCAGGGCACCCGAGGCCUGCUCCUGAGAAGGAAGCAGGGAGGCCAGGGAGAGCGGCCCUCAGCGGGGCUGGGAGGGUCAGGGUGGGGCGUGGGGGAAGCAGGGAAGGGCAGGGGGAACUACAAAGGGCAUGGGGCUCCUGGAGAUGUGAGGCCUGUGGGAACAAAGGCCCUGAGGGAGAGGUUUGCUAGGGAAUGGAGGAAGGCCAUUUGUGGGGGAAAGUUCACCCAUAAUCUUGGGGUGAUUCAGUGAGGAGGAACAGCCCCCGCCCUCUGCACGAGGGAAUAACUGAAUUUUUAAGGAGGAUCAGUUGGAGAAGAAAACUACUGCACAAAUUUGUGCUAAGUGGCUUGUGGCUAGAGGGCUGGCUAGUUUAAUGCAGGAGCAAGCUCUUUCUGGGGGUGUGAGGAGAGGGAGGUGCAGGGCCCCUUCAAACUGGCUCCAUUUUAUACUUGUUGGAUGGAAACAGAUUUGAGAAAAGAAAGCGACAUAUUGCCAAAAAAAAAAAAAAAAAAAACCUUUCAAGAAGAAGGAAAAAAGGAACUAAAACCCUAAUGCCCUUAAAAAAGAAAACCGAAAAAAAAAAGUCAUAAAUUAUGCCUUUGGACUAAAUCCAUUGGUGUCCUGCCAAUUUCAAAUAAUAGUGUAACUUGAUUAAAAAAAACUUUACAGGAUUUAAAGUUGCUGGCUUCUCUGACUCCUCCCUGAGACUUCUCCUUAAGUCACUGUCUACACCAGGCUAAUUUGUUCCCAGAUUCCUUAAUCUUCUGCAAGGUGGUGAUGACGUGGGUAACUUUGUAGCCAUUUUUGAAGUGUUCAUGAUAACUUUUGCUUAUGACUCUCCCCCCAUCCCUCCCCUCCACUAAAUCUAGGGGCAACUUAAAUCAUUACCCUGAAACAGGGUAUUGAAACACAGUAUGCUAUUGAAACUCUCUGUGUGUGUGUGUGUGUGUGUCUGUCUGUCUGUCUGUCUCUGUGUGUGCUUAGGGGUAAACUUCAAGUUUUGCCUAAAGUUGGCUGUUUUCCUUUCAGGCUGCUGAAGAGCUGUUCAUAACCACCUUAGAUCUUAGAAAAGGUACAUACAUGGAAACAAUAAGAAUGUCUCCCAAGAAUUCAGCCAGGACACAGGUUGUAGAUUGUUAGAGAUACAGGCUCCAAUGACUAGUAGCAAAGAAAAUUCCAGAAGUGAAAGGCAAGAUUUCUGGUGGGAUUGGGGUUUUGAUGAUACAUACGGUGGUCUGAGAGUCCGCUGUACCCCAGCACGAAUGGCAUCAGCCUUGAAGGCCUGAAUUCAAAUUCCAUCUCCGUGACUCAGUCACAAGCUGCGUGACCUUGGGCUUGCCACCUCAUAUCCCCAGAGCUUCAGCUUCCUCAUCUAAAAAUGAGAUGAAUAAAAAUACUUGCCUCACAGGCUCGUUGUGAGGAUUAAAUGCAUUAGUGUAUGUGAAAGCACCCUGUAAAUGAUGAAACCUUCAAUUAACAGUAGACAUCAGAAUUACUGCUUAUAUUACAGAAAUCCAGGUCUCUUUAAACACUCCUGUUGACAGCAGGGAUGUUUUAAUUCCAAAUGGGGUUUGCACAUGGAGGGCAUUAGAAAAAAGGGGCCUCAUGUUACCUGCUCCCCCUGGGGCACUUGCUCUCCUAUAAUUAUUGUUUACUAAUAAGUACGGUUUGCUCAUAAAUGUCCCAUUAAACCCGGCUGAAAUCCUUCACCCGACUGACCUGGCUUUUCUGGAUGCUACUAGGCAGGAGCCCUGGGAAGCUCCCCCUGGGUGGCUGGUCUUUCAGACUAUGGACUGCUGCACUGGCCUUUCUUGGCAGGGUCCAGGAGAUCCCCAGCUGGGCAGUGGCAGCACUCUCAUGUUAGUGCUCUUGCCACUCACUGUUUGCUGAUUUAUAAGUAGGACAUUGCAUUCCUCCACUCUGGGCUUCCUGGAGCUUCAUAGCUUUUUGCUCCUGUUUGUAAGUAGUCCUCCAGUGUGGGGACACAGCUGUCAUUUGUACACUGAAUGGGUGGUGCCCAGAGCUCAAGGCUCUGGGUUCAAAUGCCUACUUGGGCAUGAGACCUUUGGGAUAUAAGACCUGGUAUCUCUGAUGCAGAAAGAAUAAUGCUUACCCUUCUAGGGUUGUGGUAAAAAUAAAGAAAACCCGGGCUGGGGAUAUGGCUCAAGAGGUGGCUCACUCGCCUGGCAUGCGUGCGGCCCGGGUUCGAUCCUCAGCACCACAUACAAAACAAGGAUGUUGUGUCUGCCGAAAAACUAAAAAAUAAAUAUUAAAAUUCUCUCUCUCUCUCUCUCUCUCUCUCUUUCUUUAAAAAAAAAUAAAAAAAUAAAAAAUAAAGAAAACCUCUGUAAAAUUCAUAACCAGUGUUUGGCAUAUAGUAGAUGAUCAAUAAAUAAUUAUCCUUUUAGGGCUAACUGUCUUCACCCUGGCUGGAUAUUGAAAUGACUGGGAUAGGUAAAAUUCUAAUGCCUAAGCCCCACCUCUAGAGAUUCUGAUUUUGUUAGUCUGAAGUUAAAAGCUUGGCAUCAAUAGUGUUAUAACUGUCCUCAUGGAUUAUAACAUGUAGGGUUAAGAAAUACUAAUGCUUCUCAAAUAGGGUUUAUACCAUCAGUUAGGGAUCUUAUGGCAAUGCAUGUUGAGUUAGUAAGUGUGGGGUUGAAGAAUUUCUGCAUUUUAAAAAAUAAGUUAAAAAACUUUUUUAGUUGUAGUUGGACACAAUACCUUUAUUUUAUUUAUUUAUAUGUGGUGCUGAGGAUCAAACCUAGUGCCUUACACGUGCUAAGCAAGCGCUCUACCACUGAGACACAACCCCAGUCUGCAUUUUUAACUGGAAGGCAAAUACCACAAUUUUAUGGACCACAUUUUGAGAAACAAAUCUCUAUGUUUUCCUAACCCUAACCCUAUACCUCCAUGCACCUGGAGAGCAUCAUGGCCCUGGAUUGGAGACCCUGGGAAGUCAGUGGUUGCAGACAAUUGAGAGACAAUUGAGGCUUGCCUAAAGGUGACUGCCUAGUGUCAAUCCUGGAAGCUGCAACACACACACAAACACACACACACACAUUCUUACACCCACUUACCUCCUUCUAAAUCUAGUCUUGUAUACCUAUAAAAUAGCAACCAGAAGAUAUUUUCCAACAUUUCGUUAUCGUUCCAGGCUUCCUAGUUUAUUCUAGAAGGUAAUGAAAUAAAUGAAAGCAUUUGCCACAGAACAUUAAGGACCCAGGUCACAAGUUUGAACACCUAUUUGUAAUACUCAAUUGGAAAAGUAAUUCCUAGCCUGGGCUUGUAAAUAGUCACUGCCAAUAUACUUACAUGAUCAAAUGGAACCCUCAUACCUGGAGUGCUAAUGCAGCAAAACCCAGUGAGCCUACAGAUGAACAGCUAAACCCAGGGAUGCUUUGGCUGGAGGGGGAGAGGACUGACUGUGGAACAAAGGGCUUCUGAUAAUGGCAGAGGGUCUUCCAGACAGCACUCAGCCUGGAGGAUUCUCCCCUCCCCAAAUGACAGGGAUGGAUAUAAAUUACUUAUAUACACAUAACAUACAAUAUGCAAUUAUAUAAAGCACAGUUGCAGAACAUGCUUAGGGGCAGGCACUUUUGUAGUGGACAUUGUCAGAGUGAGUUUUUCAUGGAGCAGUUUCAUGCGUAUGCUAUAUUUCAUGAAUUUACAGCAUAUUAAGAAGAAAAAGGAAUAACCAGAGCAUAUAGCUGAAGACUCUUCAUUAAAGAAUGAACUUUGCAUGGUGGAGAGUCCUUUGCAGGUGAACAAUCUGCUAAGGCCCUAGAAAAGAGGAGUUUGAUGUCCAACAGGUCUGAGUGUUAUCAGCUACCCUGUGCAGCAUGAGUUGAUCAGCAAAGGCUGAAUGAUCCAGGCCACCCCAGAGGAAAACCCUGAUGUGAUCUGUAUCAGAGGAUUUCAGUAGUCACUCAAGGAAAAAAAGACCACGUAAUCAAAAUCUUACCAUUUGGCUGAGGGGUGGCAGUUGACACCAGAAUCAAACAGUAGCCAUGCCUGUAUUUUUGACUGCACCAUUCAACUGGGCUUAAGUGAACUGUUCAGCAAAUAGUAUGGAGUUUUUCUCUAGUUUAGAUUGGGAUCUUGUGUCUUGGUCCCUUUUUGUUGUCUUUGUCAAGUCAGGUGUUGUUAGAGACAGAUGUCUGGACAAGAUGAACCCAGCUGUCAAUCAUUGUCAAGGUCCUGGCAUAUCCAACAGUCAGGCAAGUGGCUGCUUUCACUGACAGCUUCCUGAGGCUUAUUCUUGCCUCGAGGUGCCACCCAUUCCCAGCAAAAUAAAAAGGAACACCAUGCAAGCCUCCUUCGGCUUGCCGGAGCACAUCCACCUCGGAGAGGUCUGGGGCCUGUGUGCAUGCAGAAAUUGACAUGUGCCAUUCCGGAAAUCUUGUUUUAUUGCUUCUUUCCCUUCCAACAGUCCCCCUCCUCUGCCACCUCCUUUGGAAUCCUAGUUCCAGAUGUGACUCUCUCUGUUUCCUUUGGCUGGAAGUUUGCUGUUUUCCCAUAACCCAGUCGGGUUGCCUGUUAGAGAAACCAAAAAACUCCAACUUUCUGGGAAGACAUCUAAUUAAAUUCCCAAAGAGGGGAGAGGAAAGCCCCCCUCUGAAAUAGACAGAUACGACCUCAUAAUACAUAAUCAUCACAGAAGAGAAAGUGCUGGGGAUAAGCCUGCGUAGCCGGUAACAUGGUGUUCUGUUUCUUAAUGUCCUCUGCAAAUAAGCUGGCCCCCGGUUUAAAAUAGCCCUCUGGUAAAAGCAACUAUUUAAAGAGUAUUGGGGUCUGAGAAAUGCAAAACAAAGUGUUGUUGAUUAAAAACACAUGGUUUGUUCUCGAGACUCGAGUAGCCAGCAAAAUCAAAUGUGACAGUGUUUUGGCUUUUUCUAUCCCACAAGACAUGAUGGUGAUUUAUUAGAGUGAUGUCAGCUGUGGUUAAAAAAGUUUGCUGUGUUGUCUUAAUAAAAAGAGGCUUUACCUUGGAGCUGUCAAACUCCCUCUCUCCUCUGGCUUGAGGCAGUGGCAGCUAGGCCAUUGGCCCUUCUGCAGGGGCUUCUCCCCAGGGGCAAACCUCUGCCUGUGGGCAGAUCGAGAGGUCACAGGGCACUGUGUGCUUCCUGAGGGUGGUGCAAGAUGGUCCUUGAAGGGGGUUGCAGGGGACCUUGGUUUGUUUCAUUUGUAGAGUGCAGAUGCUGCACUAGCUUGGAGCUGCAGCUUGGCUUGACCUGGCUGGGUGGUGGGACCUUUUGGAUGGAGGGAGCCCUGGGCAAGGGGAAGAGACUCUAGCCCAUGGCAUGGGUGGUGGGCUUGAUUAUCAGUAGGGUGGAAUAUCUGUAGACAGAUAAUAAGUUGGGUUGUUAGUGGAAUGCAGAUGCUCCUUGACUGUACCAUGGGGAGAAGUCCCAAUAAACCCCUCCUAAGUGGAAAAUAUUGUUAAAUUGAAAACACAUUUACUAUAUCCAAUCUAUCCACCCUCCACUCUUUUUUUUUUUUGGUACCAGGAAUUGGAAUCAGGGGCACUCAACUACUGAGCCACAUCCCCAGUCCUAUUUUGUAUUUUAUUUAUAGACAGGGUCUCACUGAGUUGCUUAGCAUCUCGCUGUUUCUGAGGCUGGCUUUGAACUCGCAAUCCUCCUGUCUCAGCCUCCUGAGCCUCUGGGAUUAUAGGUGUGGGCCACCAAACCCCGCUUUACCCUCCGUUCUUAGCAACAUAGUCCACUGUAGAGUAUAUAAUGUUCUCUCAUGACUGCACAGCUGCCUGGGAGCUGGCGAAGGAGGAUUAUAGUGCCUAUCACUGGCUUGGGAAAAGGUCAAAAUUCAAAGUUGAAAGUAUGGGUUUCUACUGGAUGUAUUACUUUUGCAACACUGAAACAUCUGUAGAAGGGAAAUUCUUAGUUGAAGCUCUUUGGUUAUAAGGAAGAAAAACUCCCUAAUUUCAGGCAAACAAGAUUUAUUGAGAAGAGGCAAAAUCCCAUCUCACAGACAAUUAAGAGAUAGACCAUCUGGGGAACAGAAGUGUAACCCCGAGCUGAAGCUGCUCUUUCUGCCUGCCACAGAGCCACGAGGUCUCUUACCUCCCUCUCUGUUCCUGCAUCGUUCGUUCCCCUCUUGGAUUCCUGGGGCAGGGGGAUAGUUAGCUAUACUUUUUUAUGCCUUUGACUUGCUCUGCAUCACGUGUGUCUCAGUGCUACAGGGCCAUAUUUUUGUUUAAAUACUAUCAUUCUCUAAUUUAGUCUAAUUGUCUCAAUUCUACAUUCUUGAGAGAAAGUCCAGUUGGCUUAACUGGACUCAGAUGGGUACAACUGGUCCAGUGGGCAGCAGCUCAGGAGCCAGGGACAAGGUGGCUCCGAGGGGAGCCAUCUCUCUGAGAGGGCGUGGCCAGGAGGCCCUGUUAGGCUACACAGAGGAACUGUGUCUGUUAUCAGGGAAGCAGAGGAAAGUGAGGACAGGUCUGUGUUUUUGUCCAAGUGAAAGGAAUUGCUGAGAGUGUGACUCUGCUGUCACUGUGUUGCGGUGCCUCUGCCUUGAUUUCCCUGGGGAAGGACAUCAGUCUGCACAGGAAGAUGAAGUCCCAGAGGACCCUUGAAAUCUUUCCCAUUGACACACCCAGAACGUGAGAAGGCAACCAGAUUAUUUUUAAAAUUAACUUAUGGAUAUUUUUUCCUGAUUACAGAAGAAACAUGUAAAUAAUGGCAAGCUACUUGGCAAACAGAAACACAAAGAUGGAAGUAAAAAGCUCCAGAUGAUGGCUGUUAACAUAGUGGUGUAUUUCCUUCUAUUCUUUUUUCCUUUAAGUAGUGGCUUGAGGCUAUGUGAACGAUCUGUGCUUAAGAUCUAUCCUUUUACUUUAAUUAUAUGUCGUCAGACGCUCUAAGACUUUAGGAUUGCUUUAAAUUUAUUCCCAUAAUUUUCCCUGAGCACACAGGAUUGUUUUCUCCUUUGCUCUUUUACCUCUUCUUGUAGGUGGGAGCUCAAAUAGAAUCGAUUUUUGUUAGGACCUUGGUGCCACUACCCCACGUUUGUGCAAGUCACCAUCAGCCGCCCCCCUCUGCUAAACAACAAUAUAACUUCAAAGGCCUGUGUUCCUGGGUCCCUUCCAAACCCAUCUUCUAGGUAAUCUUUUAAAGGCAUGAAUCUGCUCUCAUCCUUCUUUGCUGGUUAUCCGUUGCAUUUAGAAUAAGUUAGAAAAGCCCCCGCCUGCUCACAAUUUCCAACCGUACAUGCCUUCUUUCUCCUUUGGACCACCUCAAAACACCAGGACAGCCUCACAUGGCUCUCCAGCUGGUUUACCUGGACUCAGCCCUCAGGUCUCAGCAUAGAUGCUGCAUCCUUGGAGAAGUCUUUUCUUGACUCUGGCCCCCAUGAUGGACCUUCCAUACUCCCUUGCUUUUCUUUCUUAAUACUUAUCACAGUGUGUAAUUAUGUACUUAUUUAUUACAUAAUGCUUGUUUCCCUGUAUCUGAGUCGGUUUUGUAUUGCUAUAACACAAACCACAGACUGGAUAAUUUACAAAAUACAGAAGUUUAUUUUUCAUGGUUCUGGAGAUUGGGAAGUCCACUAUCGAGAUGUCGGCAGAGUCUGGUGAGGGCUUCAUGCUGCAUCAUAACACAACAGAGGGCAUCUCGUGACAAAAGAGUGCAUGAGUGUAAGAGGGCAGGAGCAAGGGCCCUGAGGAGGCUGAACUUGCUUCUGUAAUAAAGCCACUCCUGACAAUUAACCUAAACCUGUGAUAACAAUCUAACCCAGUCACCAGCCUCAUGACCUGAUCACCUCUUGAGAGGCCUACCAUCCCUUUGAAGGGAAAGCGAGGAACAAAAUAUGGACAAGUGAGAAAUGAAAGAGAGAGACCAGGCAGAGAUACACACCAGAGUUUGUUUUUCAGAGCUGACAAAUAAAGGCCAUCUCUUUAAAGCAGAGAGAGGCAAAACAGGAUUGGGUUCUGGGACUUUUAUGGGGCAGGCUCAGGAAUCGGAGCCCAGGGGGUCCUAAUGCAGGUGGUUAGGGGUUGGGUUGGUAGGAGGGAGUGGUGAGCCUUUCUCAGAAAUGCCCUUGGGCAGGAAAGCAGAAUUUUUUUUAAAAUGGGUCUGUCACUUAAGGUAACUGUCCAGAUGCUAAGCAAGGACCUUAUACCAGCACUCUCACAGUGUCAAUUAAAUCUCCAUGUGAUUUUUGGAGUGGGCAAUCAACCUUAGCACCCUGAUGGAUUUGCAGGUCCCUGAGAAAGAACAGAUCUGUUUUGCCAACUGCUGUACCCCACUCUUGCUGCCAUCUCUGAUGAUUCAGCUCCUGUCCUUACCUCCCCACCUUCAAAUACAGUUCCUGUCAUAGAUUAUGUGUUUAUUUAACACUUGAAUGAAUGAAUCUGGUGCUUAUCUGGAGCGGUUGCUUAAGUGAAGAGUCCCACCAUUAUAGCAUGUUGGUUUCAGAGGUCUAGGGAGAUAGCGUAGUUUUCUGGUAAACCUGAUGUGAGCAGAUAUUAUAUUUGCUGUUGUUGGUGGGUAUCUCAAAGGUGCAUGGCAUAUAGUGCUUUCUGAUUGUGGUGAGGCCUCAACUUGAAUUGUUGGUGCUAAGGUGCUCAUGUGUGUGGGAGCCGAGUUUCUGGGCUGGUGAGGAAGACAGUGUUUCAGUGAAGAGUCUGUUCCUUGGUGUGGCUUCUCUACUCUCUAUUUCUCAUGUCCUGGAGGAGAAUUCACUGUAGAGCAUUUCUGGCUUUGUCUGAGGCUCUGGGAUUGAACUUCUCCAUGGAACAGAGCUCUCUGCCUCUGUAUGAGCCUGGUGAACUCCUCUGGCUGUGAGAUAGAACUUCUCUAAGUUAAAGACAGAUUUACCUUCCUUAGGACCUUUAACUAUUGAUUGCCUUCUGUCCUCUGGACAAACAUCAAGUUCAUUCAAUGGCCAUUUAUUGAAUACUGGCAUGAUAUACAUCAGGAGGGGUGCCAGGAACUGGGUAUAGAGAGCUGAACAAGGCACACUUGAAGAGCUCAGCUUGGGGACACCAAUUACAGUUCACAAUGCACUAUCAAAUGAUCAUCUUGAUUUGUCACAAUGACCUUGUGAUGUGCGGUCAUUGGGUGACUUUACAGUUGAGGAACAGGAGGCCGAGAGAGUUUGCACGUGAGGGGCAGUAUAGCUCAAUCCAAGUGCUUUGACUCAGAUCCCAUGUGAACUUUUACUUCCUGAACUUGACAACCUGAAUGCACUUCUGCUUCACGCAGCUCUUAGUGUGGGAGACCAACCUUACACAUGACUGGGUCACACUCCCUGGCUGGGUGCUGAGGCACUCAGUAGCAGAAAUGUGGCAGAGCUUUCCCCACCCUUCUUGGGUGUGAGGGUCGCUGUCUCGUGCAUGGGUGUGUCUUGCUACAGCCCCAUGGGUGAAGUUACGCUCACCCGCUCACCCGUUCCUUUGUAAUAUUACCCCUUGCCCUGUUUAGGAUAGAAUCUUCCAUGGAAGUGCCUUGUGUGUGUCCCCUUCUCUUACUGUGCCUUUGGGUGUGGCCUACCCAGGUGUCAGUCAACCUGCUGACAGUGGACAUCAUGAAGAUACUCAGCCCCCUGAAACCUGACCCCUUGCCUCAUUUGAAUAACUUCCCUCAAUAAAAGGGGUCAGCAUGUGCGCUCGCUCUCUCUCUCUCUCUCUCUCUCUCUCUCUUCCUGCGGACCCAUAAGGUCAGAGGAGCCGUCACAGCGACCCCAAAGAAAAAGCUAUUUGUUUCUCUUGAGUGGUUAUUUUGCACAGCCCAGUUAGCCCAGUUUAACUGGAGUGACCCCUGAGCCUUUUAGUCAUGAGCACAGAAACCCGGCAUCUUAGUACAUUCAAAUGUAGCUACCAUGCUCCCUGAAUCACCUCUUCUCCUGACAAACUUGACUCCAAAACAUGUGAUCAUACUCAGCGUAUCUUCUUUGGACCCAAUCACAUGGAGAUAGGCUUGGGAGUUGCAGAGGGUCCUGGCCACUAUCCCCCAUUCUUUCAUCUGUGAGCCAAGAGGGUCUCAGCCUUGCCCACGGGACUCUGAAGGAGAAUUCGGUGGCUCUUCUUUCUGGGCAAUAAGGCUGGUGCCUGGGAUUUUUAUUCCAGGACAAUUUAAGCAGUUCUUUCCCAUUAGUGAACAAUGUUAGACAUACAGAUUUCUGGGGCUGGAUGUCUGACACUUAGACAUCUCACUAAAUGGUUUAGUGGUUCACAUUACAGGGUACUCAUGACCCGCUGAGGAAUUUCACUCCAGUACAGAGAGAUCUAUUAGAUUUUUGCCUUCACAUAUAAGGAAAACAAUCUCUGUUUCUUUGUGGCUUCCUCUGACUGGUCUUCUGGUAGCUGGGCCACGUAAACACAGUGCCUCCGCACCCUGGCAGGCUGUUACAUAUUAAGUGUGCAGGGAGCCCCAGCUUAAGCCCAGGCCUGGCCUGGACAUGUCUGAGCAGGCCUGGUGAACUGCAGCGUGGGCCUGUUAGGAGCCUGUGUGUACCACAGGCUGUGGGGCCUCCUGGGAAAGAUAUCAUCUUGAAGGAAGAAGGAACCAGGCACACACACCUGACCUGCAAACCAAGCUUUGAUUGCAGGAGGAAAGGAGCAAUUCUGAGCACGUCCUGGUGAAUUGUUCACGAUUGGAUUCACCCCACACUUUGGCCCCUGCUGGACUUCUUGGGAGGCCUGUGGAGAGGAAAAAGAGGACUUCUGUUUGUAUCUUAUUUCAAAAUCAAGUCCCUGAACUUAUUCCCCAGUGACUGCUUUGUGCAAGCUGAAACCAUGACAUGAUUUCCAUGGAACCUGUAGUUCUUUGGUAUCCCAGGCCUCCAGCACCUCUGAGAUGGCAGGGAUGGCAGCACCCAGCCCAUUAUCUUGCAGGGGACCUGCAGCAAACCACGGGGGAGGAAGCAAAUGGCAGGUGACCAGAAAAUGAACUGUGUGUGGCGUGAGGAGACAUGGGGACACCCUGUAGGCACUAAGGAACAUUGGGAGGUACUUAUAAGGGGCUGAUGCCCUGAGGGAGUCAAUGAAAGUCAUGUCAUUGUCAUCCAUUGGAUCAUAUGCUACUGGGACAAGGCCUGGGAGGACCAUCAUGGCCUGCUAUCUUUUUUUAGCUGAAUGUCCCCCAGAACCCACAACUCUGUUCUCUGACAGUCUUGUUCCUCCUUUUUUUUUGAAUCACUCCAGGCUGUGAAAGCCGACACCAUUUGCUCCAAGGUUUUUAAAGAAAUCCUAGAACUAAUUUGGCCUAACAUUCUUUUUUAGAUUAGAUGAAAUGAAAGCUCACAGGGGCCUGAAGUGACUUGUCCCCACACUAUAUCCAGUUAGCAUAAGAGCAAGGAUGUUUUUUGAGUGACACAGCCAUGUUGUCCCCUUGAUUAUGACCUUUGUUUAUUCCUUCUUUGUUUUUCUGCCAGGGGCUUGGACGGUGUGGACAAGUGUACCCAUUUCCUUCUUCUGGCCAGGUAUGAUGGAGCUUUGGACCAUUCAUCAGUUGUCAGGGACAUUUGGACGAAACCCUCUAAAGGUAAGGGAGACAGAUACAAUUUUUCAACCAGUUUGAUGGGUAGACUCAGCUGGCAGUUCAGCUCCCUCUCCUGAGACCAACAACAAGGAAUACCUCCACGGGAAGAGCACGAGUCGUCUCUGAGGAAUGAGGACUAUGUGGUUAGUGCCAAGCAGACUGGGAAGUAGGUGCCUGCAUGGACCCCAAAUAAGCGGGACAACUUAGUGCUCAGAUAGAAAAUCCCCAAGAACAGGUGACCAGGAAAAUUCCUGCUAUUAACAGUGGUCCCAGAGGGAGGACUGGGAGGGACCACUUAGCCAGUGAAGCUGCUUUGAUAUCAGAAAUGAGAUAGAACGAUGGCAUUCGCCCACUCUCUGCCUUUGGUUGGGAUGACACCAACACUUGGAGAUGGCCUGAGAAGAUGAAUAUUUCAUAGACAAACCUGUUCCCAGUCCAGAGUUCACUGAGUGUAGUCAAGGCCAACAAGCAGAUUUUGCACCUAAGCCAAGUCAAAUUGAUUCAUGGUGACUGCAGAAGCACUGUGUUCAACGGGAAUUUGAGCCUGGAUCUGAGGCAGAAAUGUGUGCUCUGAUCAGCCAGCAAUGUCUCUGUCAAUGUUUGGGAAAAAAUUUGAGAAGGAGGUUUGACUAUUGGGUAAGCACAAUAAUAGUUCUUCAAAGAUGCCCGUGUGCUAAUUUCUGGAAUCUGCAAAUAUGUUAUGCUAUAUGGUAAUGUACAUUCGUACGUGUGUGUGUGUGUGUGUGUGUGUGUGUGGUGAGGAGGGAUUAAGAAUGCAGGUGGAAUUCAGGCUGCCAAUCAGCUACCGUUUUCAUGGGAAGAUUACCCAGAUUAUCUCAUGGGCCCAAUGCGAUCACAGGGAUCCUUGCAAAUAAAACAAGGAGACUAGAGAAUCAGAGUCAGUGACAUUGCACAGGACCUUGAAGAUGGAAGGGCCCUAUUGACCUUGAAGAUGGAAGGGCCCAUGAGCCAGUGAACAUGGGCAGCUUCUGGCAGCUAGAAAAGGCAAGGGAACAGAUUCUUACCUUGAAUUUGGCCCUGCCCACAACGUGAGUUUAGACCUGUGAGAACCAGAAAAUGACGGGGACCUCCCAAACUGUAAGAUAUUGGAUUGUUUUGUUUUAAGCCACUAGAUUUGUGGUGGCAACAAUAGAAAAUGAAUUCAGGUCUCUAUUAUUUCCCAGCUAGGACUCAUCAGAGAAACUCCCCUUAUGUUUCACCUCAAGUUCUUGUUCGUUACUCAAACUUUUUCUGUAGAACAGGAUCAUUUAAGGUCCUUAGGUCACCAGCAGGAACCUUUAAAAGGGAAGACACAGAUUUGCAAUUUUCCUGCAGGCUUGAAGUGGGUGGGUGAGGGAGAGUGUCCUGGAGGGGCAGGUUCCUGGUUGAGUGGCAGACUCCAGGCAGUCACUGCCACACCUUGCAGCACAUCACUGGGGACAGAAGGUUCUAUGGGGACUCUCAUCCUUGGUCCUGUUUUCCUGUGCACGAGAUGAACCUUGAAUGACUUCAGGAGGUCUCUUUGGUCUUCUAUAGUUUUAGUACCUGAGAAAUGAUGUUGGAGAAACUAAAAGUAAUGGAAUGUCUUCUGAAUACCAAACAUUUCUGUUACAUGAUCUCAUUCAUUCCUUACAGCAGUUCUGUGAGGCAGUCAUGCCAGGUGGGCACCCAGUUCACAGAUGAGAACAUAAAGGCUCAGAAAGGUGAAGUAGUUUUCUUACUCAUUCAGCUAACAAGCUGAGGAGGCACAAAUCUAAUCUGAAUGUUGGAAGCCCAUGCUUUUUCCCAUGUCAUCACGGCACCUCCUAAGAAGGACUCUGGCUCUCGAUUGUGCUGAGGACAUAGUUCAUAUGGCCAAAGCCUCAGGCUGAGCUCGGCAGUGAUGCUCUGUGGUGAAGGUCUUUGGCAUGCCAGGCGCCCAGGGGUAAAACUUGGGGUAACAAGAGUAAUUCUGUUAUAACAUAAUGAUCUGUGAUUUGGUUUGUUUCCCUGACUUGCUAAAAAAAAAAAAACCCGGCUGCAUGAUCUUGUAUAAGUCAGUUUCUUUCUCUGGAUAUCAGUUUCCUAGCCUGUGAAAUGGGAAGAUGGAUGAGAAUCAGUAUUCUCUAAACAUUUUUUUAAAGAGUUCAUGCUAUAUAAGCUAAGGAGAUUUUGUAAAGCUUUAUUUACUGCAAUUGAUAGUCCAAAAGCAAUAUGUUAUUUUUAAUUUUCUAAAGUAAGUCAACUCUACAUUUCUCUCUACUUCCACCCUCUUUUUCUGGGCAAUAUACUCAUUCACCAUCCUAUCAUCUUGACAACCAUUGAGAAUCCUUCUGCUUGAUAGUUUAAAAAUUUGCUCUGGUUAUGAGAUUAUUGGAGUCUAAGAAAUAUAUAUGUGUGCAUAUAGUUAUACAUACGUGUGUAUCUAUAUACAUGUGUAUACACACGUGUGUUUUAGUCAGCUUUUUCACUGCUGUAACUAAAAGAUCUGAUGAGAAGAAUUUUAGGGAGGAAAAGUUUAUUUGGGGACUCAUGGUUUCAGAGAUCUCAGUCCACAGCCAGCCAGCUCCAUUCCUUAGGGCUCGAGGUGAGGGAGGUCAUCCUGGCAGAAGAGUGUGGCAGAGGGAAGCAGCUCACAUGAUGAUCAGAAAGCAGAGAGUCCACUUGCCAGGUACAAAAUAUAUACUCCAAAGCCACGCCCUCAAUGACCAAUCCCUUCCAGCCACACCCUACCCAUCUUUAGUUACCACUCAGUUAAUCCCCAUCAGAGGAUUAAUUCACGGAUUGGGGUAAGGUUUUCCCAAUCCAAUCAUUUCUCCUGUAAACCUUCUUGCAUUGUCUUACAUAUGAGCUUUUGUCUUACAUGUGAGAUAUGACAUCUCACAUCCAAACUAUAAUGUGUGUGUGUUUGUGUGUGUGUGUGUGUGUGUGUGUGUGUGUACACAUAUUCUGCAAGAGAGGAGAAAAGACAACCCUUCUGUCUUGCCCAUUUCUCUUUCUGGAAAUUCUCAGCCCCCACCUUUUUUUUUUCUUUUUUUUGGCCUGGAACAUUUAUCUCCCUGUGUCCCCUUCUAGGGUGCCCCUUCUAGGGUGUCUGUGAGGUAGCAGGAAGGUGGCUUUUCUGUUUGAGAGGGUCAUCUCUGGGUGAGAUUUGUGAGAGUGGUUAGCUUUUAUUUCCAGCAUGUGCCACAACACAAGAAUGAUCCCAACUUCCGAGAUGAUCACCUCCCAUCUUUUAUUCUUGCUUUUCUCCUCUCCUUUUUCUUCCCGUAAGAUAAUAGAAUUACCAGAAAAGCCUUCCUUACUCCUGGCCUGGUCAGAGCUUAGAGGUAUUUACUUCUCGGGUAAACAGCUAUAAUCUCCCUAACUAGACUUUGUCACAGUUAAGAGAGUUAAAUUCUCCUGGUAUAAUCCCCCAUGUGUUGUGGUUUUUUUUUUUUUUUUUUUUUUUGAGUAUAAAGCUUUUGACAUCUUUUGAUAUCAAAUAACAACAGUGCUGGGCCACUGGAUAUCAUUAGGCAUUAGGCAAAGAGGUUUGGUUUGACCAGACUGGAAAAGAAGGGCCUCUCUGCAAAAUAGCUUUGGGUCAGGGUGGGGGUGGGGGAAACAUGGAAAAGAAUCUUUGCUUAUGAGAAAGAAGGAGGAGGGACUUGUGGCUGUUUCACAGGGCCGGGGGGACUCUCUCCAGUCAUGCAAGUUCCUCUGUGGCCAGUCAGGAGAACAGGGUUCAAAAUCGAGUCAGCCCAUGCCCAUGCCCUUCUGUGUUUUCCCUAACCACGUGCUGGACACAGAGGCCAACACAGGGGGAGAAAAUGGCCACAUUCUUGAACUCAGGGGGUGAGCCAUUUUAAGAAACGAGGUGUACUUGAACCUCUAGGAACAAUACAAGGGCCAAUUAGGAUCAAAGGCUAAAUCUCAUUUGGCUCAGAUUAUUGAAAAUUCUGGGGCGUGGGGAAGAGCCAUAAAUGGUUAGAAGAUGGGAGAUCAAUAUUGUUGGACAGGAAGGUGUCUUCAAGGCUAGAGCCGGCCUUGAAGGUGGGAUAGGGGUGUGUGUGUGUGUGUGUGUGUGUGAUGACCGUGGUGACAGUAGAGGUGGCAAAGUGACACUGCAAAUGUGGAAGUCAGCAGAAGCAAAGGCUGGGAGUAGGAGCGAGCCUGGUGUGGGUGGCGUCCAGCAGGAGACAGCCUGGAACUGCCAGUUCUUCCAGCCCAGGAGCGGCGGUGGGUGCUCCGAGAGCGAGCGCCCGAGCCAGGCUCGCAAGUGCUUCUUGUUUCUAUGUAUAUACAUGCCGUGCGUUGGCUUUUCUUUCUUGUCGACCUUCCAGUCACUCCUAAAUUCGGUUCCCGUUCUCUGCCUCUCCCUGCCUGCCAGUGCCACCCAUGCUCUCAGCCAAGCGGUGACAUUUUCCCCAAGCACAGCCUGUGCGGUUUGAAAGCCUAAGAUGAGCUUUGGGGUUUGACUCCUCCUGCCACCCUCCCUUGGAGUCUGUGCCUGUGUGAGAGUGGGGGGCCCUGAAUCCCCAUUAAAAAGAAAAAAAGAAAAAAAAAGAGUCAAUUGCCAGGAUCUUGGGCUGAUAAGUCAUUCACAGAGCCCAGUGGCCCAACUGUCCCCACUGCUGGCUGCACUUGAGGCAGAUCCAGCAUGGGGUGGGUUGUCUCCCUCUGAGAGCAUCUCCAUGGAGUGCUGUGGGGCGGGGGAGUUCUCCAGAUCAUGGCCCUGCUUGAAGGAAGCAGGCCUGAGGCUCCUCUCCUCUCUCUUGCUCUCCCUGAGCAGCGUCCCCCUGCCGAGGCUGCAUUUCCACACUCUUGCAUUUUCCUCUUCCCUCUCCCAGCAUCCACCCAGGCUGAUUCUGCUGUGCAGAGGGACAGGGAAUGGCUACCCAGCCCCAGUGAGCCAGGAACUCGCUUCCAAGGGUCAGAUGCCCUGUGCCAGCUGCAGGAAGGUCUCCAGGCCUGUGUGGAGCCGGGGGUCUUCUUGCCACACUUGGCUCCUGUCCCUGAACAUGUUGCUUGCAGUUCCUCCACUGCCUGCCUGGGCCCUUCACUUCUAGAGACUUCCACUGUGGGCCCCCACUCCCCUGCAAUUUUUGUUUCCAUUCCAUGUUUGUCCCAUGCAGAAGUCCCAUGUGCAUUAUUUAAACAAGAAAGAAAAUCAAGACUUGGGUGUUAGCUUUAGAGACCAGUCAUUGAAAUACCAGUUCCCUCUUUCCUACAAAAAUUCACCUUCUUCACUCUUUUCCACAUGGUUCAUUUUUAUUUCAUUUUCAGGGAGAGGGCUUAAGGUGCUUCCCUCUUUUGGUUUAAGUGUUUAAUAAGCUUUCCAUCAUUAAUACCUCAUUGUGAACUGUAACCUUCUAGAGGCAGCUGGUGGGCGCUGGAUUUGAUAGGACAGUGGGAGGAGAGAGACAGCCUGGCUUGUCUUGCUGGGGACCUGCUCUGAGUGCCACGGGGGCUGGGGUACUGGCCUUUCAGGUGACCAAGAAGAAUGCAGGGAGGGCUUUGUGAGACUGAGAGGGAAUGAGAAAGGAUACUGAAGGGGAAAUGUGAACAGAUGGCCUAAUAUUAUUAUCAUUAUCAUUAUCAUUGUUGUUAUUAUUUGCAGUGCUGGGAAUGGAACCCAGGGCCUUGAACACACUAGGCAAGCCCUCUGACUGAGCUAUGCCCACAGUCCAGAAUGGACUUCCAGUUAUGAGCCGGAACUUCCUCUCAUGGGGCUGCCUUGGGUGGGGCCAGCUGGUGAGAGGGCAGUAUUUUGGGGACCUGAUGUUGUUGGGACCAGCAGAGCUAUCAGUGUGGUCUGAGUCCCAUCUCCCGGGUUGAGAUGAGCCGGUGAUUCCCCUUCCCAAGGAAAGCCGGAGCUUGCCGGGCCCUCUGCUGUGGGUGUCAGCCUUGCCUCUGAAUUCCGAUCCUGGUUUUGGAGAUCCCCUGUCUUAAACAUGCCAUGGCAGCAUCUCUUCACUCCCUACAUUUGUUUUAAAAGCAUUGAAAUAAAUGCAAUCAUUUAAAGACUCUUGGUGCCGAAUACUGAAAUGUCUAUUAACUGUUGAAAUGAUCAAGAAAUCAAUUACGGACUGAUCCUUGAGUACCUACUAUGUCCAAAGCUUUGGACAUACAUUGUCUGUCAUGGGUCUAUUAAUACAAACAACUCUAAUUGUUUUGAUAGAUACCAUUCACAGAGUGCCUUUCAUGUGCCAGGCAUGUUCUCAUCAAAUCUUGACAAUAACCCUUUUAUCUCCAACUGACAGCUAAGGAAACAGGCUUAAAGAGGUUGAGUAAUUUGCCCAAGGCUACAUAACUACUUAAGGGGCAAGGCUGGGGUUCCGACUUGGCACCAGUGUCAAGCCCCAAAGCCAGGAAACAUGUGAACAGAGGAACCGACCGAGUCAAUAGAGAAUGCUGUGUAAUUAGAGGCUGAUGUCUGUGAUGACGACAGUGCAUCUCAGAGGUGGUGGGAAAAGGAGAAGAUCUGCAGGAGCUCAUGUGGUGAUGGAGAUUUCUGGAAGGAGUUGAGGCUUGAUCUGGAUUUAGGCUUGGAGGGGUGGUGUGUGAGUGAGUGCGGGCAUGCGAGGGUCAGUGAGGAGAUGAGUAAGAAAGGAAUGGAGGCUUGGUUGGGGGAAUUAGUGGUGGUGAAACAGCAAAUCAGUGUGGUUAAAGGCUCAAGUCCCUACCCAUUUCCUAUGUGAGUUUGUGGGAAAAGUAACAAACCUAUCUAAGUCCCAGUUCCUCAUCAGAAAAAUAGAGAUAAUAAUUGUCCUUGUCUGUUUUCUGUGGCUAUAACAGAAUACCCGAGGCUGGGUCACUUACAUACAAUGGAAGGUUAUUUGGUUCUGGAGGCUGGGAAAACUGAGAGCACAGCACUGGCAACUUGUGAGGGUCAUCUCCUGGUGGAAGGCAGAGGUGGGAGGACAAGUGAGUGUAGGAGAAAGAGGGAGAAAAUCAGACCAAACUUAUUCUUUUGUGUGGAGCCUGCUCCCAAUGGAACGAACCCAUGAGCUUUAAUCCGCUCAUGAACUAAUCACCUCUUAAAAGUCCUACCUGUUAAUACUGUUACAAUGGCAAUUAAAUUUCCAGUGUGAGUUUUGGAGGGGACGUUCAACCCAUAGCAAUAAGGCUACCUGGCGCACCCUUCUGUGGUAAAGACUGAGAUAGCUCACGCGAGGUACUUAGCACAGCGUCUGGUGCAUAUUAACUGCUCUAUAAAUGUCAGCUGAAGUUGAAAACGCUCUGCCCUCACUCGACACACUCUUGGGAUUUUGUGACAUCUCCCCCUUGCUCAGGGUCCUCCACCACUGAGUCAUCUGGUCCCCUUGCUGCCUUCGUUUCUCUCUCUCCGUCACUGUCACCACCCUGUUUGAGAUCCCUGUCAUUACAUGCCUGAGUGAUUGCAACAGACUCCUAACUGGUCCCCUGCCCUCAGUCUGUCUUCACGUCGGUCCACCCUGUGCAUUAGCACUAGAUUAUUUCUCCUAAAACACUGCUGUCUCCGUCUCCCUUCCAUGCUCAAAACCCUCCGAUGACUCACUCUUGCCUUUGGGAUCCAGGCCAGGCUUUCCAGAUGAAUCACCUACAACCUACUUUUCCACUCAUUUGCCUUUGUCCCUCCACAUGGUGGCUGAUGGCCCCCAAGCCUGCCAUGCUCCUUCCUGCUGCUGAGCCUCAUCCUUGUGUCCUCCUCCAGGACCGUGCCUCCUCCUCGAUGCCUAGCCGAGCACUGGUCUGCUGGUCUGCCUCCAGGAAGUCGUCCCUGACCAGUACAGCCCGAGGUCCUCUCUCCUCAGUAAACAACUCUUAUGCUGUACCUCUACCCUGUCUUACUUGACCAAGAGCUGCCUUUCUAGUGACAUAGCCUCAGGCAAAACAAAACAAAACAACAACAACAUCCCGUUUCCCCUGAUGGGCUACACAGGACUCAAGGGGAGGCCAUUUCGCCUGCCUUUUGGGGUCCCUUGGUUCUCAGCAAAGGGCAUGGAUCAUCUAUCUUCCAUAGAUCUUUGUACUUUUUAAAUGUGGUUUUGAGGAUGAGGAUAAUCAAGAAAUGGAAGAUGGGAGAAAAGAGCCAUUUCCUUGACCCCUGGGUGGUCGGCCAGCCAUUCAUGCUCCUCCUGCAAAGCUGUAAGCUUUAUUCCUUUGUGCGUCCCUCUGGGCCACCCUCAAGUGUUCCAGGCUUGCCUUCUGCCCUUAGAAACUGCUCUGUCCUCAUGCUCCCUUGGAAGGGCUCACAGUCCUCCCAGAAGGCAAAAUGGGUGGCACUGGUGUUUAGAUGUGAGUCCUGUGUCGGGUGCUCCCUAGAGGCCCCGCUGAUAGCUCGCACUUGGUUGGGUGCGUUUAUUGAGCGCCUCACCAGAUGAGUUUGGAGCCUGUGAAUGAAGAACGACACCCAGUGGAGUACCAGGCAGAGCCUUUAACACGGACAUGUGGCCAUUUAUUAUCCCCUUAAUGACAAUAGCAGCAAUAAUGGUGAUAAUGAUGUGAUGGGAAGAGCAGAAUGAGAUGAAUGAUGGGUGGGGACACCAGCGAGGCCUAUCCUCAUCCUGGGGACUUGGAGUUUCGGACCAGGCUUUCAUUUCUUUUGGGUUCGUGUGCCAUGCCCAGCUGGCGAGAUGCCUCUCCCUGAUUCAAAGGGGAAAGAAGAAUCCCUCACCCGGGAUCUUGGGGACGUCAAACUGUUCCUUACGCAACAGCCUCCUAAUGAGUUAAGUGUAAAUGAAUCAGAAGCAGAUGGAUUGGAUUGUUCUGGAAAUACACCCGAGGUUUAAAAAUUAAGGGAAAAAGCAUUUGGCAAAAGGCAUUUUGGGGUUUGCCAAGACCCAGAACAUUUGAAAAACAGCUCAAGAUUUUUUUUUCCUUCCUUUUUCUCUUUUUUCUUUGCUUGUAAAACCCCAAAAGCUGCCUGGAGGCAGUAGAAAGAGAUGGGCCUCUAUUCUCCUUUCAAACUGAAGUUCUCCUGCCGCGUGGGUAAUGGGCCCCAGACAGGAGGCAAUGGGCUAUGGAAGUGCACGGGGAGCGCGGAGUCCAGGGACAAAGCAGCCCACCUCCCUUCAGGGAGGAAGGCAGUCCCUUGAUUCUGCAGAUCCCAGCCUGGGCCUCAGCCCUCUGGACCUGCUCUGGGCUGCUACCUAGGCCUUGCUGUGGGGCCUGUGUCUCUCCUAAGACUUGACUCACCUCCGAUCAUGAGCAGGCUCCUUAUGUAAGGGAAACAGUCUCCAAUUUGCUAGGCAAGGAAACUUUAAGGGUUAGCAAACACCAACCCCAUGAAACAUCAAGUGAAAUGUUUAUUUUAGGGGAAACAAAAACCCUUUAAACAAUUUAUUUUUUAUUAGUCACAUUUGGCAUAACUGAGGCAUUCCCUGAAGGGACCAUCUUGCCGUGGAGGGGAAAAGAAGUAAAAAGCAACUGUCUCAAAGGAAAACUCAACCCAGCAGUUUCUAAAUCUUCUGCUGGUUGGCUGUGUGAUUGUAGAUCAGAUGCCAAACUUCUCUGUGCUUUGGUUUCCUAAAUGUCAUCUCUGAAAAAUUUUCUCUGAUUCAGUUCAAUAUAUGAAUCAAAUAGGUUGGGGACUCUGCUAGUGGUAAUUCGGGUUACACAGCGAAUCCUUGGGUUAUGGGAGCAUUCGGUCCUCUACCUGUCUAAUAUGUGGUCUUACAGAAUUUCAGGAUACUUUCCCCCAGGCUCCUAUCUGUAGAGGCUGAUACACCCACACACAUGCCUCUCACACCCUGUGGUUCUAAGCUUGGUGAGCUUGGCUGUUCCCUGGGCGGUGACGGGGAGGGAGUGGCUUGGUGGCCUGGGGUCCUGCCACAGGGUUUUUAUCUGGCUGUUCUAGGGUCUCCCAUUUCCAAAGCCUGCUGUCCUCAUUUGUGGUUUUGCCCGAUUCCUGUCUAGAAAAAGCUCUUUUGGUGUGUCCUGUGAGUAGCCUCUUGCUGUCCUGAUCUGCCGAUCUGCUGACCUGGCCUGUUUCCCAUGGGCAGCAGGGAGACCCGCACUAAUGCCUGGGGGUGAGCUGUUGGGUGCUGCAGCUCAGGCUGUGGGAGCAAAAGGCAGAGCGAGAGCCAAGUAGGACUGAAUUCCCUCCCUCUUCAGAGGUCCCUCUUUUUUUUUUUUUUGUUAUUUGUUCAUUUGCUCCUCUGUUCUGUGCUGGAUCAUGAUGUGAUCCCUUGGUGAAGACAGGCCCGUUCAGCCCAGCCCAUGGUGACAGUAACAACUGGCAAUUGCAUAACUGUUUGUAGUUUAUAAGGAUCUUUUGAGUGUCAAACCUCCCAGCUUCUCUUCUCAAAAACCCACAGAACAUCUAGAGGCCUCGGGGUCAUCUGGUCAACCAUCUCAUUUAACAGAGGGCGGUUCUCGGCAAGGUCCCGUGGCCAGUUGGCAACAGGGCUGGGUCUGGUGUCCUUUUCUCUCUCUUCCCGGGCUUUCUUUUUGUACUUCAACUCACUUUGUUCUCAGUCGGGAUCUAUUUUGUUCUGUGUUACUUUGUUUAUAUCACUGUUUCAACACCCCAUAUGGACUGUAAACUCUUUUAGGACAAGAUCAUGUUUUACACUUCUCCAUAAUUCAUACAGUGCUGAGCAGAGUGUCUUGGACAUGAAAUCUGCUUAACAAAUAUUUAAUUGACAGGAAAAAAAGAAGUUGAAUUGGGUACAACUAGUAGCAACCCCAGUGUGCUGCAGAGAGAUUGGCAUUGUGUUCCCUAACCUACAAGACGGCGGCUCUGGGUCUCUGGGCUCAUCCCCAAUUGUCGUUCGAAACCCUCUUUAGCUCCCCUCGGCCUCAUUGUCAUCAUCAUGAGCAUCAUCCUUAUUAACUCUGCUUUCACAGUCUGAGCUCCGAGAGCACGCCAAGAAAUAGAAAAGGUGUUAACUUCUAGAUAUUGACCUAGCCAAGAGAAAAUUAAGCAGAAGUUCCAGAAUUGAAGCGAGCAAGCAGCUAUGUGGAGAGGGAGGGGAAGGACCACAGGGUCUCCUAGCUUGGCCUUAUCCUCACCCCGGAGUGCUGGACUCCAGAGUCAGUUUGCUGGGGGUGACCCCAAGUCUUCAUGUCUAACCGAACAUGAGGAAAAAAGAUUCUUUUUGUCCCUGCUGGCUUACUUCUUAGCUGAAUGAAUAAGAGGUCAAAUAAGAUCCCAUUUUGAACCCCCAGGAGGAAAGGUAGCGGUAAUAACAAUGAUUAUUUGGAGGUUAUGGCUUGUUGAGGCUGCAAACAGAGAACAGCUUAUACCCCCCUAAGGGCAAUAGGAGGCUACUUGCAGAAGCUGAAACUGAGAGCUAGAGCAUUUCUCCUCCUCUCUGACCUUGAGGGUGGGGACGGGGUGUGUGUUGUGGGGGGGGGGGCGUAGGGAGGGAUACUAAUUCAGCAAGGGGCUUUGUUGCAGGCUUUUUACUGAUUUUCUAAGUCUAAGGGAAUCCUGAAGAGGCCCACUUGUCCUUCACCUAGUUUCUUCUUCUGGUCUGUGAAUUCUGACUUCUUCAACAUCUCUGACAUGAUGAUGCAGGACAAAAGCGGACUCAUCGGAGAUAGGAAGGGGAGUUAGGAUAAAAAAUAAAAAGUCAGCCAGGAUCAUAAGUACCUCUCUCUUUAGUUGUCUCCACCCACAACUUCUCCAUAAAUGUCCACAACCUCAAAACAAAAAUCACACAGCAGCAUGCAGAAUGGGGGCCAGUCUAGGGUCUCCAGCUCAAAAUUGGGAGGUGGGGCUGCUGCGACAUAAUUCAGUGCCUUUUGCCUCUGCCCCUGGGGAAUGGGGUGCUCUCAGGGUCCCCCGGAUGCAAUACUGUGGGGGAGCAAGUCUGCCUCACCCUGCAAGCCGAGGCCACCACCGCCUAGGACUCACUCUAAGAGUGAGCAAGCCAGGAGCCGCAGAAUGAUUGAUGGGCCGCAGCUUGAAUGGAAAGUCCGGAUUCCAGCGAGACAGCUAAGGAGGUAGGAGGAGAGUCACUUCUAACAUCUGCAAUGAAAUUAAAAAUUAAAUAAAUAAAAUUUGUUAGUUUACAAAUAGAACUGUUACUUGUUACUCGGGGUAUUAACAAUCUCCUUUUUGGAUUAAAAAAAAUUUUUUUUUAUUUUUAAUUUUUUUUUCGGUAACACCCGUGAAAGACGUUUGUUUCAGUUGCCAACAUUUCUGCAGAACUAAUGUGGGUGGAUUGUGACAGAUAUAAUUUCUCCAUCCUACAGUUUCAUCAACUUGAGUUCUGUUAAACUAUACCCGCUGGGCUUAGCUCCUUUUAAAGUUUCCGCUUUGACAGGUAGAUUUAUUAGUCUUGAAAUUUGUACAAAUCAGAUGUCACUCGUGGCAACUUGUCAAAAUGUCAGUCUGGCACGGCGGCAUGAAAGGCUUUCUGGAGAGAGAGACAGACGCAAGGCAGGCUUUAAAGCACUCCAGUGCGAGCUGCAGAAAGGAGUGGGGGGGAUUGAAGCCCCUUGAUCCUGAGGGCUUUACUUUAUUAAAUAUCUCAAGCUGUACAGGGGGACGGGCCUUGGGAUCCGGGUUUUGGAGACAUCAGGUCUGACAGCUCCCAAACUAUGGCUCCCGUCGGAUCAUGUCAAGUCUCUUUGCUGGUUAUGUUCACUUAGUGGCAGAAGGCAAGGGGUGCUAGCAUGGUUGUGUGGGGACCCAGAGAAAAUCCAUGUCUUCUGGUUUAAAAAAAAUUGCUGGCUUGGGUCUGUGGAGUUGGCAGGGUCCUAGGGUGGGCUCCUUGUGGCCAGAACUAAGGGUGCCUUCUGGCCCAUAAAUGCAAUCUUCUGCUUCCACUGGGGAGGGGAAGAAGCUGGGAGGAAGGGGUGGUCUCAGUCUCAGGUGCAGCCCUGUGGAGACAGGCCUGCUGUUCUCUCAGAAUGACAGAGGGCACAGUCCCCUGCCUCCCACCCAGGGCUCACCCUUCUACUCUGUGUGCUUCCCGAACUUUCCAGACUUCCUAUUCCCCAGCCUUCCGCUAGUCAAGGAUCCUGUGAUUUGGUAAGCUCCAUAAUUAUCUUAGUUUGACAUAGCAGUAAAUGUUAUUAAUAGUUGGAAAAUGAUCUGAAUUUCUUGCCUAGGGAGGGGUAAGGGGAGUGUGGUAAAAGAACCUGGCCAGGGUGCCAGUCCUCCAGUGGACAGACUGCAGGAGUCCCAGUGAACGUGGAUGUUUAGUGUUUCAAAAAGGUAGCCUCUGGGGAGGCAAGUGAGGGGUGGGGAUAGGGGUUAGUAGUGCUGAAGUGGAGAUAAAAUUAUGACCAAGGAAACUUGGAUUGGAUUAUCAUACUCUUUGCCCUUUGGUCUGUGUGUCUAUCCAGGGAGGUUGGGAGGUGCCAAGUAAAGCUAUAGUUUUCAAUAUUUUGUUAUCACCCUUCUACUCCUAGGAAGUUCUGCAGGAUUUAGGGAGGAGGGCAAGGACUCGAAAAGAUUGGUGCAUGCUCCCAAAUUUAAGCUCACUGAAGCUCCCACUCCUAUCUUUGGGUCCUUCCUCACCUUGCCUCAGGAGGGGCGGUUGCACCCUGAGCUCCUCAACAGCACCUUCCCACCACACCCUCCUGUUCUGGCCCAUCCAUUUGCCCCUGAGAUGCACAGUAUCCACAUCAGGAGGAGGCAUGCUCUGACCUGAGAAGUGGGGAGCUUGCUGUCUCCACUCCCUUUCAUUCCUUUGGACUUUGAAUGAUUGAAACUCCUUUUCUUCAUACGUUUCCAGAAACUCCUGCUACGAUGCAAAUACCUCUUUGAAGGGUGACACUUCCUGACUGGGAAUCAGGUGACACACUGCUGAAAGCAAAGAAGUAUUUGGGGGGAAGGGAGAGGGAUUGAGAUCAGAGCAGGGUAAACAUGAGGCUCCCAGGGAACUGAACACCUGAACACCCCCCUCCCCCAUUAUAUUUUGGAGAAUCUUACCUACUUGAUACAUUCUUGACUGUCCCCAGAUCCUGGAGCAAAACUUCUUUUUGAGAGGCAGGAAGGAUGGGUGAGGGAAGGGUCUUCUUUCCCAAACCUCUCACUGCCUUGCUAUGUAAGAGGACAGAGCCCUUCUCUUGUCCCGUCAACAGCACGAGGCUCAGGGGUGCUGGUGGCUGAGUCAUUCUCUGCUGGCAGCAUACAGUCUAAGGUGUGAAGCAGGGAAUUUUCCUCUCCCAGGGCCCAGAAGGCAGCUUUGCCUGGCAUUGUUCCUAAAAGGGAGAAGAGUCAAGUCCGCUGCUGUUGAUGGUUCUGUUGAGGUGUGGCUCGGUGAGCAGCUCGACAGACCUAACAAGUGUGUGAGAUUAUCCCAGGUGAAAAAUCUCAGACAUCAAGAGGUAUGAUAAUGAUAAUGGUCAUGAUGAUGGAAUAAUCGUGGUAAUUAUUCUAAUAAUCCCUUAGGACGGAGAUCAUGUCUCUCAAAGUGCUCAAAGCACUUUCAUACUUGUGAUCUCACAUAACCUCAACCUACUUCUGGUAGAGAGAUCCAGUGGGUCAGCCUACAGUAGCUGCAGGGGCACACUGAGGCAUCAUGCUCAAAUCUUUCACUCUGGUCUCUCUUAUUGAGCUACAUGAGUCCUGGGGAAGUGAAUCUUUUUUUUUUUUUUAACUAUUAUCUAAUUAUUUGGAGUUAUUAUCAUGUCUCCGAGAAUGAAACACACACACAAAGACACACAGGCACACACACACACAUAGACACAAAUACCCACAAAUGCAGGCAGACACAGGCACAAAUACCUACCCAUAUGCAUACAAAGAUAGACACACACACAAAGACCUAUGUAGACACAUAUAUAUGCACACACGGCCACUCACACAUCUGGGGUCUCCAGCCUCCCAGCAGGCCUUUGCUGAGAAGUGUCCAGUGUGGAGAGUUGAGAGGCUUACUCGCUGGCCCUCCACCAUGCCUCUGCUCUCUCCUGUGUAGUUCAUCAAAAGGGAACGGGAGGAGGCAGAUCUGAAGAGCAUGUCACAGGGAGAACUUUCUUUAAAAGAAAUCGCUUCGUGCCAUAGUGCAGGGGAACUGACUUUCAUGUGGCAAAUGCAUUCUGGCAGCUCUCUGUGCCACAUGAGGAAGUUUAUUAAAGUAGGAGCAGGCGAGGGGAAUUUUCCCAGCCCCUCCUCCAAAGACAGCUCUCCCUGGCUCCGCACACCCGGGUCUCUUUCACAGGGGGAGCGCUGGGUCCUGAGAGGCCAAUGAGUGGAGGCCAGAGCCUGAGCAGUGGGUGCCCACUGCUAGCUGGAGCCCUGUGUUUUCAUUUCCGCAAUGUUUCCCUGCUUCGUAAUUUCAGGGCGGCCAGCAGGGAGGAGAGUCGGGGUGGGGGGAGAGGAGGGGGAAGGCAGGGAGGAAGAAGAAGGAAAAAACCCACCAGCCCGUCUGGCAUUAGUUCAGAACGCUCUCCAACUCACACAUCUGGUUCUUAUAUUUCAAAGUUAAUUAGUCAUAUUGAGGCUGUCUGAAGAUAAAUUUAUCAUCCAGAAAAAACACAAACAGUUUGAAAAAUGAAAGGAAGUGAGGUGACAUGGCUUGACGUUUAAAUAAAUCAUUUUAACAUGAUUAAAAAACUUGUCCUGUCUGACACCCAGCACUUGGGUACUUUGUAAAGACUUUUUUUUUUUUUUUUUCUUGACAAAGACAAGUCCCUGUUUGGUAUACAAAAGCCUUUGCCAUUCAAUUACUCAGAACAAUCUUUGGCCAAUUACUUUUCUGAGUGACUACCAGGGCGUAGAGCCCACAGCUGGCCCACUCUCUGGGGUGGUAAUAGGGGACUCGGGAUAGUCAAUGAUUAUCACAGGGCCAAAGCUGGGAUAAAACAUGAAGGGGUCUAGGAAACCAGAGGAUUUUUUUUUUUUUUUUUUUUUUAAGAGAGGAAUGAGUAGAAAGUGAAUUCUUAAUCCUGUUCUUCUGGAUGAGGGUUGAUGGAGAAGGAAAUCCGGCCAAAAGAAGAAAGAUCCUCCUCAAAUGCCUGGGCAGACACUUCCCCAAGCCAGAUGUGUCGUGUUCCUUACAUCUCCCAGGGCAUGGAAGACAGCCUGAACUCUGUGGCUGAUGGAAUUAGGACUCAGAGCUCUCUCUGGCUUUGCUACAGUGGGCAGGGGCUCCGUGGGGGUGGUGAAUAUGAGUCCUCUUGAGUUCUCAAGUGUUGGUUUGGUGUAGAAGCAAACGGAAGUGACCUGGAAUUCAGCAUUCUACACACUCAAGACACACCCCUGUCCACUUGUCCCUCCCUCCCCACUGGCCUUGCCAGCAUACCUUGUGUACUUUGUAAAGGUCACUGGCUCUAGUUCUGUAAAAUGACUGACAGCACUUCCCAGCCCAGCUCAGCAAUGUGCAGACACUUGAGCAGCGGAGGGGGAGGUGCUGGAGGUAGGUACAGGUGUUCUUGGAUGUGGUGGAAGAGAGAGGGAUGUUCCAGGGUUUUCCUCAGUUCUGUCUAAGGUGAAUUGGCUCUUGGGAGAUUUCUAGGUGUCCUUGGGUGGUACUUUCCACACAGAACAGGAGAGCUAUAACACAAUGUGGACGUUUUCUCCUAUUAGCAAUUUGGUCUCUUCAGUUUUGUUAAUGGGAUAACAAGAGGUGCUGGUUAUGGUGCAGAAGUCUCAUCGUGUUGGUAAUUUUCACUGUAACAUGUUAGCAAUCUGUCACUAUUUGUUUCCAGCAAUACUGGCAAGAAUCUGCUUACAUCAGGGGCUCUCAUUUUCUCUCCACACCACCAGACUGUUCUUUCUUUCUCUGGCUAGGUAGUUUCCCUACUUCAAUCUGUCUCUGUCCAUCUGUCUGUGCCUUGUCCUCUGUCUGCCUGUUGUUGCUCUCUCUGUCACCUCCUACCCCUCCGAUAACCUAUUCCAAUAUGCAUCAGAGAGAAAGAACAUUCCAGGGCAGCCUGUGAUGAUGACAGAAUUCCAGAGCUGUAAGCACCAAGGUAUCAUUAUGAUAGCCUCCUCAUUGGUCAGAUGGAGAACCAAGGCCCAGAAGAGAAGUGGCUUGCUCAAAGGUAUCCCUGUCCGUUUGGUUAGGGUCAGGACUAGCACUCUGGUUUCAUGUAUUUUUUUUUUUUUUAUGUAUUUUUGGUCUGUUUGGUUUUUUGCAGUGCUGAAGGUGGAACCCAGGCUCUCGCACAUGCUAGGCAAGCACUCUGCUAUACUCUCAGCCCUGGUUUUAAAUUCAUCGUGUCUUCUACUACCUGCAUAUAUUAUAUGCAAAAAAUCAGGCAAUCCCAGAAAUUAACUUUCUUACAUAGGGGACAACACCCUGAUGAAGUUAAGGUCAUAGAGAGCAUAGUGUCUCUGUUCCCAAGUUGAUAGAGCCUUUCUCAACUCCAUCAGGAGGAACCCUCAAACAAGGUGGUUUUCCUGGGGUGGCCCAUCCUGUUGUGAGUUAUGAUGCUACAUUCUUGGGGAUUUUGUUUUGUAAUCAAAAAGGAUAUCCUCCCAAGUGAAUCCUGGCUGGCAGUGGGUGGAUGUAGCCUCUGGCCCCACCUGUGACCACCAGUGGUCCAGCACAGAAGGUCUGAUUGUAAAUAGCCUUUUCUAAGUGAUGUGAGAUGCUGCUCUUCACUUCUUGCUCUGCAUCCCUGCUAUGGUUCCAGGAGACCUUCACCUUGCCCUUGAGCAUGGGCUGGGUGGCCAAAGUUUGUUCCUGUUGGACGUGUACAUUUCCACAGCUGGUAUACUGAGGUGUGGAGGCAGAGGAGAGAGAAGCAUCACCUGGUUUGCAAAGAUGCCAGAUUUUGAGUCCGACGGACCAGGGUUUAAAUCUUAGCUCUGCUACUUAAUGGCUUUAGGAUCUUCCUAAAUGCAGAAAUGUACAGUCUCAGUUUCUUUACUUGUAAAAUGGAGAUUCAUCAUCUUUUUCUCAGAUGUUCAGUGGGGAGUAGAGAAAAUGUUUCUGAAGUACAUAGAUCUCCAAGACACCUAGUAAGUGGGCCAUAAGCCAAACAUGCAGUCCUUUAUCCAUCCACUUACAGGUGGACCAGGUGAUGCAGAUGCCGCCCUGGCCACUUUUCGAGCUCAUUCGUAGCUACUAUCAAGCUCAUGGUUUAGGGUGAAGGCUGAUAUGCAGCAAUGGACUGUGGAGUGAAAAGCCAAUUGUUUUCAUUGAGGGUCAAGGAGAAUUUCUGAGAUGGAGAGAUUCAGAGCAUCUGCUGAUGGAGGGAGGAAACAGUUGACCAGAGUCACAGGAGAUGCUGUUGAGGAGAAAAUGAAUAUUCAAAUUUCAGUGGCAGGAAGAAAAAAAAAAAAAAAGGAAAAAGCUCUGACUUGUGAGCUAGUGAGAGCUACCAGGACUGUGCACAUUCUCUCUGUCAAAACCUUCCCACUAAUUGUCCAAAGCUUCCUUGAUUGCUUCUAAUGAAACCACUAGCUGACUUUGACAUCUCAGAACAGUCUCAUCAUGCCCUGUUGAAUAAUAAACACUGUUCACAGGGGCAGACAAGUUGGCGAUGUCAUCCUGGGAGGAGGCGUGUCAUCCUGGGAAGCAGCUUCAAGAGCUGGCUUCCCUGCCCAGGGCUUGCCAGAGCCACAGGCGAGCAGGUACCUGGACUGGCCCAGCCCUUUCUUCAGUUGUCCUUAAGGUGCUUUGGCUGUAAGUUCUGACUGCCUGUCUGUCUGGUGCUGUCUUUAGAGUUAACAGAUUGUGUGUGUACGCAUGCUCAUGCUUGUAUGUGUUUGUGUAUGCGUGUAUCACAUCCUUCCAUGGAAUCCAAGUCUUUCUCUACUUAAAAAAAUGGGAGGUCGAUGUGGGAUAUAGGUCCAAUUAUUUAGCCCCAUGGAUCUCAGAUUCUAUCUGUACCUUCCUCCAACUAUCUCCUGCCCAUUCUGCACAUGACACCAUGCCUGUCCUCUCCUUAGGACUUCCUGGAGCACAGUUUAAGACAUCUCUCUCUCUCUCUCCCUCAACUCUUCUUUUCCCCUCUUUAAUUCCUAACAUUGAUUAGGGCGAUACAUUUCUUGCUUUUUAUUUGUUUCUUCUUCUGGAGAUCAGGAGUCAAGCAAGAACAGGACCUCUCCCACCCUGUUCCCCUCUAUCUUGCAGAACACUGCAGUAUUGAGGCCACAGGUGCUCAGCGCCUACCUGUUGGCUAAAUCAGGAAGCCUACAUGGAGUGUCUGUUAAUGACUUCCUCUACCUGCCUCAUAGGCUUUCUGUAAGGGUCAAAUGACAGCAGCUGUGAAAAUAAUUUGAAAAAGUGAAAAGAAAUAUGCCAAGUGCGAGCUAUUAACAUUACUCUCCCAUGGGAGGCAGAGGACAUUGCUUUGCCAAAAUGUCUCAGUAGCCUUGAGGUGAGCCUGGCAGAAACUGGCCACCUGCCAAGUCUUUCAUUCCCACCCGUGUGGGGGCCCUUGAAGCAAGACCUGAGAUUGCAGGACAGCUCAGCUCAGUUUUAUUCAUACUUCUUACGUGCCUGUUGCCACGUGAUGGGUGUCAAGAGGUAGGAGUGUGGUAACCCAUCACUUAGCUUCUGUCCUCAGGCAACUCAUAACCCAGGAGGCUAGGACAACUUGCAAACCAGUCAGUUUUACUACAGGGACACCUGGAACAGGACAGGCAAGCUUAGGUACUAAAGUUGCUGGGAGGAAGGAGUGAUUCAUCCUAAGAUGAGGAGAUGGCAGCUGGACACUUGGAAGAUGAGGUCCACCCUUCUAGGAACUUGGUGGAGAUGCUUCCUAGAACCCUGUGUUCUCAACCUUGAUUUUCAACCUUAACUUUGUCUUCCUUCUCUCCCCUACUAACUUCCACCUGCCACAGGAGACUUUUUAGACAGUUUCCCUUGAUCACUCCCAACAUGAAGAUUUAAUACCAGAUAUAGAUAUGAUGUGACCUUUGGGAGGACCACAAAUCAUUGUAACAGUUAAGUUUUUUCACCCCCCAAGAACCAGUGUUUGUCUUGCUGGGUGCUGUUGCCUCUGUUGUGAGUGCAUGCUGUAGCUACAAGCCUCUCUACUCUCCCAAACAGUUCUGAUGACCUCAGACAAAUUCUCCUCCAGGUCCAAUGGCCUGGUUUUCCUCUCUUGUACUGACUAUCACCAAACGUCCAGCUCUGAGAUAAAUGCAGCCUAGAAGUCAGAGUUCCAGUGGGCCUCCCCUUCAUCUCCUUUUCCUAGGGCAUGUAGGAUGCUUUACCCAACAUCACCUUUCCUGCAUCCUUCUCCACGGACCUGACCACUUCUGCUUUCACCAGAACAAUGUGGCUAUCCCCACUAACACAACAUUGAGAGGCAGGGCUCCAUCAUUUCCUCUUUGGUCAUGAGCUUCCCGUCACCUUCUUCCCAUUUCGGCAGCACUCUUAGCCCAUGCUGUCCAGUUGAUGCUGUGAUGCUGCUGAGCCCUGGGCCAAUGUCAUGCUAGGCAAUGUGCUUUCUGUGUGUGCUCCAGUCUGUAGACUGGCAGCUUCCUGUAGACAGGGACUAUGUGUGUGUGUGUGUGUGUGUGUUUUAGUUUCUCUUGUGCCUAAACCACUUUUCAAUAAACACUUGCUAGUUGAUUGACAUUUUUUCCCUCUCCUUGUCUGCAUGACUAAGGACAUCAGGAAUUGUUCUUUUUAUAAAUCUUCCCACGGAAUACAAGGCACCAAGCAGGGACUUAACAAAUGUUAGUUGAAUGAAUUGUAUCAAGGACUACUUUUGUUUCUGUUUGCACCAUUACAAAAAAAAAAAAAAAAAAAAAAGGAAAUUGACUCAGAUCCAGACAUCCUGGAACUACAUGUAGAGAGACAAUUGGCUCCAAAGGUUUGCAUCCAUUGUAGACUUUCUGAGCUCAUAUUUUCUCAGGAACUGAGCAAGACACCUGCCAGGGGUCAUAUUCUGUCAAGAGACUGAUUUACUCCUAGAGGAAGAACCCUUGUUGGCAGUCUCAGUUUUUUUUUUUUUUCUGCUGAGAAACCAACUACAAUCAAAAAGCAGUGUCUUUGGGUUCCAUCGUGGGCCCCUCCGACACACUUCUUUUGGAGCUCUUCCCUUGUGUGGCUUCUGGUUGGGUUGGAUUAGCGAGACAUUUAGACAUUCUGCUCUGUAAAUUACCGGAGAAAUUAUAUCCCUGUCAUAUUUGAACACUCUGAAAUAGGAAAGAAUUACUUUAUUGGGGGAUUCCCCCUCCCUCCUCCUCAAUGUUUGAAGCUAACAAAAAUGUUUUCAAGCAAUUUCUUGCCGUUAGAUUUAGUGAAACUUACUUCAAGUGUCUUUCCAGAACCUUUCAUAGAAAAGUAAUUGUGUAAUUAGCUAUAAAUUAGUAAAAAUUAUGCUAAUUACUUCCAGGUGUGACAUAUUUUGCGCUUAAAAACAAGUAAGAGAAAUAAAGGGGCUGUCACUGUGUUUCCCAAGUGAAGGCUGGCCCAGGCAGCUUGACAGGCUGAUGUGCACAUUUACCUAAUAUUAUAUAUUUUUUUUAAUUAUGUAAUUUCUGAAUAAGUACAAACAGACCCAGGAACAAAAGUACAACAGACAAAACCCAGGGGUGGUUCUUUUUUUGUGUGUGCUAAUUAAAAGGAGCCUAAGCAGGAGCGUUUUCAGUACUUUUCAAACCUGUAAUGGGAAGAAUGGGCUGGAGGGGGGUGAUGCUGAUGCCAGGCUUCACGGAGGACAUCCAGUGGCCUCUGGAGGGGUGACCCCUCAUCACACUCCCUUCAGCCUUCCAGUUCUAGUCACUGAGGUAGUAUGCACCAGGGACAUGUCUCUGGUUUUCCUCUGUAGACAGCUCUUUUCUCGGCACAGAACUUUACUCUGCUGGCCUGUCAUGGACCCCUCUCAUCAUGAUCCUGGGGAGCAUGUAGGGCAGGUGUGGAGGACUUCAUAUUACAGCCAUGCACCAUCAACGAUAGGGAUACAAUGUGAGAAAUGCUUCAUCAGGUGGCUGUUUUUGUCUCUGAGCAAACAUGUUGAGGUGUAUUUAUAUACACCAAGAUGGUUACAGUAACCAUCUCAGGAAGUGAUGGAGUUUUACCGGUGUGCUGUGGUAUAUUUUCUUUCUUUUUUUUUAAAUUUGUUUUAAUUAGUUACACAUGACAGUACAAUGAUCUUGACAUAUCAUACAUUUGAAUCAGAUGGAAUAUAUCUUCUCAUUUUUCUGAGUGUACAGGUUGCAGAAUUACAUUGGUCGUGCAGUUAUGUAUAUACACGCUGUGAUAUGUUUUCAACAUCAGCUUUAUUAUGUGGUGCAUAACUGUAUAUAAAAGUCUAAAGCACCAUAUUCUCCUGGAAUGGUGUAAAGUAAGGAAGGAAGUAGGAUUGUCUACCAAAGUUCUUUCCUUCCUUCUUCUUUUUGAACCAAUUCAGUGAUGAUUGGUACUAUCUGUACCCCCUGGCAAUAAUGCUAAAAUGUAAAAGCAACCAAUUGAACUAUCAAUAGGUCAAAUAUAUGGGGUCUUGCAGUAGGCGCUGGGCACACAAAGACCAAGAUCACAUUAAGUAUUAAUGGUGGGGGAAAAAAAUCAUGAGGAAAAAAUUGAUCACGUAUGAACAGUACUCUAUUAUGGUGAACCUAGGUCUUUGUUUUCUGUAUAAGUAUGGCGUACUGAUUGCCACCGGAGCUCUGGUUUUAGGUUUUCGUCCCAUUUUCAAAUAUUUUGUCUCACGAUCUUUCCAUAAUUAUAUUUUUGCUCAUGAAACAUUGUGUCCUGUAUCUUGGCUUGGAGAACUUGGUCCCUGGAACUGUAACAGAGGAUCAUUAAAGUGCCACAGCAGAACAAAGAUCAUCCUCACAGAGAACAGGAAUUUAAGAAGGGUCUUCAAGAGGGGGGGUGGAAGUGUUCCAGGUGGAGAAGCAGGAGGGGUGUCUUUUCAAUACAGAUGAUACCCAGGAAGGUCUUGGAGAUGACUAGGAACUCAGCAGGAAUGACUGAAAGAGGAAUUCUUGGUGGGGGGUUGCGGGGAAGGACAUGGACAAGAACCCUAAGACACCAGCCAAGUGCACUCCAGAUGGUUCAGCGUUGCUAGAGCAAGAGUGAGGGGAGAAGUCAGGGACCGAAGCAGGGUCCAAGGAGAAUCUCGUAGCCUACACCAAUCAAAGGAGAGGAGGUUGGACUUUGAAAUAAAGGGAAACCACUGUAAAGUUCAAGCAGUGUGUUUGUGUGUCUUUGGGGGGUGGGGGAAUGGCAGAGCCAAAGGCCCUCUUAUCGUACUGCCAUGCUGCUUGACCUUUCCCAAGGAGAGCCGGUUUAGAAGUUUUAGGACUGAUGCAACAGUUGGGCCUGGAAGCAAGGGAUCCCCCCCAACCCACACAGGGGCCAGGAACCUCUGUUGCUCCUGGGAGGGGUGUCUUGACAGAGUGUCUUUCAGAUUUCUGCUGUCACCCUGCAGCCACCCAGGCAGCAGGCACUAUCUAGAGCCUUCCUCCCUACACAUUAAGGCUCACUGAUGCUUAAAGGGAAGAGAUCUGGGAGCAGCCUCAGCAAACAUGGGCCACAGCUUCAGAGGAAAAGGAGUAAGAAGCACACCUGUGUUCCCUGAUGCUGUUGAUGUCCUUCACAACCUUCUCAUGAGUUUCUGGCCCUUUGGUCUCGAGAUUCAAAAAUGAGCUCACUGGGAUAUCUUUUUGACACCAGAAAAUAGAUGACUAUUAGGAAAGUGUAGAAAAACAAAAUAAAACAGACCAAAACAACAAGAACAACAAGAAUAACAAUAACAACCUGUGCAUGGAGCCAUGUCCAGACUUGCUGUAAUAAAUAAAUAGCGGUAUCAAAGCCAGACAAAAAGGCACUCAGGCUGGGAGGCAGGAGAGCUCUAUUAGACCCUGACGGCUCCUUCUCCUCCAUCUGACCUGACUUCAGCUGAUUUCCUGUCCAGGUAUCGGAUUCUGCAUUUUUAAAAUGAGAGGACUGGGCUUAUUUAUCUCAAAGGCCUUUGCCAGACUGAGCUGUAACCUCUGCAUUUUUAUUUUAGGUAGUGACACACAGAAGAAAUAGGCCAGGGGGUUGGGAAUUACAGUGGCUGGAAAAGGGCCACAGAUGGAUCUCUUUCUCACAGUUUGGCUGUGGGACAUUUGAAAGUGUUCCACUAUCAAAAAUAUUUCCCUCCCUGUGACUUUUAUUUCCCCAGGACCAAGGUACUCUUAUGAAGAACUUCGCACUGUGGGAUCAGAGUCAAACUGUGUUUGCUUCCUAUUAAACAUGCCUUAAUAUAACCACAAAAUUGUGCUAAUGGAAUGAGGAGGCUAAGAAUAAUGGGAACUAGCAUCUACUGAGUGUCUGCUUCGUCAUGUCAGACAUGAGCCCAAGAGCUCUGUGUUUAUUUCACUAACCCUGUGCAGAGGUAGGUGUUAGAUUCCCCAUUUUCCAGUGGGAACGUAGGCUCAUGGAGACAUUAAGUAACCAGUGCUAGUCUGGAGGAAGAUGUGUGGAGCUGGAACAGAUGCCUUCAGCUGUGAGCCCUAAAUUGCUGUCUCCUUUCCCCAGCCAGCCUCCUGGGGCUCUUGAAGAUUAAAUGAGACAAUCUUUGUGACAAGUUUUGCAGAUUAUUAUGUACCAUACAUAUGUGGGCCAAACUCAUGGAAGAGCCAGGGUAGAUGUGACACAUCUGGCUAGGCAUGGGCUGAGCCUCCUAAGCAGGACAGCUGGAUUCUGGAGAGGAAGACAGAAGCGGUCCAGCCCAGGCUGGAGAAGGAAUUCCUAACGCAGUGCUGGCGCUUUCUCCUGGAGAUGUGUGUGUGGCCCUCAGCUGAGCUCCAGGCAGCAAGUCUGGACACGGCUCCAUGCACAGGUUGAGCAGAAAAAUGCUUCCUGGGGCAGGUGGCAUUUCUCUGGGAAACUCACCCUGGCAGGGUGAUUCUUCCUGGCUUUCUUCUCCAGGUGGAACUGAGCAUGGGGUGGAUCUCCUUUCUCAUUACCCAUAAGAUCAAGGCCACUCACCUUUGCUGGCAUGAAAUUCGAGACUCCUCCUCCCCUAGCCCUGCCCUAGGACUCUGUCCAUAUUGCUGCUGCUCUCCCCACGACUCCUCUGCCCCAAUGGCCACCCUCGUAGUGCUUCCUGCUGACAAGCUCUCUGCCACCUUGGAGCCUUGCAGGUGCUACUCUCUUGGCAAAGCACUGUCUUACCCCCAUACCUCCAUACUCAGCAGAAGCUCCACUUCCUUCAAGGCCUUUCUGGCAGUGGGGUUCCUUUUAUUUGAGAUUCUAGAUUCCUUGUCUCAUUAAAUGGAGCUCCUUAGCCAUCUGGGUAACGUUUUUAGGCAUGAAAGGACUGGACAAAAUUCUGUCCCCCCCUUUAAUACCUCCAGGAUUUGUAUUUAAGGCUUUGCUUAGGAGUCCUUAGACAUUCUUUGUAGGAAGAAAGGAAAGAGUUGGACUGCCUUGGCCUUUCUGCCUAGAUUCUUUUCAUGAACAGCUUGGUUAAGCUUUUAUCUCAAAGAUUGGCUUGACUUUGGGCCUAGGAGAGCAUUGUGAAUGACUAGAAAGGGUUCAGUAUUUAUUGCUCAUACAGUUCACUGUUGGACCAAAGCCCCGUUAACUGGUACCACUGUCUGGCAACUCCUUUGUAGGGGUGAUCACCUGCUUGAUAUGGAUUCCUGACCUUGUUCAGGUAAAAAAUCUUUAUAUACAGAUCUUUGCAGGUCGAUACCAGCUGCAAUGACUCCUGGAAGAGUGGGUUUAUUUUAUUUCUUUAUUUGAGUUGGGGUCCUGCUAUGUUUCCCAGGCUGGCCCUGAACUCCUGAGCCAAGGGAAUCCUCCCACCUCAGCCUCCUCAGUAGCUAAGACUACAGAUAUGUACCACCACACCCAAUUCAGAAGAGCAAAUUUUAAAGAACUUAAUACAUUUUAAAAAUGCAUUUGUUAGCGGUUCUAUAGUUUUUUGAGGAAACUCCAUACAGUUUUGAGGAAACUCCAUACGGUUUACCAUUUUAGAGGAAGUAAAGUCUAUUUGAGGGCUCAGGGUUUUAGAAUUGACAUUUCCACUAACCGUGGGUAAGGGUUCUGCUCUCAUUUUCUUCUUUUUACCCAUUCAUUGUGCAAUGCUUAAAUUAUGUUAAACAUAUCUACCUCCUAAAACAUUUAUUGUUUCCUUAUGUUGAAACUUUCAAAAUAUCUUCUUCUAGUUUUUGAAAUGCACGGUAGGUACAUCAUUGUUAUCUGUAGCAACCCUAACAUGCAACAGCACCCUAGAGCUUCUUACUCCUAUCUAUCUGAAACCCAGAACUCACAGAUCAAUCUUGAUACCCUCUGCCCACCACUUUCCAGUCUCUGGUAACCACCAUUCUACUUUCAACUUCUUUUUUAGAUUAUACACAUAAGUGAGAUCAUGUGGUAUAUGUUUUUCCUGUGUCUGGCUUAUUUACUUGAACUUAGUGAUCUCUAAUGCUAACCAUGUUGUCUCAAAUGACAGGGUUUUGUUCUUUUUCAUGGCUGACUAGUACUCUAUCAUAUAUAUGUACCACCUUUUCUUUUUUUGCUCAUCAGAUGAUGGACACUUUAGUUCUUUCUAUUUUUUAUUAGUGUUAAUCAUGCUGCAAUAAACAGGAGUGCAGAUGUCUCUUUGACAUACUGAUUUGCUUUCCUUUGGAUAUAUAUCCAGUAAUGAGAUUGAUGGAUCAUAUGAGAGUUCUAUUUUUAAUGUUUUGAGAAACCUCCAUACAGUUUUCCAUAAUAUCCGUACCGAUUGACAUUCCCACUAGCAGUGUGAAGUGUUCUUUUUGUUUUCUUCUUCUUCUUACCCAGCACAGUUUCCGAGUUAUGCAGUAAUAUGAAGUGUCCAGCACCAUUCACAGUACCAAGAGGGAAGGUAGUUUACAAAAAGUAGAGAUGGGUUCUCUCUUGAGAGAAGUUUCCAGUAUUAUAAAAAGGAAAAGAGAUAUCUGCAUUCAGUUAACAUUCAUUAUUGUCUGAUGAAGAAACUGAGGCUCAGAGAGGCUAAAUGAUUUUCCCAAAGUCACACAGCUAAUCCAGGUCUAGGGUUCUUUUAUACCUGGCCUCACACAUAAAGCACUUAAAGAAUGGAACACUUGGUAUGUUAUGCCAGCUGCUGUGGGAGGUCAGAGAUGCUGUGGCCACCAGUCCUGGCUGUGGACUGGCUAGUCCCUGCUGACGUCAGAGGGGAAGGAUUCUGUUUUAAUCAGCUUUUUUGUUGCUGUGACAAGAACCCAUUUUAGAGGAGGAAAAGUUUAUUUGAGGGCUCAGGGUUUCAGAAGUCUCCGUCCAUAGAUGGCUGACUCCAUUCUUUGGGGUCAAUGGUGAGGCAGAACAUCAUGGUGGAAGAGUGUGGUGAAGGAAAGCAGCCAGGACACGUGGCACCAGAGAGACUUGCCUCACCAUCUUCAAAAUGGAAACCCAAGGGCACGCCCCAAUAACCCACUCCCUCCAGCCAUACCCUACCUGCCCCCAGUUACUCCCCAGUUAAUGCCUAUCCGAGGAUUAACACACUGAUUAGGUUAAGGCUCUCAUAACCCAAUCAUUUCACCUCGAAGCCUUCUUGCAUUGUUUCACGCACGAGCUUUUGGGGGACGCCCCACAUCUAAACCAUAACCAUUCCCAUUGUGGGUAGGCAGUGGCUGGCAGAAGCUGCGAGGAGCUCAUUGCAGCCAGGGAGGCAGCUCUGACCCCAGCAGAGGGGUCCAGGACUCUUUCCUGGUCGCUCUUCUUCCUCUCUAGCCCUCACUUUUGCUCACUACUUUCCUUCUAAACCAGGCACCUGCUCUCCAGGGUCAUUUUUUUUUUUUAAAUAAUUCUAGUUCAGAUUAUUUCAGACUUGGGCCACCACCCACAGCAAGAAAUACACCUUUCAGGGUGGCCUAGUACCCAUGGAUAUAACUGUGUGUGCGUGGGGUUUUCUUUUUUGUGUGCAUGCCUUUGCUAGAAUUGAUGCAAUCUGAUGUUUUUUUUUUUAUGAUGUUCUAUUAUGUAAUUAAAAAUUCAGAUAAUAACACAGCCAAUUAAAACACAACCUGCGGUAUGAAAAUCUGCUUUAACUCCACCUUGCCAGAGCUGUAGACAGAAUUCUUUUGCAUUCAAACCCACGCCGAAGGAAGGGCUAGGUCUUGGGCUGCUCUUGUAGCCUGUUGAGCUCUCUUUCUCCUCCGGGGGCUUAAGGCUUUAAUUUCUGACACCUAUACUGGGAUCUUAGCCCCUCCUACUGCGGGAUUAAUUACAUUUCUAUGCAUCUGCACCUUCUCUCCUCCCAAAGAGGGUUACAAAUUCUUGCAGAGAAAACAAAUUCCUAGGAGGAUAAGCAACUCUGCCUAGAAGGUAGUAAGAAUGUAAUGAGCUCAUUUUUUUUGAGCUCCAGAGGCCCAGCUCUGUACCUUUUUCUAGAGUAAGUGCUCAAUAAGUGUUUAUAGAUGGAUUGCCCACGUGGUUGAGAUGGCAGAAGGAUUUGGGAAUUUUCAGAGUAACCUCAGUGUUGCUGGUGUAAAAGGCCUGAGAGUAGGGCUGACCUUUGGUUGUUCCUCCAGCCAGCACUUGGGACCCCUCUGCUCUACUCUUCUGUAUCUUACUGCGUUUCUCCUCAGACUCAAGCUAGCUCUCCAGCCUCAGAUACUUCUGGGGCUUAUGCAUGCUCUUUGCCUUUCCUUGAGAUAGAAAUUGGAAUGGUGGUGAGUCUGAUAAGACCCAUGCACUUGACCUUGCCCGCCCCAAGCCUGACUAGAGAGCCCGGUAACAAACCCCUCCCUGCCUCCACCCUAACAUGGUGGGGAGAACACUAGCUCAGUGCAGAAAAGUUCACUUCAGGGGUCCCCUUAACCAUCUGAGUGACUCUGGGGAAAUAGGUUAGCCUCCUGAGUUCCAUUUCCCUUCAUUUGGCAUCUCUAUGCAAGUUGAGAUGGUCACCUUAACAUGGUGGCUUAAUGACACCCAUCUGCCAUAGGAACUUGCAUUUGUAUGAGCAGCAGCUUCCCGUAAAUAUCCUUCAACAACGGUGUGAAUUGUUUUAUGAUUAACUCUCCGUUUACUAGGGAAACUGAGGUUAAGUGAUCUAAGAUUACUUUGCUAGUGUGCAGUGGAGCUAGAAUUCAAACUCAGUUUUCUUUUUCCAAAGUCUAUAUUCUUACCAUGAACAUCAUUAUGUCAUGUAAUUACACCAGCCCCAUUAAGUUAAUGAUUAUUUCCCCCAGCCCAGGGGUGGUUUUUUUUUUUUUUUUUGGUGGUGUUGGGAAUCAAACUCUAUCAACUGAGCUAUAUCCCCAGUCCCCAGGGGUGUUCUUAAAGCAGAGAAUUUUUGUUGAUGCAGGGAGAUACUGAUAGGAAAAAUGAGGAAAAAGAAAGGAAAGGAGAGGAUAUGAGGGAAGGGUUAGUUUAGGGAUCAUGGGAGGCUCAUGGUUGAAGGGUUUCUUGGUCGUCUCUGCUGUUUCAGCUUGCUGGGUCUCCAGACAGCCAUCAGGUCCACCAUCACUGAUUUUAAUCAACAGACCAAUGAACCAAUAUUUACUUGGGGAUUUAGAAAUUGAUGCAGGAGGCUCAUUGUUGGAGGGCACUUGGAAGCAGGGUCAUUUUCCUUGGCCACAGAAUCCCAGACCUCUAUUCCCCAAGAGAUGGGUGAUGUUCUUUGGAGAAUUUGUGAGCACUUGGUGGUUUCCCUCACUUUGCCAAGUUUAUGCUGAAGGGGUGAGAGUCAUGUCAGGGUUGGGAUGUGGCUGUCUUCCCUGGAUCACCCACCCCAUCUUCUCCAGUGGCAGGUGCCAAUCACAGAUGACUUCAGUUUCUUUUUGUCACUUUCCAAACUGGCCUUUAAUAAGUGUUUUUAUAUUCUUUGUUCUAAUGCACCCACACAGCCCUCCUGUGUGGUGGAUGCUAGCAUUGCACCCAUUUUAGAGAUGAGGGAACUUGGGCUCCAAGAGAAUCUGUGACCUGCCCAGAGUCCUGAAGCCAGAUUUGGAUGUAUAUCUUCUGAUGUCAGAUCUUCCUAGUUUCUUUCAGGUGCUUCUGUUCUUGGAGAAUGGGCCAGGUAAAUAUGAAAUGCAAGUACUCAAGAAUUGUAUUGCUCCCAAGGUCACUACAGAGGACCUCAAAAUCCUGGGGUUGUAGGUUCCUUGAGGGCAGGUCCAUGUUGAAACUUUUGGUUUCUCAUAUUACUUACUUCUACCUCUGAAGGAUUGCUUUCCAACGGGUGACACAUGGUGACUUGUGUCAGUGUCAUUAAAACAUUGUAAAAUUCUGAAAAGGCAGCUCAAAUAUUCAGAAAAGUCUCCUGUUCCCCACUCACUCUUUAGUGGUAGCUAUUGUUAAUAGCUCUAUGUGUGUCUUCUAGAUCUUUUGGGAUGUAGUUGUAUUGUGCAUUAUAUUACCCAGUGUUUUAAGGCAUAAGCAGGAUUGUACUGUCUAUAAUAUUGCAACUUGCUUUUCUUCUUUCUUUCUUUUUUUUUUUGCAACUUGCUUUUUCAUGGAAGAACCUUUUUAUGGACAUGCAUUCAUGUUAGUGCCCAUAGCCCUACCUCAAUCUUUUUAAUGCAUGCAUAAUUUUAAUAUUUCAUUUUAUGGAUGAACCAGUUUAUUUAACCUAUUACCUAUUGAUGGACACUUAGGUUGAUUCCAGCUUGUUUCUAUUAUAAACAGUGCUUCAGUGAGCAUCCUUGUACAGUUGGAUAAAUUCAUAUAAAUGAAACUUCUGGCACGCAGGAUUAGUGCAUUUAGAAUUUUGAUCGAUAUUGCCACAUUGCUCUCCAAAGAGGUUGUCCCCAUUUACACCAUCAAUCUAAACAUUGUAUUUUGCAUGUGUUCAGUAAAUGCUGUGGAAAUUGGUCCUGACAGUUUAUUCAAUUAUUUUUGUGAUUCAACUCUCCACUCUACUCAGGGGUGAUUCCAUUGCAUUUGGAGUGUGUCAUUUCAGUCCCAUCUCUGCCCUUACUGGCUGGAGGAUGGGGAGCUUUUCUUGACAUCUCUGAGGCACAAUUUCCUUAUGGACGUAAUAAUACCUCUCUUAAAAAAAUUAUUAGUGCAUUAUCACUAUAUAAUGGUAAGUCUCAUUUUUACAUAUUUAUAAAUGCAUAUAACAUAGUUUUCUCCAUUUCAAUUUCUAGUACUUUCUUUUCCCCUUACCUUCUCCAAAUGAUGCCUCUCUCGAAGAGUAUUUGUCUGAUUUCUUGCUCAGAGCCUGGGCAUAGUGCAGGUAUGCAAUGCAUGCUGUCAUCACCCGGAGGGUCAGCUCCUGUCAUCUGGCCUUCAGGAGAGAUGAUUGCAUGGUUUGCACAGGACUCAGAGGGGAAACUGAGGCACGGGAUUGUUAAUGGCCUAUCUGUGCAAGAUAAAACCUCUUAAUUUCAUAGACUCUAAUUCUUUCCAGGACAGAGACUUUGUUUUCUUCUUCUUUGUAUUCCUGAAAGCGCUGAGCCCAGUGUAUGGGAUGGGAAAGGUGAGUUAGAUGUCAGAGUGGAAGGGGACAAGGGUUUUGACUCAGAAUGUAUGUGCCAAAAGGAGACACUUGGAGGCAGAGGGUCACGUUGUAGAAUUCACACAGAUCAAGAAACUGAAAUUAUGCUUCUCACUUUUUCUUAGAGAAGUUUCAGAAUGAAGCCUGGUGGGAGUUGGGAGAAAGGUGGAGGAGAAAGAGACCAGUCUAUGCACAGCAGUCCCCUUUUAGAAAUUGCCUUAGGGUCUAGGCUGUGAAGCUGGGGGUGGGGGUGGGGGUCUGGAAGCUGUUUGGAAGUAUGUGGGCAAUUUACACGUGGGGUGAAGGGGGUGUCUUGUGGCUCCUGAAUGGAAAACUAGGCUCUCUGGAUGUGGUAUUUUGAACUCCUUCUCUCCAGUUGAAUCUGGCACCUCUUGUCUCUGGAGUAUUCUUCUGGUCUUUUCUAGCUCCGGUUUUGGAAACAAAGUGUCCUUCAACCUCUUGUCACCCUCCUUGCCCUGCCUGCCCACUCCAAGGCAACUGGUGUCAAAAAUUCUCUCUGAACGGCUUGACCCAUGAGGUCUGGGGCUGUCCAUCAUACCCCAGGAACACACACAGAUGGGCAGGGGAGAGAGCAGGGCAGUGGGUGUUGGGAGUGACUUGGGGAUAUAGGCAAACGACUCAAGUUAUAAUCUGGGUUUGGCCAUGUCUAGUUACAGUAUCACACAACACUGUGUCUCAGUUUUCCUUUCUGAUGAAUGAGUUAUAUCUGUCCUUGCCUCCUUGUGAGGGAGACAAGGACAGCUCAGACCUUGAAAUCAGAGCAAGAGAAAUUGUAGAAAGGAAAUUCCUGUGUCAGCAAUUCAAGAUGGUGGUGUUGCAUUUGUGUCUCUCAUGGUCCUCUGCGAUCAGGAAGAUAUGCCACUCUAAGAAUAUGCUCUUUUCUGCCUGCACCUCAUUUUUUCACAGAGGGCUAAGUUUGAAUUCCUUCUCUGUCCCUUGCUAGCUGGAUGAUCUUGAGGAAGUUACUUAAACUCUCUGGGCCAGAGUUUCCUCAUGUAUAAAAUAGAGAUAGCAGCACCUCAUUAGGUGGUAAGAGAGUUCAAUAUUAUCUUUGGUUGUUCAUGAAAAUUUGAUUAGACCUUGGUCUAUAGUCAAGUAGGCUAAAGACUAUAGUGUGCUAUUGACCAUGUUGUAUGUGUGGUAUAUGCUGUCCUAUAUAUGCAAUAUGCUAUUGACUAUGCUAUAUGUAUGCUAUAUGCUGUGCUAUAUAUGCUAUAUGCUACCAAUCAUGCUAUAUUCAUGAUAUAGGCUGUGCCAUAUAUGCUAAGAGAUAUAGACUAUGCUAUAUAUGGCAUUUACACUCUACAUUAUAGACUAUACUAUAUGUUGUGGUAUAUGCUGAACUAAAAAUGGUAUAUACUGGGUUAUAUGCUAUAGGCUAUUUUAUAUGAUAUAGAAUAUGUUUUAUGCUUUAGAUUAUGCCAUAUGCUAUAGACUAUGGUAUAUGUCUUAGACUAUGCUAUAUGCCUUAGACUAUAAUAUAACCUAUAGACUAUGCUAUAUGCCAUAGGUUAUACUAUAUGCAUUUGACUAGUCUAUAUGCUGUGAACUAGGCUAUAUGUCAUAGACUGUGCUAUAUUUUCAGACUAUGCUAUAUGCCUUAGAUGAGGCUAUAUGCUAUAGACUAUGCUAUAUGCCACAGGUGAGGCUAUAUGUCAUUUAUGCCUUACACUAUUGCCUGAGCUCUAUGCUAUAGUAAGCUGUAGACUGUACAGAAAGUCCCCUGCUUCCAGUGGGGAUGCUUGAGGAAAGGAAAGUUCUCUUUGGAUGGCAGCAGGAUGUGCGUUUUUUUUUUGUAGAUGGACAGAAUGCCUUUAUUUUGUUUAUUUUUAUGUGGUGCUGAGGAUCAAACCCAGUGCCUGACACAUGCUAGGCAAGCGCUCUGCCUCUAAGCUAUGAACCCAGCCCAGCAGCAGGGUUUUUCUAAACUGUCUUCCUUCUGUUGUAGGCCAUUGCAUUCCAUUCUGCGGCACCAGUUGUCCAAUGUGCUUUCAUUUAGCACCUAUAUGCCAAGUCAGGAAAUGCUGCCUUUCUCUGGUUCAGCCUGAAUUCUAGAACAAGAAUGAGGAAUGGAAUUAAGGUGCUCUUGAAGAGCUUCUGAAAGAAACAGUGAUAACCUGUGAGCCCUGUCUUUGGACUCCAACCCUAUCUGGAGCUGGACCAAAAACCUGGGCUGAGCACUGGAAGAGGAGCCUGGUCUCUAAGCCACGUGUUCAUGAUGCUUUGGCUUUGAGAUAAAAAGGAAGGCAUGGGUUCCACUCCUGGGCAGCUGGGCUUCACGUGGGCCUGGGACACUUGGGAGAGAUGAGGUUAGGUUGGUUGUUCCCUCUUCCUUCCUGGCCUGGCCUGGGUCCUUUCACAGCUACCUCAACGUCAUGCCAAAAAAAAAAAAAAAAAAAGUAGCCUAUGCAUGUGGUACACACACACACACACACACAGACACCCCACAAAUCCUGAGAACAAAUUAGUGAAUUUAUUAACCAGGCCCUGUCUGAGGCUCUGUUGUGAAGGAGUGAAGACCCCUGUGGCUUGAGUGUUGGCGUCAGCACUAUUAAGUGUUGAUUGAGUUUUGGUCCCAGUGGUAAAAAGCAUGUGUGAAAUUCAAAUACAGAAUUUCAAACCCUUGAGCACUUCCUGCGUGUCUCGGUGGCUUUACUAAGGGACGGGCAUCUCUUUGAUGGCAAAUGAUUAUCUUUCACAGUGUAAGCACAAAUUGGAUCAUCAUUAAUGAAUUUGAUAUAUGUUCUUCCUUGCAUGGAUAGGAGCUGGCACUUAGUUAUCUGCAUCUCCAUAACUUUACAGGGGGAUGCUGCCACAUGCAAAUGAAAGGUUAUACAUUUGUUAGUUCUUUUGUAGCUUAGCAAUCAGUUUGAGCACAUCAUUUCUCUCUCUCUCUCUCUCUCUCUCUCUUUCCUUCUUCCAGUAUCCGUUUUGCAAAUUUAGAAACAUAUGAUGACUUCUUAGAGCUGCUUGAACAUGAGCUGCCAGAGUCCUUGCUAUAGAUGGAGAGAAGAAACAUGUUACUUGAUGUGCUCCAAAGCGUAUUCUUUCACCAUGCUUUAUCUUUGGUCUCACUUUUCUUAGCAUCUUUCUCCUUUGCCUCCUUCUUUCGUUAGGAGUCAGUCCACAGGGGUGAUGAUAUUUGAACUGAUGCUUAAAUAUACAUACACUAAGUCUUUCUGGUGACAAAGAAUCUAGGCAAGCCAUUAUGUAAUCUGAUUCAUGUCCCUCUUUUAUUUAGCAAAUAUUCAUUGAGUGCUCACUGCAGGCUGACUUCCUUAGCACUGAGGAGUAGGAAGACCAAUAAGGGCAUUCCCUUCUCUCUGGGGAUUAUUGAACCUCACCUCAUUUGUCAUUCUUCUCCUUUACCCCAUUAUUUGCCAGUAUGGUCCACUUUCUUUUCUUUCCACCUCACAUCAAUAUUUAAAAAAAUUUAUUCUAAUUAGUUAUAUAUGACAGUAGAAUAGAUUUUUAAAUGAUAAAUAAAUAAAUAAAUAAAUAUAUAUAUAUAUAUAUAUGUAUUAUUUUUUAUUUGUUCUAAUUAGUUAUAUAUGACAUAGAAUGCAUUUUGACACAUUGGACACAAGUGGAGCACAACAUGGUGCAGAGUCACAACAGUAGUGUAAUCACACUUGUAUAUAGGGUACUAAUGUGUGUCUCAUUCUACCGUCCUUUCCAUCUCCACUGCCCUGCCCCUCCCCUCACUUCCCUCUGCACAAUCCUUAACCCCUCUCCCCUACUAUGGAUCAGCAUCUGCUUAUUAGAGAAAACAUUCAUUCAGCCUUUGGUUUUUGGGAUUGGCUUAUUUCACUCAAUGAUAUUCUCUAGUUUCAUUUGUUUACCUGCAAAUGCCAUAAUUUCAUUCUUCUUUAAGGCUGAGUGAUAUUUCAUUGUGUAUAAGUGUCACAUUUUCUUUAUCCAUUCAUCUCUUGAAGGACAUCUAGGAUCAUAAUUAAUGAAUUUGAUAUAUGUUGGAUCAUAAUUAAUGAAUUUGAUAUAUGUUCUUUAAAAAUACUUUAGCUAUUGUGAAUUGAGCUGCUAUGAAUAUUGAUGUGGCUGCAUCGCUGUAGUAUGUUGACUGUAAGUCCUUUGGGUAUGAUCCGAAGAGUGGGACAGCUGGGUCAAACGGUGGUUCCAUUCCAAGUUUUCUGAGGAGUCUCCAUAUUGCUUUCCACAGUGUUUGCACCAAUUUGCAGUCCCACCAGCAAUAAUACAUAAGUGUACCUUUUCCUCCACAUCCUUGCCAACACUUAUUAUUGCUUGUAUUCUUGAUUACUGCCAUUUUGACUGGAGUGAGAUAAAAAUCUUAGAGUAGUUUUGAUUUGCAUUUCUCUAAUUGCUAGAUGAUGAACAUUUUUUUCACAGGUUUGUUGAUCCAUUGUAUUUCUUCUUUUGUGAAAUAUCUGUUCAGUUUCUUAGCCCAUUUAUUGAUUGGGUUAUUUUUUUUUUGUUGUUGUUGUUGUUAAGUUUUUUGAGUUCUUUAUAUAUCCUGGAGAGUAGUGCUCUAUCUGAGGUGCGUGUAGUAAAGAUUUUUCUCCCAUUAUCUGAAGGCUCUCUCUUCAUGUUAUUGAUUGUUUCCUUUGAUGAGAAGAAGCUCUUUAGUUUGAAUCCGUCCCAUUUAUUGAUUCUUAAUUUUACUUCUUGCACUUUAGGAGUCUUGUAAAGGAAGUCAGGUCCUAAGCUGAAAUGAUGAAGAUUUGGGUAAUUUUUUUUCUAUAGGUACAGGGUCUCUGUUCUAGUGUCUAAGCCUUUGAUCUACUUUGAGUUGAUUUUUGUGCAGGGUGAGAGAGGUUUACAUUCAUUUUGCUACAUACGGAUUUCCAGUUUUUCUAGCACCAUUUGUUGAAUAGGCUAUCUUUUCUCCAAUGUAUGUUUUUGUUGCCUUUGUGUAGUAUGAGAUAACUGUAUUUAUGUAGGUUUAUCUCUGUGUCUUCUUUUUUGUACCAUUGGUCUAUUUUGGUGCCAAUACCAUGUUAUUUUUGUUACUGUUGCUCUGUAGUAUAGUUUAAGGUCUGGUAUUGCCACCUCACACCAAUUUCAGGUAUUCCAAAUGAUUUAUUCAUUUUCAGGAUGGGCACAUGUGCUCCUACCCAGCUUUCUUGUUGAUAUAGUCAAAGCCACAUAUUGGUGCCUUCUAGAUAAAUGUAAAGGGGAAUAUAACAGAGAUGUUUUUCCAAUGGUACUAGGGCAGUGGCUGCACAUGAGUACUGAUUUCUAGCUUGAGUGGCAAGGAAGAGGAUGGUUACUGUUACCCCACUCCAAGAGGCCCUGACCACAUAGCUAUCUCUGUAGAGGGCAUUAUCUAAGAGUGCAAAUACAGGCAACUAUUGAUCACUUGGAAAGAGCAUAGAUGGGUGGGUUUUCUCCACUCAUGGAAGGUCUCAAAACCAGCUCCAUGAAUUUACUCAGGCAGGGAAAUAAAGGCUGGAUGUUCCCCAGGAAAACAGUCAAGGAAAGGAUGUCUCAUUCCGAUCACUGAGUAGGUGGUAGUUCUGAGAAUCAGUUCAGCCCUGGAGGUCUUUGUAUUGGCUCAUGAACUCUGUCCCUGUGGCUGGAAGGAAGCCAAGCCCUUGGGAGGUCAGGGCUUUCUUUACCUGUGGACUUGGUGACAUUUCAAUAUAGGGAAUGGCACUGGAGCAGGCGGUGGAGAAUCUCAGCCUGGCAUCUUUUUGAAAGAAACAAGGAAAAUGAAGCCGUGUGUAGCUGGCUCGGCCAGGAACUCAACAGUGAUUUGCCUCCAAUAAUCUGAUCAAAAUUCUCCAUGUGGGCAAUCCUCAGUUGCGCACAUCAGGACCAAUACUCAAAAUUGUCUCACAGGUCCUUUGGGAGGCCCUUGUGGCUCUCUAGGUUCUUCUGCUGCCAAACCCUUUUGGGGGUCACCCACUCCGGGGAGUUGGGACUAGGCAGGUGCACUGCUGAUCCUCUCUAGCACCGGGCCACUGAGGCUGUAGGGAGAAAUGCCGCUGCCACCGACCAUCCCUACGCUCUCUUUAGGAUAGGGGACUUGCUCACUUCUCACCGCGUGGGGUGUGUGACAGGCAGGGGAAGACGCAGACGGCGGGGGCGGGCGCCGGCAGGCAGGGUGGGUUGGCGGCGCGGCCCUGUCUGCCGGCGGUGACAGCCAGCCGGGUACCUGCCUGCCGGCCUCCGCCCGCGCCGCGCCCGCCGCGCGCUGACAGGGGGCCUGGUAACGGCGGAGGCGCGAGGGAAACCACCGCCGAGGUUUGUGGAGCUCCGGGGCCCGAGCACCCAGUGCCACGCACUCACACCCUUCAGCAGAGGGAGAUCUGCGCAGAACCGGCGGCCUGUCACCGGCCGCCACAAGCAGGCCCUGGCUGUGAGCUUCUGUUUGGAUUUUUUUUCCCCUCCAGAAAAUAAAGGUGGAAGAAAGCAGCCCAUAAUUGGCAUUUGGAAGGUUAUUGCUUGUCCUGUCAGAGGAGGAGUAAGCUGGGGCCAGAGGAGAAGCAUUUGCAUAAGCAUCUUCCACUGAGCAGAGAGAAUCCUUAGGCCUCUCCUAGGGCCCCCCCUGGUGAGGGAGGCUGCCCCCCAGGAUGAAGUGUGGGGUGCCCCUGGAGUCCUGGCCCAGCUGGAACUCAGGCUUCUGUGGAUGCUGUCCUGUCCCCCAGCUGGUGCAGACUCUAGAUGAAGCUGGGGAGUGCACUGAAGUCUGGGGGGCACUUCCCAUCCACUCCAGUACAAACCCUGCACACUCACACGCAUGAGUUCCAGACCAGACCCUAUGGCUGGACCCAGGGGUGCUCAUCUGGCUCAGCAGCUUUUUUAUAAGCCCUGGGGCCACGGUAGGGACUUGCUGAGAGGCACACUCCAGAGGCAGUAAACCUCUUACUUGAGGUUUAGAGUGAUGUUGGGGAUUCUGAGGGUACCUUUUCACUUUUCUCUUUUCCAGCUAAUUCCAUUUCGGCCCACAGAUGUGACUAAAAUCACAUUUUUAGAGAUUUACUCAUUUUGAUUCAAGCUUAGCUCACAAUUAUACAGCAAAGUCUCCUGGGAAGGUUUAUAUGUUAAGCUCUGUCAGUAAUUUCUCCCAUAGUAAGAAUAAAGGAGAUAAAGAUAUUGGAUACCUGGGGGCUGAGGCGUUUGAAUGUGUGUUGGGGGCAGUUUGAAGAAAGGAGAGUCUGGCAGGAGGGAAACAUCUGGUCUGGGGGUCCAUCAACCAGGGGAGCUGCAGCAGACGUCCACAGCCCCUCCAACUAACUUUGUCGACAUUAAAAUUUAACCCCACUGAGGCUUGGACUUUUGGGCUUCCCCUUCACACCUGUGGGCAGGUGAGGAGUCCACUGCAGGCUGUCUCACCACCCAGGAGGCCCAGCGGCUGCUGCAGCUGCCAUUCUCCUGGAGCCUGACAGAAUGGGACCCGUGGGGAAAGCUGCCACGUCAGCACCCAGCCCGGAUUUGCACUCCAGCAGCUAAUUAAAGCCAGGAAGGUAAUUUAUUGCUGAGGGAGAAUGUGCGGGAGGUUUGGCUUAGUUGAGAUGGCCCCCAAAGAGUUAUGGAAAGCUAAAGUGGGUUUUCAGAAGCAAAAGUUAAUUGCUCUUCACUUAGCAUUUCAGUGUCAUGUGGCUCUGAGUUACACACAUGCUGAGUGGAGGCCUUUACCCAGACUGGGGACACGGGGGUGGGGGUGGGGGUGGGUGAGGAAGGGUGCAGAACUCAGGACCUCCAGGUGGCUGAAGGGCCCCCACCCCCACCCCAGGAAUGAGAAGUGCCAUUCCUUUUCUUACCGGGAGGAGGGUCAAGGCUUUGCCUGCUCCCUGGGAGCAGCCCCAGCUGGGGUGGGACUAGGAGGCAUUUGUGUAUGGAAGAGUUUUCCUGUGGGGGAAAGAGCUCUGGUCUGAGAAUCUGGAGACUGGGAGUGGAGAUGGGGGACAGGUGGCUCCUAGUUCUGCCCUGACAGCUCAGUGGCUUGUACAAGCUUCUGCUCCUCUCCAGGACUCCUCUCUUUUUAAUGAUCACUAAAGUAUUUCUUCAUUUGUGCAUUCUUUGAUGCUAUGAUUUGCCUCCCAGUUCUCCUCACAGUUGCCAUUCAUAUUAACCCAUUUGGUAGAGGGGAAGAUUGAGGUAUAAGAUAGACUAAUAGAGUGUAUGGAGGACAUGGCACUGACUUGACUUUUAGCUACCUGGAGAGAGAAGCUUCUAGACACUUUGUGGGCAAUGGCAUUUGGGGAGAGGGUUAAAAAGCAUAGUACUGUAUUCUGGAGAUAUAUCUAGGUCACAUCUUGGGUAGGGGUUAUGUUCUAAAGUCACUGAGCUGGUGAAACUAGUGAAGUCAAAAUUAUUUUGGAGAAGACUUCUAUUGCAGGGAUUGCUCCUGAAAUGUGAAGUGAGGAUCUCUGCCCCCGUACCCGCCCUCCAUUCCUACUCUGUGGUUCUUCACUUGGGAGUAAGUAGAGGGGGAAGUCCAGCUAGAAUGGUGUGGGAAAUGGAGACGGCAAAAGUGAUGAAGUGAACAGGUAUUCAUGUAUAAGAGAUAUGCAUAUGACUCUGCUCAUUCUGCUGUCCAACAUGAGGAUCAACAAGGGCAGGCAGAAAGCUCUUAAGAUAAAGUGUCUGCAGAUAAUAUGAACUCUGGAAAAAUUUUUGAAUCAAGGAAUAAAUAAAAGUCCUUUGAAAAACUUCACUUAUGCUUGCUCUUCUGAUUGUGGACCACAGAAUUGUCUAGAUACAUACUUUGUGGACAAGGUUAAGUCCAGUGGUAUGUGUGGUUCAAGACUAUAUUGAAAGUAACUUAAGCUUCUUGGAGACAAGAUGUGACCUAUAAUCAAAAUGCUUCAGCAUGCCGGGUGUGGUGUUGCAUGCCUGAAAUCCUAGUGACUUGGGAAGGCAGUAGGAUGGCAAGUUUGAGGCCAGCCUUAGCAACCUAGCGAGACCCUGUUUUAGAAAAAAGAAAGAAAGGAAGAAAAGAAAGGAUUGGGGAUAUAACUCAGUGGUAAAGUGUCCCUGGGUUCAAUCCCCAGCACCCCACACUGAGAAUAUUUGAUUUCAGGAGCAAAUCAUAGCAGUGUUAAUCUGAGAGCAUUGAAAAUGAGAUUGAAUUCCCCUUGCAGUAAUUAUGGUGAAUCCAAACAUUAGAAAGGUUUCUUUUUAAACUGUUCCCUUCCUAUUAUUAAAAAGUCUUUCUGAAUUAAGGAUAUUGGGUCAAAAACCUGUCCCUGCCUUUCUUUCUUUCUUUCUUUCUUUGUACCAGGAUUGAACCCAAGGACAUAUAAUCACUGAGCCACACCCCCAGCCUUUUUUUGUAAUUUAUUUAGAGACAGGGUCUCACUAAUUUACUGAGAUCCUCGAUAAAUUGCCAAGGCUGGCUUUGAAAUGGAGAUACUCCUGCCUCAGCUUCCAGAUCUGCUGGAAUUAUAGGCGUAUGCCACCAACGUGGCAGUCCCUGCUUUUUCUUGAGAAUUAUCUGGACAUGUCGGAAUACAGUCAGAAUCCCAGUGAAGGUCUGAGUGGACUGAACACCAGCCAAAGGUGGUACUUAGGUCAUGUUCUAAUCUGUACAUCCAAACUUCUUGGGAAGUCCUUUUUUUAGACACAGGGUAAAAUGGCACACUUAUAUAGGCUUGAGUAAAUGUAGAUGAAGUGUCCUUGGAUUUGGGUUCAUGUGUUUUUAGACUAGAGACUGCAUUUAGCAAAGUACCAAGUGCUGAGGAAACAAGAGUCACCUCCUGCUGUCGUUUUGAAGCGUUAGGGAACAUGGGUAGUAUUUCCUGCCCAUUCUUUUUGAUGGUCAGGUCAAAAUGCUUGGUUUCUGGUUGAAACUUGAAGCUGUUGUAGCCAGUGAUUCCCUGUCCUUUCCAUUCCUUGACAGCCUUGCAUGCACUGGACUUAUCAUCAAGUGGACAAGGGACGUCAACAAGGCAACAGGAUGGGGGCAGAAGUGCCUCCAUGUAGAUACCUUUGAGAAGAGUUUGGUUUCUGUGAUGAUGAAUGAGACAGAGAAUGGCCUCAUUUUCUUCUGGAAGCAAAUCCUAAUGUCUUGUUUGGAUGGGCUGAGAGUGGAAGCGAGAAGCAUUAUUUAGAUGACGAGAACAGGAAGAAGAAGGGAAGGGAAUGGAGCUACCGAUCAUUGUGCGCUUUUAGGUAGAGAAAAUCUGGCAGAGGGCAAGGGAAACACUAUAAAUUAGCAAGGCUAAGAGCCUUUUGGAAGCCAGGGCUUUUAUUAUUCUCUUGCAAUAUGCAGAUUCCGGUUCAAUCAUCCUAAAUGAAGUGUACCUUGUUCGUCCUUGAAGCCUUCUGGGGAUAAAGCUCUAGGAGCAUAUCUCCUUAGAAUAUGUUGAGACUUUGAAGAUUUUAAAACUUAUUCCUACAGAUAACAAAAUUGAAUCUUUUUGCUAGAGAAUGGACAGCCAGGAGGGAACCUGAUUCAGAGUAGUGCUUCGUAAACCUCCCUAUCAAGUAAGGGCAGAGAUGGGUAGGCACAGAGCCCCAGAGAUGCCAUGGCCGGAAACAUCUCAGCGUUAAGUGUCAAGUGUCUAACGUUAAGUAUUUCAUGUUCAAAAUGUAUCCAUGCUUUAUAUGUUCUAUCAUAGUUCAUCCAUGUUUUACUAUAAAAACCAUGUUUUAAAUUACCAUCAGGAAAAGCACAUAGGUAUACACAUGUUUUUCAUUGUUCUCUCAAAGGGAGAAAUACAUUUUUACCGAGUCCAUUUUGGAACCUUGAACUUAGAAGGGCAGGAAGUGACCUCUGUGCUUUGCCUAUGGUUUGAGUGUGUUCCCCAAUGAUUCAUGGUUGUGUCUGUCAGCUUUCUGUCCCUGUGACAAAAUACCCCCCUCCCCCCAAAAAAAAUCAACUUAAAGGAGGAAAGUUUUCUUUUGGUUCUUGGUUUCAGAGGUGUCAGUCCAUUGUUGCUUGGCUUCCUACUUUGGGUCUGUGGUGGCAUGGUACAUCAUGGUGAGAGGGCAUGGUGAAGGAGGUGUUUUCACCUUAUAGUGAUUGGGGAGCAAAGAGAGGAAGAGGAGGGGUUGUGAUCCCAAUAUUCCCAUUCAAGGGUGUGCCCCUAAUAAUCUAACUUCCUCCCAGUAGACCACACUUCUCAAAGGUUCUACCAUCUCCCCAGAGUGACACAGGUAAUGACCAAGCUUUUAGCACAUGGGACUUUGGGGGACAUUUUAGAUCCAAAUCGUAGCACCAUGCUAGAAACAUGGUCCUCAACAUGACAACAUUGAGAAGUGGAGAAGUGGUGGGUGUGUAAGAAGUGGGGCCUGGUGGAAGGUGAUGUGGUCAUGGAGGUGCCACCCUCUAAAGGGUUCUCUUAGGACAUGAUUAGUUUUUACAAGAUUGUGUUCCUGUAAAGGAACAAGCCUGGCCCCUCUUUGAUCUCUUGUUUCUUUGCCUGUAUACUAGUCCCUCUGCUCUUGAAUGAUUCCCUUUUUACUUUUCCAUCAUAUUGUGCUGCAGCCAGGGGGCCCUCACCAGACACCGGGGCCAUGUUGUUUAGACUUUCCAGUCACCAAAAUCUUGAGCCAAAUAAAUCCCUUUUCUUCAUAAGGUACUCAGCUCUGUUAUAGCAACAUAAAAUGGACCAAACAGUGGUCCAUGACUGUCAGUGUAACGUCUUUUUACUAAGAACUCAAAAAAUGGUGACAAAUUUUCCACUACUUUUUUGAGCUGAAUCAUGGUGAUAAAAAGAUAUGUUCUGAAAACUUUUUUUUUUUCCCUUCCUUGCUAUGAAUACCAGGAGAUGGCACAUGUACCAGAGCCUGGGGAUGGGGAUCUGCAGAUUUGCUGUCAUAACUUGGCCUUGGCUGUGCACAGGAACUGUGAAUUGUGUUCAUCCUGGGAGCAACCAGGGUUUCUUCUGUUUACAUCUGUGUGAUUCCCAGAGCAUGGGCAUUCCAAUAUGAAUAGCCCAGCAUUAUUCCAAGUGGCCUCUUGUCCAGCCUAUUUUAGUGGCAAAUUCCAUCCUUUAAGGAAAAUGAUGGUGAUAAGUUUGUUCUGCAGCCAAUAUUAGUCCUCCACUGUCCAGGGAGUUCACUUCUUGCUAGUAUUUUUUGGAGAUGUUUCUAAAAACUCAGAGUCAAGGUGAAAUCAGCAAGUUUGAAAAUGCUGUUGGUGGUUAUCUUUUUCUCCUCUGGUAAAGCUCAUGGUUUGGGGCUCCCCAGAUUGCAAGGUUGAGUAUAAUUCAACUAGUCAGUCCCCACUACCAUUCCAUCGCCAAAAAUGAAGUAUAAGAUGGUGGUGAUCCAAUUGCUCCUUGGGCCUGGGGGUGGGAUUCUGCCCUCACUUGGCCAAUUUCCUUAUUCUGCUUAGAGUUAUGUUUCCCUUUACUAUAUCUCUUCUUACCUCCCUAGGUUUUUCCCUAGCCUGAGGUUGGGAUCUCCCUGUCUCCACAUCCCUAAGCAGGGUGAUGUGAGCAGCCAGGGUUCAGACCCAUUCUGCAUGGGGGCAUUUUGCUGCAGAGGGUCCUCAAUGCCCACUCUGUUGGGUUUUCAUACUUGUGUAGAUUUAUCUUUGGAAUGCAACCUUGCCCUGCUCUGAAAAAGGCCGCACCGGCCAUCACUGUUCCAUUACUAAUGACUCAACUCAAGCUAUACAGCAGCUGCUGAGGGGAUGAGGGACCAGAGGAGAAGAAAGAAGAAAAUCAAAGACACAUGCUUUGCUUGAGUCAGCCCCCUCAAUAAAUGGAACUACCUGAUAAGAGAUCUAGAAACAUGGGUUAGUCGCAUCUUCAAAAUCCAAGGCCUCAGCACCCAGCAGGGGCAGCUGCUGCUUCUUUUAAAAUGGAGAACUUGUUGCACUGAGUGGCAAAGAGCCUACAAAUAACUGAGCUGCACUUUGGAAAUGGAUCUGAUGAGCCUUUUAAUAAAAGAAAAUCAUCAUUAUUUCCCAAGAGUUCACAUUCCCAUAACAUUUUUAUUAGCAGCCUCUCUUCUAAAUAAAGUUCAGUGGAUUGAUUUUGGUGGGGUUUUCUCAUUUUAAAUAUUCUCUUAAAUGAUGAGCAUGGAUAAAGUCUCGUUUUCACCAUUGUUAUUAUUGUUAUCAGCAUCAGCGACUCCAUUGUUAUAUUUAUGUAGCACUUAGAAAGCUCUCAAAACACUUCAGGUGUAUUACCUCAUUUGUCCUCAUAGCAUUCUGGUAAGUGGGAGAGGGGGCUCACAUUACAACUGAACAUCGUGUACAGACUUCUGUGUUCUCUGCCUCAGUGUGAAACUCCCUUUGGGAUGGCCAGGAGGAAGCCCUUUGUCCCCUUCUGCUUUACCUCUUUCUUUACCUAGGGCACAGGAGAUUGCACCAGUACAAUUCACUGCCACCCAAAGGAUUCCAUAUGGGGCAGAACAGAGGGCACCUGCCAUUGAGUGGGGCUGUGGAACAGGGGCAGGACCCUGAGAAAUGGCCUUGACCAUCUAGGCCUUAAGAAGCCAAAAUCAGAGAGAGAGAGAGAGAGAGAGAGAGAGAGAGAGAGAGAGGGAGGGAGAUAGAUAUGACAGACAGUGGAAAGACAUUGAACUAGGAUUCUGGAGAUCGAAGGUUCAGAUCCUCUUUCUGACACUUAUAAACUUUUCUUCUUGAGCUAGUCCCAUAAUAUUUCUGAUAUUUCAUUUCCUCCUUAAUUAAAAAGGUAUCUUUAGUUUUUUUUUUUGUUUUGGCGUGUGAUAAUUAUACACAAUAGUGGGGUUUGUUGUUCCACAUGCAUACAUGCACACAAUCUGACAAUAUGAUUUGGUCAAUUUCAUUCCCUAGUACCUUCCCUUUUUCUUCCUGCCUCCUAAACCCCUAGACUCCUUCCUCUACUCUACUGGUCUCCCUUCUAUUUUCAUGAGACCCUCAUCUCCAUCUUUAAAAGGGAGAUUAGUGGCUCCUUUUUGGGCUUUUGUGAAGAUUAAAUAUGGUAACCUAAAAUAGAAGUGCCUAGUGCAAUGCAUGGGGCAUAAGCCUGCAACUAGUGUUGGUUCCAUUUCUUUGCUUAAUUUUUCUCUCCUGGAGAAACCUGUCUGUCUGGUAUGACUUUGAGAACUAAGAGGGAAAACAGAACAGCAUUUGGAUGGGUUCAUCAUUGUAAUCAGCGUCUUGUCAGAAUUCGUGUAUUUUCUCACCCAUACUGAGUAAAAGCUAAUGGUUAAUAACUAGUGUAUUUUGAGGCCUGGGUUAGAAAUAAUGCUGGCCUGAAAGCAGGCAUCCUGGGCUGUAGCUCCUUCUCUGCCACUAUCCAGAUGGAGGCCCUAGAGCAAAUAAAUCACUUGGCAUGUCUAGGCCUCAGUUUUUUGAUCUAUAAAAUGAAGAGCUUGGAAUAAAUGAUCCUGUCAAUAUAUAUGAGCUUCAUAAUUCUGUAAUUUUACAAGGAGAGAUUUUUUGAGAAAAAGUCAAAUUAUGUGUGUGAACUUUGUUCUAUCCAUCUCCUGAGCUAUCUGUGCCACGGAUAGCUCUGCUGCUGGGACUGACAUUGUUUUCAAGGAACUACAGCUGAUUUGGGGACAGUACUUGGGUUGUGGGCACAGUGCCAGGAAGAAAUGAACAACCUCCGGAAGGCUGGCAGGCAAACCCAGCCUUACCAGGAACUGUACAGGGCACAGAUUGGGCCCUGAUCCAUUGGUGAACCCCAACCCCCUUCUCUCCUCCCCCUGCCUGCUCACCUGUUAGCCGGGGGAGGAGAGAAGGGCUCCUGGGCCUGGACUGAUGGCUGAGCAGCGUGAUGGCAGCAAAUGAAACUGUGCACAAAAAGCCCAGCUGCUCUGAGGGUUGCUGAGAGACUGGAGACUAGGCUGUCUGACUGCUCUGCUGACCACAUUUCCAGGCCAGUGACACAUUAGAAAAGUGUGUCAUUCAUUCCUUUUCUGAUAGUUGCUAGGUCUGCUUUGCAAUAAAUACUUCACAUUCCACAGAGCGAUAAGUUCUUCUAAGACAAACCACUUCAAAGUUGCCCUCUUCAAAGCUGGCACUCAUGCAUUAUCCCUAGAAGUAGGGGGAGAGUCUGGGCACAUAGAUGUUUAGGACAUUUUCUCAUACAGGUUUCCCUGCACUCUGAUACAUCAGGGAGAACACAAAGCACAAAGAAGACUUUCCUUGGCACAACUCACCCCUGUAUUAGUUAGCUUUCUGUUACUAUAACAAAAUACCUUAGAUAAUCAACUUAAAAAGAAGGAAGGUUUAUUGUGGUUCAUAAUUUUGGAGAUUUCAGUCUAUGAUUGUUUGGUCCAUUGUUUUUGAGUCUGUGGCAUCAUGAUGGGGAGUGUGUGGUGGAACAAACCUUUCGCCUCAUGACUGGGACACAAAAGAGAGGAAGAAGAUGGGAGAAGUCUCCUUUAGGGGCACAUCCCCGUAUAAUUGAAAGACCUCCAACUACAUUCCAUCUUAUAAAUGUUCCAUAACCUUCAAAAAGUGCCACGGACUGGGGCUUAAGCCUUUAACACACAGGUCUUUGGGGGACACUUACCCAAACCCCAUACUUAGUUUUAUAAAAUAAAGGAAAAAGCAAAGCAAAUGAAAACAAACAAACAAUCAAACAAAAAGUCCAAAUGCCUUUUAGUUUCAUUCAUUUGAGUGCUUACAAGUGUCACUCACCCUGCUGGGUGCUGUGAGGGUAUAACAAUGAGUGUGACUCUGUCUCUACUCUCCAGGGCACACCAUCUAAGAUGAUAGGUAGACAGACAGAAGGUUAGCUAGGAUGACAAGUCAGGUGGGUGAGAGUGCUUGUAUAAGUCCCUAGAUAUUAUGGGGGAAUAACUGGUAUCGAGAGGUUUUGUGAAAUCUUUUAUUUGGAGGUAGCUAGGUCUUGAUUUGGACCUUACAUGAUUGGGAGGGUUGCAAUAAAAACACAUGAGAGGGUAGAGAAAGGUCCAGAAGGAAGAGUUCAAGGCAAGGCAGUGAGAUGAGAAAGACUCCUUUAUCGACAUUGCCGUCGGUCCUUGUUUACAUGAGUCCAUCACCUCUUAAGAGUUUUCUGGUCUUAGUUCAUAGUUUAUCUGGAAUAGGAGCACACAGAUUCUGGAAUGCAUCUUUAGUUAAGAAAAUGACAAGAAUGUAAAAGGAGGUCUCAGCUGAAGUAUGAAUAGAACGUCAAAUGUAAAUACCCUUUUAAAAUCAAUUAUGAUACUUGGUCUCCUAGGAGGUAAUAUUCUUUGAAGUGAAGCGGGAAGGAAGGGACAUUUCUGACCUUGUCCUUGACUGUGCCCAUGCCAGACAUCACUAACUGAACCUGGCACGCCUUCCCCCCGCGACUGGGGCUUUCCUCAGAGUGUGCUUUGGUGUUCUAGGCAGGUCCUGCCAAUCAGUCAGUUGUAUUACACCAGAUAAAUUCUAUUUGCUAUUUUCUGUUUAAAGUCUUAAAACUUUACUACUCUCUUAAAUACUGCAUAGCAUUUUUAUGAAACUCAAAGACUGAAAAACAGGGAGAAAUUUUAUAACAUCUAGUGCUGUAAGAAUCUCGAAAUAUAACUGGAAGUUGCUCAUGGAGCUCUGGGACUAGCAUGAAGAUAUUUUCUCUUUUUACCCAAUCUUCCUGUGAUUUAAUGGUGUAAAUAUUAGAUUCAAAGAGAGAGAGAGAAAAUAUGCCAUAAGUAAAUAUAUAUAAUAAAAUAUACAUAGAAAAAUUACCAUUGGCUUAUAAGGUUCAAUGGUUUUUAAGUGGGAUAUACAUGUGAAUCUCUGGCUUGUUUAUAAUGUAGGUUCCAGGGUCUCAUUUUAAACUAAAUCAGAAUUUCUGUUCUUAGAACCUGGAAAUCAGCAUGUUGACUGAAGUCUGUGUGUGAUUCUCUUGCAGUCUGAGACUGGACCACCAUGUUUAGGAGCCAGGGACAGAAAUUAAAAUAAUUUUUUUUUUGUUUCCUCUUGUCUAGUCUUUGGAUGGUUGGCUAAAAAUGCCAUUCAUUUCUCAUGGUAGAACUAUCUUCCAUUGCAUGCUAAUUCCAAGCAAUAGAAAAUAGAAAGCAUCAGUCCUUGGAAAUUGGAAAUAAAGUCACCAUUUCCAAAGGGAUCGGUCAUUUGGAUGAGCAUGAAUCAUGCUCUAAGGAGGAUGAAUUAAUUAAUUCAAGAUGAAUUAAUUAACAUGCCUUCAUAUUACCUUUUGGGUUUGGUUUUAGGAGGAAUUGAGAGGGGAGAGAGUAGUUUAUGUUGACCGAGAACACAAAUUGUCUUGAAAUUUCUGAUUAGCUUAGUCUCUUUUGUGCUGCUGUAAUAGGAUGCCUGAGAUUGGGUUAUUUAUAAAGAACAGAAAUUUAUUUCUUUUAGUUCUGAGGCUGGGAAGUCCAAGAUUGGGCACUGCACCUGGGAUCUGGUGAGGGCCUUCUGAGCUGCACCCUCACAUGGUGGAUGGGGGAAAGACAAUAGGGACAAAUACACAGCAGAAGGUCCUCAGAUAAUAAGCCCACUCUGGCAAACCCCUUUUAUAGGGGCGUUAAUUUAUCAUGAGGGCUCUGUCAUUAGACCUCAUUUCCCAACACUAUUAAUAAGUUUCAAUAUGAGUUUCAGAAGGGACAAAAUCCUUCAGAAGGGACAAAAAAACUGAUUAUAUGAACAAUAUUUGAGUCUCCUUGAAAUUUAUAGUGAUAGUAAUAAAUACCAUGGAUAUUACAUCUUUUUUUUAUACUAGACACUUCACUAUGACUAUCUUCACAUUGUCUAACUCAGUCCUUAAAAUAAUCCUAUGAAAAGUUAUUAUUUUCAGAAGAGGAAAUGUGUGUUCAAAAGUUAAGUGACUUGCCUUGAAUGACACAAGAUAUGGAUGUGAGUCUUGAACCUAAGGUUGCCUGACUCCAAAACAUUUAUUCUUAUUGAUUACAUUCCAGGUUUUUUUUUUUCCCCCAAGAAAUCUUCUGUUUUGCGAGAUUGCUGGAACCCCAACUAAAAGCCAUCAUUAGUGUUGCAAACCUAAGUCAACACUGAGAAGCACUCUUCCUAAAACACAGUAAUGGUGGUCUGUGAAUUCACCUUGAUGGAAAUUCAUCAAGUGGAGCAUUAGGCCUAUUAUCUGUUUAUUUUUGUAUGGAUAAGUUUGCUAAAGUGUAUGAGGAUUGACCUUAUGCCCCAAAUUUAUAUUUCUUAAAAAUUAAAGGGCUCUGGGGCUGGGGAUGGGGCUCAAGUGGUAGAGCGCUCACCUGGCAUGCGCGGGGCGCUGGGUUCGAUCCUAGCACCACAUAAAAAUAAAGAUGUUGUGUCUACCAAAAACUAAAAAACAAAUAUUAAAAAAUUUCUCUCUCUCUCUCUUAAAAAAAAUUAAAGGGCUUUUUUUUUUUUACUACUAUUAUUUUAAAAAGCCAACCAAAAAUGAGGUCCUUAUUCUUGUGACUUUCCAUGGAACAACCUCGAUGUUCCCCUUGUAGAGUGUGCUCUGGGAAGGACAUGUGGAGCAGGACCCACCUGCUGCCCACUGGACUGAUUGCUCACCCCAUGUAUGAAAGAGCACUCAUCCGUGGCGUUCUGUUUUGGAUGUUAAGUGUUUCCCCAAGGCUCCUGUGUUGGAGGCUUGUUCCCCAAUCUAUGACACUAUUUGGAGGUGUUGGAACCUUUAAGAAGUGAGGCAUUAGUGUGAGGUAUUCAGGUCACUUAGAAUGUACCCUCCAACAUGCUAGUGGGACCCCAACCCCUUCUUCUUGCUCCCUUUUGCUUCCCAUCUGUGAGAUGAGUGGUUUUGCUCUACCAUAUGCUCCUGCCGUGAUGCCAUCACAUGCCACCAUGAUGCCCAGGGCAACCCCAGUUAUAGACUGAAACCUCUGAAACUGUGAAGCAAAAUAGAUUUUUCCUCUUUCUAAAUGGAUUGUCUCAACUAUUUUUCACAGUGACAGAAAGCUGACGAACACAAGUGGUCAGGAGUUUUGUUUUCUAGGGAGCUCUGUCCCUAAAUAACUGUUACUUGGGCAAGUCAAUUUACCACUUCUGGUCCUCAGUUUCCAUACAUAUUCACUGAAGCAGAGGCUGCAGAAUUCUCUAUCUAACAUGUCCUGAUAUUGGAAAACAAAUGUCACCCAGGGAGCUAGCAAAGAGAGUGUUGUACCCUUGUUGCCAGCACCAUUACUACUGUCCUCACCAGUCCAGGAUGGUCAAAGGGUGGGCUACCCUGGACACUUGUCUUCUGAAGCAUCUGCUGUCCCACUGGCUUCCAACCUGCCUUCCUUCUGGUCCUGAAGUUGUUAGACUCUUUUCUCUUGAGGAGAUAGUCAUAGUUGGUUUCUAGCCUCAUCUUCUUCUGUAUUUCUUGUUGGGGUGGAUGAAAAUCCCGGAUCUUCAAAAAUUCAACGUACAGAUUAUUGCUUUUAGUAAUGCCAAUCACCCAUUCACAUCCUACCUCUUCUAUGGGCUAGACCUGCCUGGGCCACUUGGGUGACAGCAUGGCUAUAAUAUUCAUAGGGAUCUGAAGCUGAAGGGACUUUAUGUGCAUCUAGUCCAACUCCUUUAUUUAGCUGUUGAGAUGGGAGGCCCAAGUGGGAAAGUGACUCAUCUCAAGGACACCCAGCCAGUGAAUGAAGGAGUUGACACAAUGUUUUCAAAUUCAUAUUGUGAGCCUAAGGAUAGAACCUACCCUCCUAGAAUUAUUGCGGAGGUAUUUAAAUGAGCUAACGUGUGCAAAGUACUUUGUUCCUGAGAUAGAGAACAAGUUGCUCCCUCCCCAGAAUGCACCGCUCAUGUUUCCACAGAAGUCUCCUUAGUUGGAAAGACUGACUUUGUUAUUCCUUUACUCCCCGGAGCACCAUCACAUCCAGGAGUAAACCGAGCAGUUUACUCAUUGUGCUAGUGAUGAAGUCUGACUUGGCCCAUGCUGUGUACUCAAAGAAUGUUUGGGGUGGCUGCCCACUAGAACCCAACCCUCCUGACUCUUAAUCCAGAGCUCUUUCCAUUAUACCAUGCUGAUUGACACAUGGGUGGGGAUGAUCUCCUUUGCAAUACUAUGAAUACCAGCAUGAUGACAGAUGCCUGAGAACACAUGGGGCCACCAUCCCAGUAUAUCUUAAGUCUGUCAAUGCAAUUUUAUUAUCAAGCAUUUAUCAAGACUCCUACAUGCCAGGAGCUUUGCUUACUGCUGAGAUGAAUAUAAAAAUGAAUAGGAUACAGACCCUGCCCUCAAGGAGCACUUAAUUUGAUAAUUCAGACAGACUUAGACAUAAAUAAUUCAAGCAUAAGGCACAUAAUAAUCUAUGACUACUCAAUUUUCUUUCUUUUAUCCCCCCACAUUUUUAUUGGUGUAUUAUAGUCAUGUGUAAUGGUGGGAUUAAUUAUUACAUAUUUGUACAUGCACACAAAAUAACAAUAUAAUUUGGCCAAUAUCAUUCCCCAGUAUUUCCCCUUUCCUUCCCCCUUUCCCUCCCCAUGGUCCCAGUCAUUUAUUCUACUGAUCUUCUUUCGAUUUUUCAUGAAACCCCCCUCCCCCAUUUAUUUUUCUUUUUCCUCUCUAGUUUUCAAAUAUGAGAGAAAAAAUGACCCUUGACCAUCUGAGAUCGGCUUAUUUCACUUUAAUAUAAUGGUUUCAAGUUCCAUCCAUUUUUCUGCAAAUGGUGUAAUUUCAUUCUUCUUUGGGCUGAAUAAGGGUUCAUUGUGUAUAUACACUGCAUUUACUUUAUCCAUCCAUUGAUGGCACCUAGGCUGGUCUACUGACUAAUAUAUAUAUAUGAAAAGGAAGAACAGGAAUUGAGACCUCAUCUGUCAGACAUGGUGGGAGAGGGUGCCAAAGGUACACCUGGUUAGAGGGACUCCACCACAAGUCACAUGCUGGGUGUCAGGAGGGACAGGGGUCCCAGACCCUCAGGCACUCCAGCUUUACGAGCUCCUUGCCCCUGAAUGCUGGUGACAUAGCUGGGCCCCUGUCUUGCUCCAAGCUUCCAUUUCCUUAGCGGCUGUGAAAUGGGACAACAUCUCCUUUCUUCCUCUGAGCUUGAUGGGGACCAGAGUGUCAUUUGGUCUAGACCUUUGCUUCCCGGCAGGAUGGGCCUCACCUGAGCAGACAUGCAAGAGUCUGCACGCCAUACAGAGAACAAGGAAUUGACCUCCUUUUCCUCUCUUCUUUCUGUUUUGGUGGUGGAGAGUGGGGGUGGGGGUCGAGGAUAGUGUGGGGGAGAAACAGGGCGGUGAGGGGACUUGUAGGUCAGAGCUUGACAAGGGGACUUAGGUGACCCAGGGAAAAUAUGGCCUUGCUCUCCACUGGCAGAGUCCCAGGGAAGUUCUCACUGUUCCCCACCUGUCCUGUGCUCCCCCCUCUCCCCCAGUGCUGCUGUCCCUGCAUGCACGGAACAGGGAGGCGAUGAUGAAUAUCCCCCGAACGGCAUUACAGACAGUCAUAAAUAAUGCUUUGCUCUUUGGUGACGGCACUUUCCAUUAGAGCUGCCUGUGCUGGGCUGUUGCUACCCCCAGUCUUUGCCGGGGACUUGCAGUAAAAUUUAUCAGCGAGCUUUCUGCACCUAAUAAAUCAUCCCCUCCGGGAGCCAUCUGGCAGAUAAGGCCACGAGAACCCACAUGCUCUGCAGAGGCAGAGUCAGAGUGAGAGGCAGCCCUAGCUGGGCAGCCCCAGGCCCUGUGGAGGGGGACUUUCUCUCCACCAGCCAGAGCCUGUCAGUCUUGUCCUGGCUUCUCUCACCAGACUCUGAAGGGGGGACCCUGGCUAUGGCGUCUGUUCUGCUUUAAGGAACUAUAGGGUUUCCCACUCUGGGAACAGGCCCACAAAUCAUGUCCUUCCUGUGUUUUCUACCCUUAGGUGUACAAAAGGUUCUGGGAUUUGAUACGAGGCAACAGAAGAGGGACUCCCAGGCCAAGAACAUGCGGUGCUGGCUGUCACUGCUAUUUAAGUGAGUCCUUCUUAGUGGGUUUUAGAACUUUGGGAUUGGUCAGCAUUGAAAUACAUAACCUGGUAGCAAUGAGAACCCCUUAAUUUGGAGCAGAACUUCACAUCUGUUUUAGGUGGAGGGUACUAGGGAACUCAGGGGCACUAGACCACUGAGCCACAUCCCCAGCCCUAUUUUGUAUUUUAUUUAGAGACAGUCCAACUGAAUUGCUUAGUGCCUUGCUUUUGCUGAGGCUGGCUUUGAAUUCAUGAUCCUUCUACCUCAGCCUCUUGAGCUGCUGGGAUUGAUUAUAGGUGUGAGCCACUGCACCUGGCAGAACUUCACAUCUUUUGAGGCACAACUAACAUGAUAUUAUAGUUUUCCUUCAAAUAUGUAUUAAUUCCUAUGAAUAUACAUUAAGGGAGGUUCUAAAGGGUGCUGGACCCAGAGUGUAGGGACACAUACAUUAAUUCUUUCUUUUUUGGCAGAUGGUGGUAUUUAUUUAUUUUCUAUUUUUUUUUUGUUGGUGGUGCAUUCCAGUUGCACAUAAUGGUGGGAUUUGUUGUUACCUAUUUGCACAUGCACACAAUCUAACAAUAUAAUUUGGCCAAUAUCAUUCCCCAGAACACAGUUCUUUCCUUGAGGCAUCUGCAGUGUGGUUAGAGACUGUUUUAAGCCAAAGUCUCAGAUGCAGUGAUCCUUACAUCUACGCUCAGAGCAAGAUGCAGCAUUUGCUGGAUGUGAACCCUGACGGGGAGGAAUGGAAGAGUGGGUGGGUUUCUGGUCUUGUGGUAUUCCCCAGAGCCUAGCAAAGUGCCUGGUGUGUAGUAAGUGAACUGUGAACUGUGCUGAGCAGCUAAGGCCACCAAUAUACAGUAGAAGAUGAGAAUGAAAUAACAAACAGGGCGAAUACAGGCUCACAGAGUGUGGGUCCUGUUUCAUAGGCUCAACCUGGUGAUCUAGGAUUUAACUGGGUGAUUUAGGAACAAAAUCUUGUUCUGGGUGUGUGUUACUUGUGCUCUUGGCUCAGCUCUGCAGCUGGCUUCCUGAGUUCAAUUGAGGGACAUUCUGAGUCUUAGUUAUCUCAUUUGUAAAAUAUUAGGCAAAGCCUUUUUUUUUUUUUUUUUUGAGUAAUUUUCACUAUUGUUGCUAGUAGAAUGUUUUCUAAUUUUCCCCUUGCUGGUGCGUGAUUUUGAAAGACUGGAAGGGGUAAAUCCAGUCAGAGUUCUCUUUUUAUGCCUUUUGGGGCCACUUGCCAACCAAGAUAACGUUGAAUAAGGUCCAGAUGUGUGGACACCAGGCAGCCAGAGUCUGAGAUCCUGGAGUUUUUUCCUGGGGGCUCAUUCUGCACGAGGACACCUAUCAUACUGCCUCUGAUUGCUGUGGACACAUCCCACGGAAACAUUAAAUGGAGUGUCCCGAAGAUGCUUAGCUUAGCUAUGCAUUUAAUUUGGCGGUAAUUGAAAUUUGCCAACAAAGAUUUGCAUGUAAUCUGUGAUUUCGUUUUUCAAUUAAAAUCACUUCCUUCUUAUGGAUGGAAAGUACUUAGCUGUUUUCCUCCUCCCAGUGGUUUGCAAAAACGAAUCCCCCUCUGCUUAAGAGGCUGCAGUGAGGGGUGGAGGGCAAGGAGAUGAAGGCUGAGGCCAAGAGGAGAGGUCACCCAGGAUGGUGAUGCAGGACAGGCAGGUACUGGGGGGAGGCUGCUGGGAGGCAGGCAAAGUAGCAGUCUGAGGCUCUCUUGUUCACAGUGGUUUUGGGAAAAGAGCUCCAGCUGGGGGUGUGUAUAGCUCAGAGAGCAGCCAAGGGCUGGGAAGAGCCAACCAGCUCUCCAUGGCCAACAUAGGCAAGUGACAAGAAGCUGGAAUCAAGGCAAUUGGCUUAGGUACUGGGAAGCAAGAAAGUGGUUAAUCUGAAGCAAGAAGAGUCUUCUGCUUCACCCUGGGUGAGUAUGUGGCCUUUGAUACAUGGGAGCAGCACCUGGAGAAGAUACCUGAGAGGAAGCUGUGUUCCAAGGAUGACUGAGGAGAGGGGAAGAUAGGAAAUGGAGGCUCUAAAGAACCCAAGAACCUGUGGAGGUGAGCACCUCGCAGGACAUGGAUCUGGACCAGUCAAGCUGGCUACCAGGGCUAGCACUUAAUUUCCUUGAGUUCCAGUUUUUGUCACCAUCUAAUGGCAUAAAAUAACUCCUACCCGAGCAGGGGCUGGGAGAGACCAGCUGCUAUGGUCUGAAUGUUUGUAUCCUCUCAAAGUUCACUUGUUGAUCUGGGCAUGGUGGAGCACACCUGUAAUCCCAGCUGUUUGGGAGGCUGAGACAGGAGGAUUGCGAGUUCAAAGACAGCCUCAGCAAUGGGGAGGCGCUGAGCAACUCAGUGAGACCCUGUCUCUAAAUAAAAUACAAAAUAGGGCUGAGGAUGUGGCUCAGUGGUCAAGUGCCCCAGAGUUCAAUCCCCAGUAAACCCCCUACCCCAAUCCAUAUGUUGAAAUCUAGUCCCAGGGCAAUAGGAUUAGGAGGUUGGGCCUCUGAGAGGUGAAUGGAACUAAUGCCCUGAUAAAACAGGCCUGGGGGAACCCUUUUGCUUUUUAGGCCCUGUGGGGACUUAGUGAGAACACAGAAGGUGCCACCUAUGAUGCAGAGAUUAAGACUAAUUGGACACUGGAUCUGCCAGCGCCUCAAUCUUGGCCUCUUCCAAGUUUCCAGAACUGUAAGCAAAAGUUUCUGAUAUCUAUACAUUUCCUAGUCUCAGGUAUUUGGUAUAGCAGCUGUUAUUGUUUGGAUGUGAGUUGUCCCCCCAAAACUCACGUGUGAGACAAUGCAAGAAGGUUCAGAGGAGAAAUGAUUGGGUUGUGAGAGCCUUAACCCAAUUAGUGAAUUAAUCCCCUGAUAGGGAUUAACUGAGUGGUAACUGAAGUGGUCAGGUGUGACUGGAGGAGGUGGGAAUUAGGGAUUGGCUUUGGGUAUAUAUUUGGUUCUGGCAAAGUGGUGUCUCUCUCUGCUUUCUGAUCACCAUGGGAGCUGCUUCCCUCUGCCACACUCUUCCACCAUGCUGUUCAUUCUCACCUAGAGCCCUGAGGAAUGGAGCCAGCCUUCUGUGAACUAAGCCCUCUGAAACCAUACGCCCUCAAAUAAACUUUUCCUCCCCUAAAAUUGUUGUAGUCAUAUCCUUUAGUCACAGCAGCAAAAAAGCUGACUAACACAGCAGUCCAUUAUGAUUAAUAGCUAAAGCAGAGUGAUACAGGCUGUACAUGCUAAGUCCCCAGUAAAGAGAGAACAUUAUGGACUGGGGCAAUCCAGGAAGAUUUCAAGAAGGAGGUGAGCCUUAAAAGUAGAAAAGACUGAGUUGAACAGAAGAGAGAGGAGCAUUAGCCUUUUGGUCUGUGAGAGUCCUGAGUGGCAGGCUGCAUCUCCAUCCCUUUGUAUGCUGCCUUGACAUAGUAAGAAUUCAGUAAAUUCUGUUAAAAUGGAAGAUUGAUCAAAUGAGAUAAAGAGGAAGUCAAGAGCAUUUUAUAAAUUGUAAUAGCUCAUUUUUCUUCUCUUACAGAAGUAUUUGACCCGAGGAUGGGUGAAGCCCUGCAUGGAUCCUGGGAUGGGUUUCUCGACUUGGGGUUUCUCUAGGAGCCUGGAGCUCUGGUGCUCUUGGGUGCUUCAUAGCCAGGUCUCUCAAGUGUCCCAGCUAGGGAGUGGGGUGGUGCUUUCUGAGCCAGGACCCAGGUCCUCAGUGACCAGGGGAAGAAUCAUCAGUUAGCAAUGGGCCAGCAAUUUCUCCAUAGGGAGACAGGCAUUGAGAGGAUUCACUUCAAAGAGACCCAACCAGGGCUCCUGUGAGGGGGACAAUUUGGUUACUAUAGGUGGCCUGGAGGUGGGAUUUGGAGCCAUGUUAAGAAUUAGUGGUAGAUUUCAGCCACAGUGGAAGGCACACAGCUGUGGCAGAGCUGGGUCCCUCUCUGUGGAAAGUGCAUAUUCUUUUUUGUCUGGUUUCUUUCAAGUAGAGAUAAUCCCUUUUACCUGGCCAGACAACUGAACUGUUUUCAUUUUUUUUUUUUUAUUUGGUAAUAAAUCUGCCAACCCUGCAGGGCUUGAGCCAAGGGCUUUGCUUUCUGCAUCUACACAGAGGUCUCAUAAAAAUGGUGUAAAAUGAAAGAGAAAAAUGCAUAUUUCACACUUUGUCUGCUCUGGGUUAUGGCGAUUCUCAACUCAUCCCCAUUACAAACAGCUGACCUUCCCACAGAGUUCAAGUACCUUCUGCCGGGCCUGGAAGAACCAUAUCUCUCUGUCUCUCUCUCUCUCACUGUCCCUCCUCCCUCCCCCACAGGCACACUCAUUUGCCUGAGAGGAAGCAGAGGCUGUUGGUAAGUCUACAGUGCUGGUUUAGUGUUUUCCAGGAGGGAAGUGGCAUAAAAAAACCCCCCAGUGCACCCUUGUUAACUGUGUUCAUGCACAGGUAGGGGACAAUGUCUCCAUUACUCGCCCUCCAUGCAAAUUUAUGCCAGAAACAUGAAUAUAGGCUUUCCUUCUAUUGAAGGCUACAGGUAAUUUUCAACUAUCAACAUUAUUAGUUUGCUCAAUAUUCAAAGGAAACAACCUUCCCAAGUUUACCUGCCUCUGUUCCCUUAUGCUAAUCUGCCCAUCAGUCCAAAUGGUCGCUUCCCAAACACGCCAUGUUUGUUCCUAUUUCCUGGCUUUCCCCCAACCUUGCUCUCUGUCCCAUUCAGUUUUCCUGCAUUGCGCCUGCUCCUCUCUCUUCUGUUCAACUCAGCCUUUUCUACUUUUAAGGCUCACCCCCUUCUUGAAAUCUUCCUAGAUUGCCCCAGACCAUAAUGCUCUCUCUUUACUGGGGACUUAGCGUGUACAGCCCAUAUCACUCUGCUUUAGCUAUUAAUCAUACACUGCUUUUUUGACUUUUUUUUAAAAAUAAGGAAUUGUUGUUUUCCUAUUUACCUAUCAUUUUCUUAUUUAACCUUUCUUAUUCUGCUAUUGAUCUGUAAUGUCUUAUGUAUUUUCUUAUUUAACCUUUCUUAUUCCACGAUGAGUUUAUAACAUCUUAUGUAUGUCUCUGUACUUUACAGCGUCAAACACAUAGCUUUUGCUGUUUAGUAAACAGUAGGUGCUUAAUGGAUAUUAAACAAAAUAAGUGAGUGAAUGGAAGCUCCCACUUGGGGUGUGAGUGUGGCUGUGAUGAUGUGGCCUGAUCUUUUUUCUUGGCUGGAGCUGUAAGCAACACAAUUUAUGCUUGCAGGGCAAGGGGAGAAUCUUGACCUGGGGGAAUGCUGCCCAGGGGAUGCCUACCAGCCGUUUCCUCUUGUUUGGAUGAUGUUGGGCAGUGGGUAGCUGUUGGGUGUCCGUGACAGCCCCACUCACACUGUGUGGACCUCGCAUCCCCACGUCUGCGAUACAUAGACUGUUGAGAUUUUUAUGGUAGUGAGAACAACUAGUACUGCUUGCUGUGCCCCCUCCCUCUGUGUCUUCCCCAUUCCUUUCUCCGUCCCUGUAUGCUCCCCACGUGCAGCCUGUAUUUAAUUUAGAGGAGGGAAUUAGUAAUUCAAUUUUCUUUCAAAUCUGUGAGUGCCGCUGCCGCCUGCCAUCUUGCUCUGCCUUUGCUUUGUGCUUCCCACCUCAAGGCCACUUUACGGAUUUGUUUGAUUUGUGGUUGUGGUUUGUAGCUGUCACCGAUUUCUUUGUUGUUGUUGUUGCCUGCUACCGUUUCCUUGCAGCUCGAUUUUUAGCUGAGUGUUUGGGUAGUAAAUAUGGUUUACACCAACUCUGUUGGAAAUAAUGGCAUUUAUGUGCUGAAAGUUAUUUCCAAAACCUGUGAUAUGUGUAUACAAAUAGAUCCACGGCAGGGCCCCUAGACUGGGGAGAACAAAAACUCAAUAAAGCCUUCGAGAUGGAGUAUAAACAGGUGUCUGCGAGCAGGGCUAGGCCAGGAGGUUCAGGGAAAAACAACCCCCCGCCCCUGAUGUUGGCUCUAAACUUAAGCUUUACCAUAAAUACCUUGCUUAGCAUUGGGGGAGGUAAAAGAUAUCUUUGUGUUCAUAUUUACCUGCUCAAUGCUCACUUGCAUUCUUUUGAACAUCUCACAUGAAACUUCUUACUUUUCUAUUCACUCAUUCGCAAUGGCAUUACACCUUAAUUGCUGUGGAUCCUGGUAUGGAAAAAAACGUGCCAAGAAACUAUGAGAUUGGCCUUUCAAACUGGAGGCCCUCUCUUCUUCUAAAUGGCUGAUAGUCUGGGGGAUCUUUGGCACACUAAAUGAACCUUACCGUUGUGAACAAUGCCGCUUGAACUCUAAUUUGACAUUCUCCUAAUCCUAAUGGAGGGCUGAAAAUGGAGACAGAGAACUCCCAGAGGGAAAGCCAGAUUGCUCUUAACCAUGUGGUUCUAGCCUCUGAAUUUGGGAAGUAUGGGUUUCUUCCAGGCCUAGAUUCUUGACCCCUCCCUGCCUCAUCCCCAUGUCUGAUAACUGUUCAGAAGUAGGGCCCUCACCUCCACACUAGGUGAAUGUCUUCCUUGCCAAGAGGUCAAGAACUGUUUCAAAGACGUCUUGGCUCUCUGGUGCUGAAUGCUGCGUGACAAAGGCAUAGGAAGGGUGUUUCGAUUGUUCUCUAACUUGUAAAUGCCAAGCAGAAAUCUUGUUGCAGUUCCUAAAUGCCACAUUUCGGCGUGUUUAUUGUUUCCCCCCCUAACGGGGAAAGAUGGUGAAUGGACUAAUAAUUCAGGAGCCGAGAACAUGUUUAUUUGAUUUUUAGAGCUUUAGCAAAUACAGUGUGUACAAAACCCGGUGCCAACAGCAUGCAUAAUUCCUCCAGGAAUGGGGCUGAUAGAAACACAAAGCUUGCAUGCUUCAAAACUGUAACCAAUAUUUACACAUCUGAGUGACUAAUUCUCCACUCUGAGCAGGAGAACAAUAGGCAUAAUAGUCAGGUACAUUAAUGCAGAGCAUGCUCGUCUGGUGACUUGGAUAUUUGACACAUAAACAAAGUUGGGGGGGAGCGGCGUGGGGGGAGAUGUGGAGGCUUUUUAUCUACCUGUGUAACCAUACACCAAACAGCAGGCUACAAACACGCUCAGAAAAUGCUGACCCAAUGCUGUUCUUGUACCUCAGAUGCAGGAUUGGCACAUGAUUUGCAGCGCUGCGGGAGUUCUGUAGCUGACCUCAUUAGCGGCGCGUUUCCUGGCUUGUUAGCAUCAUAUUUGUAUAAUUUACAACACCUUCGUUUUUAUGGAAUGUGUUUCUUGUAGAGUGUAAUGGCAGCAAUAUAUUUAACCUAUCGUAUUUAGGAAUGCUUUUGCUGGAGGCAGCCUGUAGAUAUAAAGGGGACAUUUUCUCCUCUCCUACAUGGGCCUUUUUCUCGUUUUGGCUCACUAGGCUGCCAUAUGUGUGUGUGUUUGCAUAUGUGUGUGUAUGUUUAUGUGUGAUUACACACCUAGGUACAAGAGUCUGAAGGGCACGAAGGGGUCCUGAAGGUGUGACUCUUGCUUCCAAUGGCAGAGGCCACUUUAAGGACUGUCCUAACUUUAGCCAUCUCCAAGGUGUGGCUUUGAAUGGGGUGGAUCUUAUUGGUGUAGAUGCAUUGCUUUUGAGAAAAUGAACUUGCAAAAUGGAAAAGGGAAUUAGGCAGGUUAGAUAUUUGGGAAUAGUUUUUUUUUUUAAAUUUAAUUUUUUUAAAUGGGGACGGGGUGGUUGGAAGACACUAAUAAGUAAGUUGGCAUAAUGUGAAUUUUCCAUCUCCACCACCUUCUGGGGGCUUUUACAUAUGAGGUUAGGAUGGAAAGACGGAAAGUGCGUGUCACUCAGGGGUGCAUCCUGACUCUAAUGAACUCUUAUCUCAGGGAAAAAAAUAAGAGUCUAUGAAUAAGGAUGGGCAUACUCUUUUUUUUUUUUCCAAAGCAGUGUAGAAAAGGUAGAAAUGUCUGGGAUUAAGCCUUUGAGAAGAGGACCGUGUCUUGAUUUGAAUGUCUCUAGAGUCAGGACAGCUGAUCCCAGUCUCAGCCUGUAAACCGAGGUUGGGACUGGGUGGUGUCUCUCUAGAAUGUGAGGUUUCUACACCGCAGGUCCCUUGUCUCCUCUGUUCCUGAAGGGAGAUGAAGACUGAAGGCUGGGGUGUCACUCAUGGAACUUUGAACUUGGAUCCAGGAUAGGCAAGCACAGUUCUCCAGGAGCUACCGGUGUGUCUCAGGUCCCUCUUCUGAUAGGAGGCAAAGAGGGUGAACAGACUCAUGAUUCAGAAACCAAGGACACGGUAGGGUGAAUGUUAGAACUUAAAACUGUCACCAGGCACCAGGCAGUGCACAAUCACUUUUUGGCCUCAAUGAGAAACUUACUCCAGGGGUAAGAUAAAUAGGUAGGCUCUGGACUGUGUCAACCCUCCAGAGAUUGAUAAGGAAUGCAGUAAAUCUAUGAAAAUGACCAGAGGCACUGGGACAAGCUUUUUCUAACUGGCUAGUCAGGUGAGGGUUCUUGAACCUUCCCUUCUCCCCCAGCUUUGAAAAUUUCAGGAUUUUUUAUGCUUCUGAUAUCUUUUCCAGUAGUGAUACUACUUCUCAUUGGUUUAGAAAGAUCUGGGCUCUUGGUUUUACUUAAUAGGUAUGGUCAUCCAUACAGGGGUUGGUUCCAGGAUACAAAAAUCCUCAGGUGCUCAAGUCCCUCAUGUUUGGCUGGGGAUGUGGCUCAAGUGGUAGUGCGCUCACCCGGGUUCGAUCCUCAGCACCACAUAAAAACAAAGAUGUUGUGUCUGCCAAAAACUAAAAAAUAAAAUAUUAAAAUUCAAGUCCCUCAUGUAAAGUGGUACAGUAUCUGCAUAUAACCUAUGCACAUCCUCCUUAUGCUUUAAAUAAUUUGAGAUUAUUUUAUAAUACCUAAUCUAAUGUAAACACUAUGUAAAUAGUUGUUAUUUACAUUAUUUAGGGAAUAAAAACAGGGGAAAAAAAUCCGUACGUGUUCAGUACAAUUUUCCCCCUGAAUAUUUUCAGUCCGCAGUUAGUUGAAUCCAUGGCUGUAGAACUUGUAGAUACAGAUGGCCAACUGUAUGUCCCUGAAACCCUGGAGUGGCUAUGCUCUGUGAUAAUAAUUCAGCAUGUUAAGUAUAUUUAUAUCCAAAAAUUGAAUCUCAAUUUAUAUUCAAAGUUUAAAUGCACCAGGCUUGCUGGCCGUUUGAAGGUACUUAGUGGUAAUGAAUCCUUUGAUUAAAAAGAAAAAUUGUUUUGUAAAAUCUCUAGUUUCAACAAUUGAAUCCUGAACUCUUUAUUGAGCACUUAUUAAGUAAGGGAUAUUUAAAUAAGAAUUGUAUAAAAUUCCCACCUAAAGAGAGUCUGUUCAAAUUUUGAAUCAGGGUUUACAUGUACUUUGUAUAGUCAUAUCAAUUCAUAACAAAACGUGGACGGUUUCAGCACCCUGCAUCUAUGAAUUAGUUUGCUUUUAAGGCUUUGUGAAAGAUAGAUAGUUACUAUAUAUGUAUAUUCAAAAAUUUGUAUUAGUUUCGCUUGACUGGUUUGAUAACCAGCUUGUCUAAAGUGAUGAUAAAGAAGGGCUCUGCACCUGGACUCAGAUUCGUGGAACGGAGAUACUGCUGCAUAUGCUCUUCCCACUCUCUUAAAAGAGAAGUCAUCUUUCCCCAGUUCUCUCUGUGGCCAUUUCCUCUACUUGGCUCUAGAACAUCCAUUCUUUCUCAACUCUUGUGAUCUAGAACUCUGGAUUCUAUUCAUGCUGUCCUUCCUGGUUAGUGCUUAAAUAUAUCCAAAUCUCUCCAUCUUACAAAAACACUGCCUAUGCCACAAGCUCUAGAUCAACUCCCUCUUCCUGUCUCUUUCCGGCCACCCUUAUUCCUGUUUUGCAAGUUGUUAUUGUUUUUUGAGGUACUAGGAUUUGAACUCAGGGCCUCAUGCUUGCUAGGCAAGAGCUCUACCACUGAGCCACACCCCCAGCCCAUCUGUCUACCCUUUCUGAGUGGCUAUGGCAGGCUCAUCACUUUAGCUGUCUCAGCCCACUGGUGUAUGGCUUCUGCUCUCCUCUAUGCACUGAAAUUGCUCCCCAAGGCUGCUGAAGAGCUCGAAGACAUUCAAGCUAACAGACACUCAUCUUGUGUGCAUGCCCCCACAGUUGAUGGCUCCCUUCUGGAACAUCACAUUCUCCUGGGCUCUGCUAACCUUUCUUGUCAUUUCUCAGUUUGCUUUGUUAGCUUAGGGUUUGGUACCCGUUCCUUUUAUUGGGGUCCUCUGGGUUUUGACCAAGUGUCUGAUUUCUCACUAUUUUCUUUCUCUCUUAGACCAUCUUACCCAUCUGUCAGGCUUCCUUGGUCUUUAAUGUGCUGCAGACUGCCGAACUCUCCUGCGUUUUUCUCUCUUUUCACUAGAAAACUCCAGUAGGCUACUUUGUUGUAACCAAGAAAUUACAAAACAGAACAGGUCAAAUGAGAUGGGAGAUUUGUUUUUCUUCCGCACCACAGUCCAGAGUUUCUGGGCAUCCCAGGGAGAGAAGGGGGUCCAUGAAGUUGUCCAGGGAAUUAGAUAUUUUCUAUCUUGUUGCUUCAUCAUGCACGAUAUUGUCUUUUCCAUAUGGAGAAAGAUGUCCCUAAUGUGCCAUGUUCUGGUAUGUAUGAAGUGGGGAGAAGGCUGUGGGCAACCAGCUUCCUUGUAAUAAAGUGACCCAGUAGUAAGUGGCACUUAGAAGCCCCACCCAUGUGGCCAUACUUAGUUGCAGCCUAUACAGGGGAAUGUGGUAUUUUCAAGGUAACCAAAACUCAAUUUAAGUGUGAAAAUGAAAAGCAAAAGGAUCUAGAUUUUAUCCAGCCUGUAUUAGUCAGCUCUUCAUCUCUAUGACCAAAAUAUCCAACAAGAACAAUUUAGAGGAGGAAAGGUUUAUUUUGGCUCAUGGUUUCAAAAGUUCAGUCCAUGGUUGGCUGACUCCACUGCCCUGGGCUCAGGAUGAGGCAGAACAUCAUGGUGGAAGGGGGUGGAGCAGGAGUGCUGCUCCUCCAUUCAUGGCAGCCCGGCAAACAGAGAGGAGGGGUGGGGGAAGGGCCACAGGGAAGAGGAAUCCUUCCAGGGCCCGCCCCAAGUGACCCACCCCCUCCAGCCACACCCCACCUGCCUAUAGUUACCACCCAGUCACUCCAUUCAAACUAGGAUGGACUGAUUAGGUCACAGCUCUCCUAAUCCAAUCAUUUCACCUCUGAAUAUCCAUGCAUUAACACAGGAGACACUUUAUAUCCCAAACCAUAACAAACCCAGUAAUAAGAAAUUAAGUAAAUCUAUUAAAAUGAUCUGAGGCAAAUGAUAGGGAUGAAGCUUAUCUAGCUGGCUAGUCAGGUUGAGCACCUUCUUCUCAUCUGCCAGUCCCUCAGAAUAAUUAUUGAGAAAAGGGUGACCUAUUUCUGCUGCAGGCUUCUCAAACUUAACAUCUCCCAAACUCACCUCCUUAUCUUCUCCUCAGACCUGCCCCUUCUAUAGCUUUUGAUACUCAUCAGUCAAAAGAAAGUAUCAUCAUUGAAAAACCCAGUUUCUCAAACCAGAAACCUGGUAUUGUUCUUGAGUUCUUUUUCCCUCACUGCUGCAAUCCAGUCUUUGUCUCCUUGAGUCAUUUAUACCUUUUAACUAUUUUUAGAUCCAGAUACUUCUUUUUGUUCCCAGCUUGAUACAAGACAGCAUUGUUUCUUCCUUGGACCAUUGCAGUAGUUUCUUUUCUUUUCUUUUUUCUUUUUUUUGGAAAUGGGGAUCGAACUCAGGGCACUCAACCACUGAGCCACAUCCCCAGCCCUAUUUUAUAUUCUGUUUAGAGACAGGGUCUCACUGAGUUGCUAAAUGCCUCGCCAUUGCUGAGGCUGGCUUUGAACUGGCGAUCCUCCUGUCUCAGCCUCCUGAGCUACUGGGACUACAGGCGUGCACCACCGCAUCUGGCUCCAUUGCAGUAGUUUCUUAACUGAACUUUUUACAUUUACUUUCACCCCUUUAUAUAUGUUUUCCAUCCCAUUGUUGAAGUUCUAUUAUAAAAAUGGAAAUAUAGUAUUUUUCUUUCUUAAAAAAAAAUCCUCCAAUGGCUUUUCACUAACCCACAUUCUUUUCAUGUUCUAGAAGACCCUGCAUGAUUUGACCUCUGCCAGUCUCGCCAGGCUUCUGUGAUUCCUGUCUGACUUUCAUCAUCUCUAAUUCUGAUCCUGGUCCUCUCUAAUCCUGACAUCUUGGACUUACUGUGACCCCUAACAUUGGCCAUGCUAUGCUUUGGUUCUACUCUUUCAAACACACUUCUGUGAGAACAUACCUCCUGUCUCCCUCCCUGGCUUGGCUAACUAUUAUUUAUCGUUCAGAGAGCUCAGAUCAGGGAUGACUUUUCAUUGAGAACUUCCUCCUUUCUUCUAGGUCCUUUACUACUCCUACAGCAUCUUGUAAUCCAUCUUUACUAACGCUGAUCAAUAAUUAAAUGGCUGGGAUCUGUAUUUGUGAUUAUCUUAUGAGCUCCAAUAAGGCUGCCUGCCUUUUUUAUUUGAUAACUAAAACACAUGAAAUUGUUUGGAAAAAAGAUGCUAUCUUCAAAUAAUUCCUUCUCCUUUCCCCACUAUUGCUCUGUGCAAAGAUGCUAUGUGAUAUGCAUUGCAUAUGUGCUACAAUAAUAGGAGCAACUGUCUGUUCAUGUAAAUUACUAAGAAUGAAUAGUGGAAGAAACAAUUAGUAAUAAACACACAUGAUAGGUCAGAUUAAUUAUAAAAGGUAUAGCAUACAUUUAUAUGUAAUUUUAUAAUUUUAAUGCUUUUGACUUCAUAAUUUAAUUUGAUUCUUAUAGGACCCCUUCGGAGAUGUCAGAUAAAUUUUCUCCGCUUUCUAGGUGUACAAAUUGAGACUCAGGUGGCUUAGGAAGAUGAGGCAGGAGGAUGGUGAGUUCAAAGCCAGCUUCAGCAAUUUAGUGAGGACCUAAGCAACUCAGUGAGACCCUGUUUCUAAAUAAAAUAUAAAAAAGGAUGUGGCUCAGUGGUUAAGGGCCACUGUGUUCAAUCCCUGGUACACCCCCCCCCCCCAAAAAAAAAAAGGAAAAAAGAGAGACUCAAUGAAGUAACUUAACCAAAGUCUUUUGUUGGGUGAAUGAAGGAGCCAGAGUUUGAGUCCAGAUCUGAAGGCAGACCAGGGCCUCGUCUGCAGUGUCAGUCUGUGACAGGGAACAGGAAACACAGCCAUGCAACUCUUGAGCCUCUAGGUCUGAUCUCAGCACUUACUUGAUAAUUAUUUGUUGAAUAAAUAAAUGCAUGAAUAGAUACAACAGUAGCUCUGACAACAUUACAAAGAUUUUACACCAACCUAUAAGUCAAUUAUUAUGGGAUAAUAAACAAAAACAAUAAAAUAUACUAUAUAGCAGAGAGAUGGAAUGACAUGUUGAGAAAGGAAAUUUUAUUAUAACCCAGGAUUUGAUUGAAAACCAAGAUAUGAAAUGUGUGAAUAAUACCCAGCCUGAUUUCUCUCUUCUAUACAGAAAGGAACAAAGGGCUAUUGUCUCUGUCAUUGGUUAGAAAGGGCCUUAAAUAUUAGUCUGUCCAAAUUUCAUUCUCCCCUCUCAUCCCGUCAGGGCAUCUAAUUAUUUUUUUUAUUUUGGGGGCAUACCAGGGGUUGAACUCAGGGGCCUCCGACCCCUGAGCCACAUCCCCAACCCUAUUUUGUAAUUUAUUUAGAGACAGGGUCUCACUGAGUUGCUUAGCACCUUGCUUUUGCUGAGGCUGGCUUUGAACUGGGAUCCUUUUGCCUCAGGCUCCUCAACCUCUGGUAUUACAGGUGUGAGCCACGGUGCCCGGCGAAGGCAUCUAAUUAUGUUCUUGAUUACAGGGGGUACCAUAUAGGCCUCACAGAGUUCUUCCAGGAUAGCCUUCUCAAGUGCUCUGGGGUAGACAGCACCUCCAUCAAGGACAGUGCUCCCCCAAGGGAAGACCUUAACUCUGGGAUAGUAAGAGUUAAAUUAAAGAUGGACAGUUCUGAUGUUUCUGAGAGAGGAAAAGUUUGUCUGAUAUGAGCAUCUUGCCUUUCAAGGUUUUUGAGGUAUGUAAAGCACAUGCUAUAGUUUUUGGACACAGUAGGUACUCAAUAAUUGGUGGCAAUUAUAAAGAGAAUGCAGCCAACUCUAAAGAACAAACAGACAUGGGAUUGAAAUCCAGCUUUGUUAAUUAUUAGAUGGAAAAAUAAUUUCCUGAUCAUGAGCAAGUUAUUUGAGCAUUCUAAUCUUAAAGUUUUUCAUUUGUAAAAGUGAUAAGUAGUCAUUAGGAACAAGAUUCUCUAUUUGGUGUGGUUAUGGCAACUUUGUUCAGUUUAUAGGUAAGUUAAAUGAAGCUCAUAGACAUUAAGCAUAGACUUUAGGAGGUGGUAAUUUAGCUAGUGUCAAAAGUUAAGAUUUAAACCCAGGUGUCUGAUUCUGGCACCUGAUUAUUUUCCAGUUUAUAAUACUGCUCAUGUGAAAGAGAGAUGACAAAAAAUGCUGAAUUGUUGUGCUGAUUAGAUUCAGUGCACAGUCAGCCCUCAAAAAUAGUAGCUAUCAUUAAUAAUUAUGAUUAAGGUGGUGUAGGACAAUCUAUAUAUUCAUAUUAACCAGAGUUGGAAGAAUUUUAACAUAUACAACUCAUUAAGGCCCCUGGUUGGAAAUUUCCUGGUUGGCAUAUAGUAGGUAGUCUGUAAUUGCUUGCUGACAUAUUAAAAAUGUCAGAAUCAGGGGCUGGGGUUGUGGCUCAGUGAUAGAGCACUUGCCUAGUGCAUGCCGAUCCUCAGCACCACAUUAAAAAAAAUAAUAAGCAAAAUAAAAUAAAGGUUAAAAAAAUUGGACUAAAAAAAAGAUGUCAUAAUCAUGCGUGUUAAAGACCCAGUGAUGUCUGAACUGAUAGUUGGAAUCUGUCCUUUCACAUUCCCUCCUCAAACAUGCCUCUUUCACUUCUGAAAACUUUGGAAACUUUGGUGAAAUGCAGUAGGACAAGGAAUUAUGAGAGAUGGUCUUGUUGAAAUAGCUGCCUACUCUUCCUCCCAUAUAUUGAGAGUUCUCUUUCAGGUGUGGCCAAGUAUGCUUCUUUUGUACCUACCUCUGUAAAUAGACAAUAAUUAGAAACUCUAGACAAAAUCGUAAAAAAAGAACAGGUGCCUGAAUAUGCUGGAAAUUAAAUGAAAGUUGGAAGAUUCUUCAGGGGCAUUGAUGUGGAAGAAGCGAAAGGUAUGGGAAAAGUUUUCUAUUUAUUAUGGUUAUUAGCUGCAGCCAGCACCAUGUUGGGGCAGCUAAAGCAACUAUAGGAAACUGGCAGUACCUCUGGCCUGAAAACCAGAUGACAGAGUUUUGGGCAACCACAGCUGCUAAAUAUAAACUCUGUCCAAAUCUCUGGUUGACCUCUGCAUCAAGCAUGUGUGGGGUAGAAUCCAAGAAGCUCAGCUAAAGAUAGAAGAAUUGAACUGAGAUUUGAGCUGGUACCCAAGAGACAGAGUUUGCAAUUUGAGUCCAACCAACUUAAUUGCUUGCUAUAGCAACAUCAACAACAACUACUCAACACUCUUCCGCAGAAUAUAGCAGAAUUCAGAGAAACAACAACACAACAUUCACAACAUCCGGAAUAUAAUCUAAAAAUAUUUAAAACAGAAAGAGCCAGAAAGAUGUGAACUAUUUUCAAAAGAAAACACAGUCAAGACUGAUACCUACUUGUUCAAAUAUUGGAAUAAUAGAGAAGGAUUUCAAAAUAAUUAUUAUAUAUACUCAUUAAUAUAAGAAAAACUAUGGUUAAAAUAAAUGGCAAAAGAUAAAAUCUCAGUUGAGAAAUAAUUUUAAAAAGGACCAAAUAGAACUGGAAAAAUGGAACAUGUACAAUAAAAAUUCACCGAGUUCAUCUGGGCAUGGUGACAUACUCCUGUAAUCCCAGCAGCUUGGGAGGCUGAGUCAGGAGGAUUACAAGUUCAAAGCCAGCCUCAGCAACUUAGAGAGGCUCUAAGCAACUUAUGAGACCCUGUCUCAAACAAAUUGUUUUAAUUUUUUUUUUUUUUACUGAAUUCCCCUAAAAGCAAAAUGGGUAUGAGAGAGAGAAAGAUUCGGUGAACUUAAAGACAGAUUCAAUAAAAAGUAUUUAAUCCUAAGAAUGGAUAAAAGCAAACAAAUGAAUGGCACUUCAGAUAACUGUCAGACAAAAAUCAAAAUUAAUCAAAAUCUAAUUAGUUUAAUUAGAAUUCCAAAAGAAGAGAAAAAAUGGAGCAGAGAAGUUGAAGAAAUAAUAAGCAAAAACAUACUAAAAAUAUGGAAAAGAAAUGAAACAUAUAAUUAUGAAAAUAAAAAGUAAUAACCAAGUAAAAGUUAGUCUUUGUGGAUAUCCCAAAUUUGAUGAAAGACAUAAAUUUAUACAUUCUUAGCAAACCCAAGCAGGUAGAGGGAAAAACCUUGGGAGAAAAGAUACAUAAUAUAUAGGGAUACAGUGAUUCAGUGGAGACCAGAAAAUAAUGGAAAGGCAUCUUCAAAGUUUUGAAAGAACAAAAAGAUCUAUUCACCUAGAAUUUAUAUCCAGUAAAACCAUUAUUCAAGAAUGAACUAGCACAGAGGCAUGUCUAGAUAGAAUAAAGCUAUCUGAGUUCAUCAGGCCACACUCCAAUAAAUGAUAAAGGAAGCUCUUUAGACUCAAAGGAAAUGACACCAGAUAGAAUUGUGGAUCUUCCAAAAGGAACAAAGAGGAUCAAAAAGGGUAAAGUUUGGGUUAAAUAUAAAAUAUUAUCUUUUUAUUUCUCACUUUCUGUCAAGUGUAAGUGACAUUUAAACCAUAGAUUUUAGCAUUGUCUCAUAGGGUUGAUAGCCUGUCGAUGUAUACAAAUGAUAGCUUCUGCCUAAGUCAUGGGGAGGGGUGGUACAUGGACUCACACAGUUGCAAUGUUUUUACACUUUUUAUAAAAAGGUACAAUAUUAAUUCUGAGAAGAUUGUGAAAGGUUAAGCGUAUAUAAUGACUAGAAAUAAUAGUGAACUUACACGGAAGCUCAAUAUGACAAUUGUGAUCACAAAUUGGGUUUAUCAACUGAAUCUAUGGAACUUUGCAAAAAGAAAAUAAAGCUGUUAUAGAAAGAAGCUAGUAGAUAAAUAGAUGAGACUUAUGUUUCAUUCCCCUUCUCUGCUUUCAAAUCAUCUUGAUUACUAGUGCUUGGUGGGAAAAUGGGCAAUGCGUUCAUUUGGUCAUUCAAAUAUGCAUCCAUCCAAUAGGUAGUUAUUGCAGUCAUUAGAUUUUCAGGUGCUCUAUCAGCCUUUGAGGAUAUAAAUGAAAUAGGGCAUUGUCCUUGCCUUCAAGGAGCUUUGUUCUCCCAUGAACUGAUGGAGACUCUCCUGACCUCUACACUGACGGAAUCUUUAAUCUUGUCACUUUUGAGCCAUUUAGGGGAAAGAAAAACACCCAUCUUCCUAGAUUCAGGUAAUAGAUAUCAGGUGCUUCAAUCAGACUUUGAGCAUGGAGAGUAUGGUAGUUUCUGAUGGCCUAUCCCACUGUGGUAUAAAGAGCUCUCCAGGGGUGGGAGGGUCUGAGGGCUGAGGAUUAUAUCCUUGUUUUAGCUUUUUUCACUACUCUGACUAAAUGACCAAGCCAGCACAACUGUGGAGGAGAAAAGGUUGAUUUGAAGGCUCACAGUUUCAAAGAUCUUAAUCCAUAGAAGGCUGGCUCCAUUUCCUGGGGCUCAAGGUGAGGCUGAACAUCAUAGCAGGAGAGUGGGGCAGAGGAAAGCAGCUCACAUGGUGAUCAGGAAGCAGAGAGAGAUUUCACUCUCCAGAUACCCCAUAGCCACACCCCAGUGGACUACUUCCUUCAGCCACCCCCCACCACUUCCAGUCACCACUCAGUUAAUCCUGUCAGGGUUUAACUCACUGAUUGGCUUAAGAGUAUGAUCCAACCACUUCUCCUCCAAACCUUCUUGGAUUGUCUUACAUGUGAGCUUCGGGGGGACACCAUAUCUAAACCAUAACAGCCCUCGACUUGCUGCUCACUUAACUAUGUGAUUUUAAGCAAUCCACUUAACCUCCCUGAGACUCAGUUUCAUCAUUUGCAAAACUGAGUAGCAUUGCUGCCUCUGUUCUUAAAGGAGACAAAUAUAAUUCUGUUUGCUAAGUUCCAGGGUCAGUUUUGAUUUAGGGGUCCAUUAAAAGCAGGUGUUCUAAAACUAAUUCUCCAAGUUGAGUACUGGGGAAAAUGACUGAUGAUAUUUACUCUAAAGUCUAUGUUCUUGACUAGAUUUGUGUGUGUGUGUGUGUAUGUGUGUGUGUGUGUGUGUGUGUGUGUGGUUCAAUUUGGUGUAGUGGAAUUACCAUAAACUUUGUUGUAAGGCAUUCUGGGUUUAAAUUCUAGCUCAGUAUUUACUAGUUAUAUGACCUUGGACAUUAUAUCUCAGUUUUCUCAUUUGUAAAAUGGGGUAUAAUAAUGGUUAGACUGUAGGACAGAGGUAACCAGCUGUCUACCAAUGUUUAACUUCUCUUCUAUAGAACAGAGACAUUUCUUUGAGCUGCCUAGCUAGUGCCAAGGAUUUGUGUCUGGGAGUGCAUCUGUGAUUAGUUCUUAGCCAUCCCCUGUGAGCUCAAGUGACACAGCCAGUAGCCCAAUUCCAGGCAUGGCCCAGGGAGUUAGGGAAAAAAAAAGCCCUUUCAUGUACACACUUCUAUGUUCUUUCCUCUUCAGAUAAUGCAACUUUGGAAGCCAUACAACGGAGCUGCAAGAUGGAAGGAGGCUGGGCCUUCAAUCACUCUUUGGAGAAGAGCUACCCCACUCUUUAGGUGUGCCAUUGAGAAUUAGUGUAAGUGACAAACUUCUAUUGUAUUUGUGCUAUCAUACAUUUGGGGGUUUACUUUUAUAGCAUUAAUUAAUUUAGAAAGCACACGUUAUGUACAGCAUCUGGCAUGUGUUGUCUGUCACGUGGUAAGGUUCGAUAAAUAAGAGCACUCUUCUGCCUGAGAACAGCAUUUUUUUAUCAGAUUGGAUGAAGAGUCAAUAUCACACUUGCUAAUGCUGUAUUUCUGUCAUCUGUGUGUGUGAACCUCAAUUCCCCAAUAAAUCAAGCAGAGGUAGCAAUACAACUUCCUCACUAGAAUUAUUGAGAAAUAAGUAAAUAUUAAGCAGAAGGUGGAAGUACAUGUUUAAGAAAGAAUAUUCCAGAAAUACCAGAUGAUGCCAGGCAGGACAGGGAAGACGGAAGUAAACUGGAAACAAUCUUUCUUGAAAGCAACACAAGUAGUCAGACUGUUAUCAGACAAGGAGGCCAGAAGUAAUUUUCCCUUAGAAGUAUGUGUUAGUCAGCUUUUCACUGAUGUGACCAAAAUACCCAACAAAAACAACUUAGAGGAGGAAAAGUGUAUUUUGUCUCAUGGUUUCAGAGGUUUGGUCGGUGGUGGGCCAACUCCAUUGCUCUAGGCCAAAGGUGAGGCAGAACAUCAUGGUGGAAGGGCGUGGAAGGGGAGCACUGCUCUACCUGUGGCAGCCAGGAAGCAGAGAAAGAAGGAGGAGCCCGGGAGACAAGGAAGAUGUAAUCCCUGCGGGCAUGCCCCCUGGUGACCCACCUCCUUCAGUCACAUUCCACCUGCCUCCAGUUACCACCCAGUUAGUCUUUUCAAAUUAUUAAUCUAUCAAGUGGGUUAAUCCACUGAUUAGGUGACAGCUCUCAUAACAUACUCAUUUCACCUCCUGCAUUUACAGAGGAGAUUUUUUUUAGGGGAUACCUGAUAUCCAAACCAUAACAAAGUUCUUUUGUGAAGUGUGCUCACAGCUAUGCAUGAGAAAUGUACAUUCAGUCAUUCCAUAAAGAUGGGCCUUUGUCCAUGAAGUGCAGUCUCAGGGCAGGCUUAGGACCAGAGGACGUGGGACUGCAUGGCACAGUCCAAAUGUCCAAACCUAGCAUUUUAUUAGAUACAAGGGCUCAGGGGAGUGAGGAAUAGCACUUCCCCUGCUGACCAUACUGUGUGAUGGGAAGAUGUGGCAUCUCUGUAUUCACUGCUAUACCCCCCACCCCACCCCACCGCCUCUGGUGCCUCUGAUACCUCUGGUAUCUUGCUUUUUGCCUGUCUUUGACACUUCCCCCCGACUUGUCUCAUGAGGCUACACCCACACAGACCCUAGAGUAGGUUCUGUGAUCUGUGGACCCAGAGAGUUCUGAGAGCUAGUUAGGGUGGCAGUCAUUCUCAUCCAUGGGGAUAGUCUGACUCCUGUCCCAGCACCCAAGGAGCUCAGGGACAGGCAUCUGAGAACUGGAAUCCAACUGGGGCAAAUGACAGUAAAGCAAUAUUUCAGGCCAGGCCUAGGAACAGGGUUUGAGGUAGAACAGGCUCUGAAGGGGCACCGAGAGGUGGAGUACUCUCUACUUGAGAAGACAGAGGGUGCCAGACAUGAGAUACAGGAAGAGGAAGGAAGAGUCAAUGUUGAGGUUGAGGAUGGGAAGAAUCUGCCUAUGGUAAAGAACUGGGAUGAGGAGUGGGGGGCAAUGGUUGGGUAACAUGAAUGGGGCCAGAUUCUGGAGGAUCCUGAAUGCCAGGCCGAGAAGGCCUGUGUCAGACAAGACUCCACAGGGAACUCACCCCACGCUGGUCAACCCAUCCUGCCAGGCCCUUCCCCCGGGGUGGCUGGUGUAGGCCUCCUGGCCCCAUCUGCUCGGCACAUCUUUCACUUCAGCUUAGCUCAGCACAUCUCCUUGUUCCUCCCCGACUCCUCCUGGCUUAAGCCAUUCCUCCAGGCAGAGAGGCAUCUGGGGUCUAGGUCACCUCUCUGCUGCUGCUUCCCCACAGAACAAGGCCUCUCCCACUGCGAGUCCUCCAGACAGGGCCUGCCACUCCCUCUGCAUCUCUCCAACCGAUUGGACCAGCCCAUCACACACUUAAGACUUCCCCUUCCAGUGGCUGUGUUCAGUUUUAACCAGGAGAAUUCAGAGCUACCUAGUCCAUACCUCCUUGUUCUAGCUCCCUUCUGCUUGACCACCUUGCUUUUGUUACCCAAAGUCAGUCUCUCUCUCUCUCUCUCUCUCUCUCUCUUUACAAAUGGCUUUGCAGCAGACCUGGGAGUGCACAGCAGCACCAAUAAUGUCUCCAUGGUUCCUUGUUAGCUGCACUCUAAGCAGGAAAGUGACUAGGCCUGACAAUAUAAUUUACAUUGCUGUAUAAAACUAUCUGUGGAAGCCAAGCUAAUUUGUGCCAGAUUAGGCUAUUUGUCUCAGCCACUGUCUAGCAGCACAAUCUAUCAGAGGGCUGUUUUCAAAUAUCGCUUUUCAAGCGUGCCCUUGAGAGGCAGAAAUUGAUUGGGAUCUUAGAGAGCAAAAUUACAGCAAUAACUUAAAAGAAACAAUAAUUACUGAAUCAUACCAGUGUCAGCACUCUGCAAAACACGAAAUAGCCAUCAAACCCCAAUCCAAUAUAUUCUGAAGCGAAUUUAUUGAAUGGAAAAAGCAGUUGAGUGAGGGUUUUUCUCCCCCCUCCUCCCCUUCCCCUGUACAUAUGGUUAUCUCAAAACCGCAAGUGAAUGAGUCGAUAAUUCUUGUCAUUGACUGCUCCAUUUUCACGGAGUCAGAGGAGAUCCAUUAGCUGCCUCCUGCUGCACCGUCUCCCUCUCUCCUCUCUCCUUCUCUCCAUCGCCUCUAUUCAUUUGCUAGUCUCUGCUCUUCAAGCAAACAAACAUGUAUAACUAAUCAUCUGUUAAAAUGCAGAGGGCCCCUAAUAAAUCUCUGCAGCUGAAAUACUUUAAUGGGUAAUUAAUUGAUCCUGUUCCAGAGGAGUAAUAAGAUAAUAAAUUAGACAAUAUUUCACUCAGUCGUGUCAGGCUCCUAGCUAAUGGCGCUGUAGGGCUAAGCUGAAGGAUAAUAAAUUAGCCAGAAAUUAACUGCUAAGAGCUUUCUGCAGAGAAAUCGGCUGACAAGUGAGUCACACGCGUGAUUCAGGGCCUGACUGGUGUUGUGGCGGAUCUCUGUGAAUAUGAACUUGCGCUUUGGGAGGGGGCCCCAUGGGGCGCUCCCAGCUGGGCUCUGGUAGGAUUCUGUUCCCAGGCUGAGAGAGUCUGUUGGGUAAUACCCAGAGCUUGUGAAACUGGCUAGGGCCCUUGCCUUGCACACCAAACGGGUUCCUGGGAGCCAUGAGCUCUUGAAAAUAGCUUCCCCCAAGCCAUCAGAUUCACUGAAUUUUUAUGGGUCUCACCCACUCUGACCAGUAGGGCUACUGAACACCUGUCGCCGCCAGGUUCCAUCUGUUGCUUCCCAAGCAAAUAUGCAAAUAAGGAAGGAUGGAGUCUUGGUAGAGGUGGAAAAGAGACUUGUGCCCUUGCAAAAAGGCUCUUGCAAAAGUUAAGCAGAAAAGUGAGCAGGAAGAAAGAGAGUGAAAUACAUUUUGUAGCAGGUAAGAGAUAUUUCUUACUAGUUCAGAUGGAGAAAAUCUCUUAGUUUUGUGGAGAAACUCAAGGAAGGUGAUAGCAAGUAUUAGGCAAGAAAAGACUUGGCCCUGGAAGGUCACGUGGGCCUUUGCUUGAGGGUAGAGGAAGCCAGCUUCUCCAUGGAGGCAGCUGGAGGGUAGCUGAGCAUGUGGUGAAACAUGGGGGGAUUAAAGAGAUUUGACUUCUUACUCUUUACUGGCUGUGUGACCUUGUGUAGGUUACUUACCUACCCUGAACUCUGGCUUGAUCCUCAGUAAAAGAGUGUUGAAUGAAUGACUCAAGAGAGGCUUGGAGUGUUGUGUCUCACUCAGAGCAGGUGCCAAUCUAGCAUUACUUAUUACAUGGAGUGCAGAGGGUAAGGUUAUUUAUAAGUGAGGGAGAUAGCAGAUAAAGAAAUGAGAGGGGGUGGUGGUAGGAGACAGUGGGUGAGCUUGAUCCUCUUUUUCUGGAAUAAGGACCAGAUUACUUGCACCCCACCAUAAAGAUGGUCCUAACUGGAUGUGCUCACCUUCUGGCAGACCAUCCCUCAUUGCUUCAUGGUAAAUAUGAGUCAAUUAAUCUUCCGCGUCACUAGUAGCAAUGGCAGUGUGGGUCGAAGGCAUCCAUAGAACUGGAUUAUUUAAAUGGGAUAAUGCAGAAUCAAAGAGAUUUAGAGACCAGAAAGGAGAAGAAAAACUCUAGACUGAUUCCCAGGUUUCUGGCUUGGGUGCCUGGUUGUAAUCCAUUCCACUUAGCAUCACCCAGAGUGGAACACUUGCCUUGCCUUCUGGCCACAGGGGCCAUUGAAAUUGUUUGCACUGAUCCUUGAAACCUGUCACUCACUCUUAUAGCCACCACUGCCUGAGGAUCCUGCUGCUUUGGCUUCACCGACUCAUCCUGUUCCUGAGUACAACAAAACAGUGCACCCCUCCCUUGUGCCACCUGCUUCCUGACCUUGGAGUUGUCUUGCUGCUGCUGGAGCAGGUAGCAAGCACUUUGACACCAGCUUGACACUCAUGUAUGUGCAUCCCUGGGGUCCAAGGGGGUUGAUGUCCUGGGAGAGGCAUAGUCUGACCAGUGGGUGGUGGCCACCAACAGAUAAAUUGUUCUCCUUUCUCCCUACUGGAUGAACUACUUGAAGAUGGGGUGGCUUCUAAUGACCUUUUGCAGAUAUCGUAUGACACAAAGGGAUCCAUUUCUCACAGGCCUGUGGCUGGCUCAUCGUGUGCUCCCUUCUACUUGCCCUCCCCACCUCUGUACCUCACCCCCUUCCCUAUUCCUGCUUCCUGGAGACUCACUCUCUAGUAAACACUAGCACUACAUACAUAUAUACACACACACAUACAUACUUACAUAAAGAAUUUAAGUGUGUAGUCAGUACCAGUUAUAUCACAUCAGCUUAUCAGCAGUGUGGUGUUGGCAUUCCUUGUCUGGUGACCAACCUGAGGCAGUGCUGGAAAGACAAGACCUUGCAUAGUCUCUGUUGGACUUCAGGGUGGCUGAAAACCACCUUGAGCAGCCCCUAUACUGCUCUCAUUCUGGGGGAGAUGCUGGGUCUCCUGGAGGAUCUUGACUAGAGGCCUGUAGCAGAACAGAUUCAGCCAGAACUGGGAACCAGAAACUGGAUUCUAACUGUGUAAAAGCAAAAGGGGUGGGUUGGGGGUGUGCUCAAUGUUUGAGUGCUUGCUUAGGGUAUACGAGGCCCUGGGUUCCAUCUGUAGCAACACACACACACACACACACACCUACCCACCCACCCACCCACCCACACACACACACGGAAGGAGAUUUCCAAGUAGAAAUGAUAAGAUCAGUACAGCUCAUAGCAAGGACCCAUUCACUGACAUAUCUUUUAAAAAUAAGUGUGUUUUCAUGUAUUUUAUUCCCUUAUGUGGAAUGUUUUCCUGGUCUCUCUCAGUCUAUUCUUGUGCUAUUUGCAUAUCUAGGCUCAGUUCUUUGUUCCUCAUGACCUCAGGAUUGGAAGAGAGGUUGAGGGCACCAUGCCUAACCUCAGCCCCUGAUAGAGCAGAAACAGGUGGCUGAGCCUGGAGGCCCAUUUUUGUGUGUCUGAAUCGUUAGAAAAUAGUUUCAAAGAUCCUCUCCGUGCCCUGUACAGAAGCACAUGGUAAAUUUACUUUCCUUUUUUUUAGAUAAUUGAUGACCAUGAUAUGACCCCUAAGCCUUCUCCUUUUUUCAGACUAAAUCUGCCUAGCUCCUUUAACCAUUAUGUGUGUACCAUUUCCCCUUCUUUUUAUUGUGAAGUAUAGCAUAUGCAAAGAAAAUAACCCAGACCACCAAGUACAGCUUGGUUGAUAAUACAAAGUGAUACCCAUGAAGGGAAAAGACACUGGUAGCUUUUUCUGGUGGUACUACCUGAAUCAGACCUCCCCACUCCUUCCAGAAUAUGUGCCACCUGACUUCUGUGCAAAUCAUUCAUUGCUUUUCAUAAAUUCUAUAAUUUAUGUACAGAUAUACUUCUGAGGUAUUGUGAGUUUGGUUCAAGACCAUUGCAAUAAAGUGACUAUCUCAAUAAAGCAAGUCAUAUGAUAUUUUGAUUUCCUAAUACAGAUAAAAAUAUCUUUACAUUCUACUAUAAUCUAUUAAGUGUUCAGUGAUAUUAUGUCUAAAAAAGCAAUGAACAAACUUGAUUAAAAUACUGUAUUUGUAAAAAAUGCUAAUAAUCAUUUAGGCUGAUGAAAAGAUAAUGCCAUUAGAUUUGCUGGAAGCAGGGUUGCCACAAACCUUUGAUUUGGUAAAAAACAAAACCCCCCAAAACAAAACAAAACAAAACAAAAAAACACUGGAAUUAUCUGUGAAGUGCAAUAAAGGGCAAUCAUUCCCAAAUCAUAUGGUUUAGCUUUGCCAGUUUUAAGUCUUCUGAAUUGUUCUUUUUUGCCUUCUUUGUUCAACCCUACGUUAAUGAGUGCUAUGCUUUGGAUGUGUGCCCCCAAAGUCCAUGCAUUGGAACCUUAAUUCCACAAUGAGGCAGUGUUGGAGGAGGGGCCUGGUGGAAGGUGCUUGCACGUUGAGGGUGGAUCCCUCAUUAAUGGGUUAAUACUUUGCUUGUAGGAAUGGGUGAGCUAUUACAGGAAUAUCCCCCCUUUCUCUCUUUGACAUGUGCUCCCUUAUCCUUCUGUUUUCUAUCAUGAAUUGAUGUAGUAUGAGGCUCUCACAAGAUGUGGUUGCCAGAUUUUGGACUUCCUGCCUCCAAAACUAUAAGCUGAAAUAAAACUAUUUUAUUUAUGAAUUAUACAAUCUUAGGUAUUGUGUUAUAGCAACAAAAAUGAACUAAGGCAUGGGAUUCAUCCAUGUUUUUGCUUGUUGCUGUAAUUGUUUCUAUUGACACAUAAUGUUUUGUAUAUUUUAUAUGUGAACAAAGAUGCAAUUUUGUUGAUACAUGAUAAUUUAUUGAUUGUUUCACAAUAUGAAUGUACUAUAAUUUACAUAUGUGUUCUAUAACUGAUAUGCUUCAAAGAUGGUUCUAGCUUGGGGCCCUUAUGAUGGAUAUUGAUCUCCGUGAGUUGUGAAAUGUCAUGCAUUUCACUAGGGUACAUACCUAGCAGCAGAUUUUUGAAUCAUAGAGCCUGCUCAUCUCUCACAUUACCAAACUGGUGUACAAAAUGAUUGUAUUACAUUGCAAAUCAACAGAGUAUGCAAGUUCUUGUGGUAGAAUGAAGCUGUGCUACCCAGCUCUGCUCCUUCAGGACUUUGCCUCCUCUGAAGAUCUGUGAAGUUCAGAUCUUAGCCUUGCUCUUCCCUGAACAGACUGGAUUUGGUGACUGUGUGAAGCAAGAAAACAAAGGCUUGGCCAUUUUUGACCACGUGGCAGAUUCCAAUGGGUGAUACUCCCCCAGAGCAUUGUGUCUGGGCUUUAUCAUCAUCACACUUUAGCUCCUCUUCCUCUGUUCAUGGGAACUGAUCCCAAGAAACAUUUCCCGCACCAAACUCUAACUCAGAGUUUGCUUUCUGAGAUCCCAGUCUGCAACUGCUGCUGUGACUCUUCGCCCUUGUCAACAUUUGAUAUUAACAGAAUUUGACAAGUUGGUAGAUAUUUAAGGUUAGCUCAUUGUGGUUUUUUUCUUAAGUGAAAAUUAAAUCUUAAAUUUAGAAAUGUUAAAAAUUUUAAAUUAUUGAGAUAUAAUUUACAUACUAUAAAAUAUUCCCCCUUUUGACACAUAUAGUUUGGUGAGUCAUGACAGCUGUAUUUUGUCAUGCAGUCACCACCACCACCAAGAUACAGAACAUUUCCAUCAUCCCCCAAGUUCCCUUGUGACCCUUUACAGUCAAUCCCCACCCUAGCCCUGUUCUGCUUUAGGUCACUGUAGUUUUGUCUUUUCCAGAUGCCUAAUAAAUGGAUUCAUCCAGAAUAUAUUUUUCUGUGUCUGGCUUCUUCCAUUUACCAGAAUGCUUUUGAGAUUCAGUGCAUAAAUACAUCAUGGUUUACCCAUUUUCUCAUUGAUAAAGAUUGGACUAUUUCUAAUAUUUGGAAAAAUAAUAUGAAUCAAACUUCUAAGACAACUUAGUAUGAGUCCUUUAUGCAGAUAUAUGCUUUCACUUCUCUUGGAUAAAUAUGCAGGAGUAGCACUGUUGGGUUAUAGGAUAGGGGUAAUUUUAACUGUAAGAAACCACCAACUAACUUCCAUUUUACACUUUAUAUACAAACAGUUUAUGAGAGUUUUAGUUACUUCACAUCCUUGCCAACACACAGUUUAUUCAGUCUUUUAAUUCCUUAGCUAUUCUAGUGUGCUAGCUCAUAUUUUAGUUUAUAGUUAAAUGAUGCAAAAUCAUGACAAGUAACAUGGAG
Molecule: long non-coding RNA, 139467 nt
Filed under: Marmota monax (woodchuck)
Lineage: Eukaryota; Metazoa; Chordata; Mammalia; Rodentia; Sciuridae
Source: RNAcentral